UUUUUUUUUUUUUUUUUUUUUUUUGAUAAGUGAGGGCAAUGUUUCUAUAGUGAACACCAAGAAAACUAAGGCCUAACUCCACCUUAGACCAGCCCCCUCCUGUCAACUUUACAUAUCCCCAGCCCCAUAGGUGAAACAAAGAGGAACUUAUCUUUAACAGAAUUAGGAGCAUUAAAGCAUUUUUGGUCUCUAUGAACCUGAGGCCUGAAGGUUCUAUAGGAUCUUUUAAACCAAAUGGCGGGUUAAAAUGUCAAGCAUGGCCUGUACUGAAAGUCUUUUCCGAGGAAAGUAGUUUAGGAAAUCCAAAGGCAAUUAAGUAGAAAGUGAGAAAUGAGUAUAAGUGCAGACCAUAUCAGAUGCUUGGGCUUUUAGUUGUUUUGAAGAUCAUUACCUAGAAUUUUGGAAGGUUGAGCUCUAGGAAGAAGAGAAGGCUGUAUGGAAAGUCCUUGGUAAUGCUCCCCAGAUGUGGCAAUGCUCCAAGGAACCAAAAUAGAGCUUAUUUAUAAGGAAUUUUGAAGCUAAAUAAGGUUCAUCUUUUCACUUCUCUUUGGAUCUUAAUUACCAAAGAGUUUGCUAGGAUUUCCCUAAGUAUCAUUAGGUAGGUGGAGGUGCAGUUUACUCAGGGAACCAUAAAAAAUAAAAAUUAAAAUUAAAAAAAUAGUACUAGCAAUGUUUUAAAAUGCUAAAGGUAGUCUUGAGGUGUUUUGUACAAAUGAAGCAAGAUGUAAUCCUCAACUUAAACAAAUAUGUAUAAUAAAAAAAGUUAUCAAAGAAUCAGAAAAAUCCUCAUAAAGUUACUAGAAAAUUGAAUGCUGAAAAAGGCAUAAACUCUAUAGUGAUAAAAUUAAUUAUUUGUCAUUGUUAAUAGUUUCUAAUUUGGUUUGUUUUCUCUCCUCUAAAAUUUGGCCAUCUCCUAUGGUUUCAUCAAAUAAUUUCAACAUUACUUUCACUAUUACUAGUAAGAUCCUCUAAGGAAAAUAUUCAUAUCCAGUCAUAUUAUCCUCCCUAUCAGUGUUAAUAUCCAUCCAUUCUUCUUCUUUAUCCACUAAUUGGGUAUUUUUUCUUAUCUAUCAAUAGAAAUAUAAUGAUUAUAAACGAGAAAACCACUAGGAUAGUCAACAAUUCCCCUAUUCUUUUUUCUUAAUUUCUCUUUUUCCCUUCCAUUUAAAAGAUAAAUUGGAAGUCAACUAAACCCUUACUUCGCAAAAGGUUUAACUAAGUUGAGACCCAAUACAAGGCUCAUGACCUAUAUCAAAAGCCAACAAAAGCAUAGAUGAUAAUAGACCCUAUUACAACUCAUUGAAUAUUAAAGAUUAAACCUCUUAUAAAAUAUAUACCAAAAGCUCAUAAAGAUCAAAAACCCUUUGGAUAUUUGACGCUAAAUAGCCUCCAAAGAUGUAAACCUUGACGCGGAGAGGCUUAAGCCUCAAUUACUCGAAGGCUAAUUCAUAGAGCCUCACCUUGAGGCUCACCUCAAGGCAUAAGCCUCAAUAGCCUUUUUAAACACUGAUUAUCGGCCGGCUGGUGGCAAGGUUUUAAUUAUAGUGGGUCCUAUAGUUUCAUCUUGACAGAAAAACUGAAGGCUUUGAAAAUUAAGCUGAAGGUAUGGAACUCGGAAGUCUUUGGCAAAGUGGGGGUGAACAAAGGGCUGGCUCUGGAUAAAGUAUCCUACUGGGACAAUCAGGAGCAAUUUAGAGCUUUAAAUGAGCAGGAGCUAGAGGCGAGAAAGGAGGCUAGGGAGGAAUUUAAGAAAUGGGCUCUUAUGGAGGAGACUUCAUGGAGACAAAAAUCGAGAGAAAUUUGGCUGAAGGAAGGCGAUAAGAACACGGGAUUCUUCCACAAGAUGGCAAAUUCGAACAGAAGGAGGAACUGUUUGAAAAAAAUCAAAAUCAAUGGGACUUGGCUUUCAGAAGAGCAUGACAUCCAAAGGGGUGUGGUGAGGGCCUUUAAGGACCUCUUAUCAGAUUCUGGAGGAUGGCGCCCUUGCUGCAAUAAUAUUGAGUUUGACAGCAUUGGGGAUGAAGAGGCAGCCAGGCUGGAGGAGAGUUUUUCUGGGGAUGAGGUGUUCUUGGCCCUUUCAGAUCUGAAUGGGGACAAGGCCCCUGGUCCGGAUGGGUUUUCCCUUGCAUUUUGGCAAUUCUGUUGGGAUUUUGUCAAAGAUGAGGUCUUGGGCUUCUUCAAGGAGUUUUAUGAGAGGGGUAAAUUCGUAAGAAGCCUGAACACCACUUUCUUAGUUUUAAUCCCAAAGAAGUGUGGGGCCGAAGAUUUAAGUGACUUCAGACCAAUCAGUUUGGUGGGGGGUCUCUACAAGCUGCUCGCUAAGGUCUUAGCCAAUAGAUUGAAAAAGGUGGUGGGAAAAGUGGUGUCCUCUUCCCAAAAUGCCUUUGUUGAAGGUAGGCAAAUUCUUGAUGCUGCAUUAGUUGCUAAUGAGGUCAUAGACUCCGUGCUGAAAAGAAAGGAAAGGGGGGUCUUGUGUAAAUUGGACUUAGAGAAGGCCUAUGAUCGGAUUAAUUGGGAUUUUCUGCUAUCAGUGAUGCAAAGAAUGGGUUUUGGGGAGAAAUGGAUUGGGUGGAUUAGAUGGUGCAUAUCAACUGCUUCGUUUUCGGUUUUGGUCAAUGGUUCUCCUACCGGUUUUUUCCGGAGUUCCAGGGGGUUAAGGCAAGGAGAUCCACUCUCUCCUUACCUUUUCGUCUUAGGAAUGGAGGCCUUAAGUAGUCUCAUCAACAGAGCAGUGAGAGGGGGCUUUCUUUCAGGCUGUAGGAUAGGGGGAAGGGAAGGUGUCGGGAUCCAAGUCACGCACUUGCUGUUUGCCGAUGAUACUUUGGUCUUCUGUGAUGACUCCCAAGAGCAAGUGACUUUUCUAAGUUGGUUAUUAAUGUGGUUUGAAGCCACUUCCGGACUGCGCAUUAAUUUGAACAAAAGUGAGAUUUUGCCGGUGGGUUGUGUGGAGAAUGCUGAGCUAUUGGCAGCUGAGUUGGGCUGCAAGGUGGGAUCUCUCCCUUCCACCUAUUUGGGGCUCCCUUUGGGAGCUUCGUAUAAGUCUGUGAAGGUUUGGGACGGAGUGGAAGAGCGGAUGAGGAAGAAACUUGCCUUGUGGAAGAGGCAAUUCAUUUCUAAGGGAGGGAGACUCACUCUUAUCCGGAGUACUUUGGCGAGCAUGCCAACUUACCUUAUGUCAUUAUUGCGCAUGCCAAGAGUGGUUAAAUUAAGACUUGAGAAAAUACAAAGGGACUUUCUUUGGGGAGGGGGAGCGUUGGAGAAGAGGCCCCAUCUUGUUAAGUGGGCUGUUGUUUGUACUCACAAAAAGAUGGGUGGUUUGGGGAUUAGAAAUCUCUCCAUUCUUAAUAGAGCCCUCUUGUGCAAAUGGAGUUGGCGUUUUGCGGUUGAAAGAGACUCAUAUUGGAAGCUUAUUAUUAGUACGAAGUAUGGGGUUGAAAGAGGAGGGUGGAGCACGUGUGGGGCUAGGGAGGGCCAUGGGGUCGGACUUUGGAAGGAAAUCAGCAAGGAAGGUUUGCUUCUGCUCAAUAAUGUAUCUUUCUCGGUGGGGGAUGGUAGAAGGGUGAGGUUUUGGAAAGACAUUUGGUGCGGGAGCACCCCCCUUUGUGAGGCUUUUCCCUCUUUGUUUGAUUUAGCGGGUUCUAAAGAUGCGUGGGUUGCGGACUAUUGGGAUCAAAUGGGGGAAGUGGGAGGGUGGACUCCUCUUUUCCUUAGACCUUUCAACGAUUGGGAAGUGGAGGAGGCGGAGAGACUCCUAUCGUCCAUUCAAGGGAAGAGGGUGGAUGCUGAUGGGGAGGAUAGGAUGCUGUGGAGAGGGACGAAAAAUGAGAUUUUUACUGUUAAAUCUCUUUACAAGUCUCUUGAUCAUAGCUAUGCAGUAUCGUUUCCGGGUAAGAUUAUUUGGAGUCCGUAUGUUCCUUCAAAGGUGAGCUUUUUUGCUUGGGAAGCUUCUUGGGAGAAGGUCCUUACUCAAGAUCAGCUUAAGAGGAGGGGUUGGAUUCUAGCCAAUAGAUGUUGCUUGUGUUGCGUUGAAGAGGAAACGAUAAAUCAUAUUCUUGUUCAUUGUUCUAAGACGAAGAUUUUGUGGGAUCUUUUGCUUUCUCUUUUUGGGGUCAAUUGGGUGAUGCCGUUUUCGGUGAAAGACACUCUAUCAAGUUGGUAUGUCUCUUUUAAGGACAAGAAUCAUAGAAAGGUUUGGCGGGCAGCUCCUCUCUGUUUAUUUUGGACAAUUUGGAAGGAAAGAAAUAGGAUAGUCUUCGAUAACGGGGCUUUGUCGACUCAAAGAUUGAAAAACUCUCUUGUUUGUAAUCUCUUAUCUUGGGCUAAUUCUUCUAUAGUUGUAGGCCCUUUAUCUUUGUUUAACUUUGUGGAUUGGUUGGGUUCUUGUUGAGGGUCGGUGAGUGCUUGUGUUUUUGUUGCUUGUUUUAGGUAUCUCUUGUAUACUCCCUGUAUGCUCUGGGUUGCCUUUCAAGCUCCCUUUCUCUAUUAUAUCUUUGUGCUUUUGCCUAUCAAAAAAAAAAAAAAAAAAAACACUGAUUAUCGGCCAUUGGGAUCAAACUAUUACACCACCCCCAAACCCACUUAGUUACAAGGAGAUCUUAAGCUUAAAUUUUAUGGCGUUAUUCAGAAAACUUGGGCCCAAUGGAUAUAGGGGGAGACUAUUAGAGACUUUUUUUAGGGGACACAAGCUACACUUCUUCUCUAGAUGACCACAGAAUGGACUAGAAAGUGACUGGCUGAGAAUUUUGCAUUAUAAGAGGGCUGAAGAGAAGCCACUACCAUGGGGAUUAAUAAUCUUCUUGUUGAAUGGUACUAUUCAAUGGUUAUUCAUUGGCCCAUCAUGGGUAGUAGAGAUCACAAUUAUUCAAUCAUCGUUCAUUGGGCCUAGCACAGGUCAUUUGCAUUAUGAUACAAACAUUGGAGGAAGAACCUAUAUACAUCCUGAGAUGUGGAUGCCUCUUCCAUUGGGGCGGCAAUAUAGGCUAAGAGGCAAAAAAGGUUGCCUAAGAGGAUUGCUGGGACCCUUUAAGGUUUUCCCUCUUGAGUUGUAGCAAAGCUGGUGGUUGGGUAUCUUUUUUUUUUAUAGGAAACGACAAAGAGAUAUAAUGAUAGAAGGUGGUUGGGUAUCUUAGCAUUAGCAAUGGGAGAUAUUUAACAAACAAGAAGUGUCAAGAUAAUUCCCUGAAUUAUACUAAAUGGGCAACAGUGGAAUGGUCCUAGAUAGAUAUCUCCAGUGAAGAAAUAACCUCAGAAAAUACUUCUAACUCAAUCAACCUAUAAUUUGGGUAUUAACACAUGCCUUAUUUUACAAUAGAAACCUAGCUUUGCAAGUUUUAACCCUCCAUUAAUUACUCUCAUCUUUUAGGAUUUACAAGUGUUUGAUGAGUCUCUUCUCAUUAGCCCCUUUCAAACCCUAUUCUUUUCAUAUGACCCUUGAAUUUUAUGGUUUCCACUAUAGCCACAAUACAAAUCCAUUUUCAUAAAGUCUACAAAUUAAUAGCAAUGCUACUAGUUUGCGAAUCCAUUACAAAUUGAACUUUCUCCCUCCAAACUAUACAAUGAUAAAUAAAGAAAUGGACCAAAAAAAUUUAGAUGUUAAAAGCGAUUCCACGAAUGGAAACUUACAAGAAGUAGAAGAACGCAGUGGGCGGUUUCUUUGGUUUCUUGGAGUCUACUCUCUGGGAUCUCUUCUUCGUCUUCGCUUUGGCCUUAUUUCCUGAUCUAGGUUUCUUCUCUUUCUCACUAACUCUGCUCUCCAUGACCGCCCUCUUAAUCUUCUCGGUUGAUCUUACCCUCAGCACCAUCCUCUCCGUUGAUGUUACUCUCAACGCCAUCUUCCUGGACAUUUACAAGAAACUCGUCGUUCGGUUUCCGAGAAAACGCAAGAAAUUUAAAAUAAAAGCAACAUUUUGAGGCGAGAAGGUAUAAAACCCAAUUGAAACAAGCUUGAAGCUUUCUUUUUUCCUUUUGGAAAACCCAAAAAUAAUAAUAAUAAUAAUAAUAAUAAUAAUAAAUCAUAUGACUCAUAAUCUCUUCUCUUCCCUUUUCUUCUCCGUUCCAUGAGUUUCAGAGUAACAGAACUGUGGCAGAAGAAAAAAUUAAGGGAAAAAAAAUGUGUGAAAGCAAAGCGAGAAUAGAGAAGUCGAUUACUCUUUGGUCAUUGUAUUAGGGUUUGUAGCAGGAGAUGAGACUGAAGAAGAAGCUGGGGAGCGUUUCUUAGCUUUCUUCACCAUUUUUGGUGUUGGCUGUUCGCACUCUAACCCGCAGGAAGCAGGAUUUUUAUUUUGCGGUGCCACUGAAUUAAUUAAUUAAAAAAUUAAAUAAUAAUAAUAAUAAUAAUGCCAAGGGAAAACGGUGACGUUUUGAGUUUUGCGAGUCGCCUAGCAAUGGCAACCUGCGGCCUUGGAACAUAAGAUGACAAGGAGGUUUUUUUUUAAUAUACUAGUAAGAGUACACGUGCUAAAACACGUGAAAAAAUAUGAAAAAUGUGUAAGUAUAUGAAUUUAUUUUUUAAAAACUUAUAUAGAAAUCAAGUGAGGAUUCGAAAUCAAAUAAUUGAAUUAAAAAUGAAACCAAAUUUCAGCAUCAAAUUUUAUGAUAAUAAAAUCAUUUUGUAACCAAUUUUCUUAUAUUAAGAAAAUAAAUACGGCAUCAGUCUUUGACCAUAAUAUUUAUCAAUUUUAAUUUAAACAUAUUAUUUAUUUCUUUUAUACUAAAUUUAUAUAAUUUUUUGUAUUAAUUAUUUUAUAUAUGUUUAAAUGCUUUUUCCCGGUUUUUUUAAUAAAAUUAAGAACAAAAACGAAUUAAUUUGAGCAAAAAAAUUGUGAAUUAAAAAAAAUCUUAAAAAAAAAACUCAAAGCGGUCGGCAUUGUCAAUAGAUCUCAUUGGAAUAGUAGAAGUGAAAAUUUUGAAAAUAAUAGAAAAUGAUUAAAGAAUAUAAAAAAUUUCAAACUUUAAAAAGAAUAAAAUUUAUAAUAAAUGAUAAAUUUGAAAAGUCUUCAAAUUUUUAAUAAUAAAUUUUUAUAACAUUAAUUAUAUUAAUAGUGUCAUUUUUAAGAGAAUGAAAUUUAUAACACAUUUUUAGAAUGGAAAAUGUGAAGAAUGAAUAAAAAAAUUAAUGAUUGGUUUUAUAAACUUUCUUUUCAAAAAAAUAAAAUAAAAAUUUUAUAUUAAAUUUAAAAAUUCUAUAUUAGGUUGUUCAAAAUUAUUUUUAAUUCAUUUUUAAAAACCACUAUAUAUUUUGUAAAACUUAUAAUUAUUUUUUGUCUCUAUAAAUAUAAAAUAGAAUCCAAAUUAAAUUAAAUAAUUUCAUAUCAAAGAAAAAUAUAUAUAAUAUAUCAAAUUAUUCAAUCAAUAGAAAAAAUAUAAAAGAAAAAUAAGUUUUGUUCUAAAAAUAUUUUUUUAAAUCCAAAAAAAAUUAAAAUCCUAAUAAAAAAAUUUUCAUCAUUUUGGUAAAUUUUAUAUCAAAAUUUUAAUAUUUUUAAAAUAAUGUUGUAAUUUUUUUAAUAAAAUUUAAAUUUGUUUAAAUAAAUAAUAUAAAUGAGUGAUGAAACUUUUUAUUCAAUAAUUAUCUAUAAUAUAAUAAGUGUUAUAAUUAAUUCACUAUUAUUUAAUUAAAUAUAUAAGUUUGAAAGAUUUAAAUGUCUUGAAUGAAAAUUACUAUUGCAGUAAAAAGUUUCACAUAAUUUAAAAAAAAAUUAAUUUAUUUCAUUGAAGAAAUGAAAUAUAAGUUAAGAUGAUAAGAAGAAAAAAUUAAUAAUAAAUAUGAGUAUUAAAUAUAUUUAAUUUAUUUUCUCAAACACACUCAAAUAUGAUUUAAUAUACUUCAAAAUUAAUACAAAAAAAUAAAAUAAAAGCCUGAUUUAGGUUUGUGAUGAUAGUUUUCGUAACAUCAAAUAAUUAAAACUUCAAUUAAAUGAAAAGAUUAAAUUCUCAUUUAAAUAUAUUAUUAGUAUUGAUAUUAGUAUUUCGUCAAAAAUAAUUACUACUUUUAUAAGUAGUAUAUUAAAAAAUUAAAUAAUAAUAAUCAUAAUCCCAAAGAAAACGGUGACGUUUUGAGUUUUGUGAGUCGCGAGAGGCAAUGGCAAACGGUGGACUCGGGACACAGGGUGACAGGAGUUUUUCUUUUUAAAUAUAUAUAUAUUAUUCUUUAAAAAUAAAUACAAAUAUGAUUUUUUAAAAUAAAAUAUCCCAUAAUAUUUUUUAUUUUGGGAUAUUUGAUUAAACGAUUCAAAUUAAUCCUUAUUCAAAAAAAUAAAAAUAACUCAUGUUUUUUAGAAAUAAAAAAUAAUAAUUUUUUUAAUUAAAAUACCAUACAUCAAAAUUUUUUAUACUUGUUUAAUAUCAAAAUAUUUUUCUAAAAUAACAUUAAAUAUAUUUUUAUCCAUUUGAUUCUAUAUUUAUAAUUUUAAAAGUAUCAAAAUUACUUUGGUAAAGUGAAAAAUAUUUUGGUAUUUUGGUCUAAAUAUUUCUUUUAUUUUUUGGAUUUUAUACUUUGUUUUAUAGGCAAAUAAAUCUUAUUUAAAAUGGGAGCUAACAAAAAUAGGUAGCUAUCAAAUGACAGAUGGAGAUAGCUAUGAUGUGAAACAAUUUUUUAACUCCUUUUCAUCCCUCCAAAAGAGUUGAAUUUGAAUCAUCUUUAAUCUCUAUUAAAAACUUUCAAGAUUUUCAUAACAUUGAAAAAAAUUUAGUCUAUUUCAACUAAAUAAAUUAGAGUUAGCCAAAUAACGAAAAAAAUUCAUAACUUAGGGAAAAAAAAACAACCACUAUAGCGAUCUCAAAGAAUAAUAAGAUGCGUGAAUUAUAGAUGUUGAAUCAUAUGGGUCACUAUUUGACUAAGUCUUAUAUUUGAUUAUGGUUUGUUGUUUUGUAGUCCAUAAGAGUCUAUUACUAGUGUAGUGGAGUAAUGUUUUAGCUAUUUGUUUCUUAUUGUUACUAUUUUUAUGUUAAACGUGGGUCUAGUUUUAGUGGUCAUUGUCACAUGAUAUGUGACAUAGUGUAUAAUUCCUUAUAAAAAGGCCAAGUAUAAAUCGAUUCAAUGCAUUGCAUAAACUUUUAUUAUUUUACUUUAUUGUCUCCUUUAUCAAAUGAUAUAAAUUUUGUUUUCUUUCACUUUCCCCUAUUCGGAACAGUUUUAAUCAAAGAAUAUAAAUUAUUUAAUGAGGGAGACAAUAAAGCAAAAUGAUAAAAGUUUAUGCAGUAUAUUGAAUCUAUUCAUACUUAGGCCUAACUUUUCAUUACCAGGUUGAUCGAUAAACACUUGUUCUUCCAAGUCUCUAUGUAAGAAUAUCGAUAAUAAAUAAAAAUUGUUAGAAACUAAGCAAAGUGAAAGAAAACAAAUUUUAUAUUAUUUGAUAGGGGAGACAAUAAAGUAAAAUAAUAAAAGUUUAUGCAUUUAAUCCAUUCAUACUUGGCCCACCUUCACAUAACUAGGUGGUUAAUCAAUAAAUACUUGUUCUUCCAAGUUUCCAUGAAAGAAUGUAGAUUUCACAUCAAACUAAAAUAUAGGCCAUGAGUUUUGUGUUGUCAAUGUGAUCAUCAAUAUGAUUGUGUCAUGUCUUGCAACAAAAGUAAACAUGUCUUUAUAUAAUCCAAGCCAAUUUCUUGUUUAUAGCCUUUAGUUACUAAGCGUGUCAUGUAUUUAUCAACUUCAUCAUUUUCCUUCGAUCCAAUUGUGUUUCUUUCAAUAGAAGUAAUUUCAUCAUUUUUCGCCUCCAGUCACUUUGUUUAUUUGACAACUUCUUCAAAUUUUACAGGAUCACAAUCUGAAAAUAGAAAAAAAUAAGUGGAUCAUUAGUUUGAUCAAUUCCAAUUACCUUAUAAUAAGUCACCCUUGCUGAUAUUUUUCUAUUGCGUUUAGGCCUUUGUUCUUCAUUUGCUUUUGUUUCAACUGAACUUUGAGAAUUUGUUAAAACAUUUGGAAUUGAUUAUUGUUUGCUCUCCACGAGUUGCUACCUUCCAUCUUCAUUUUCACCGUCAAAGUUUGUUGAAAUUUGUUGUGUGGUAAAAGUAUUGCUCUGUGACAAGGUCAAUUCUUCAUCAAAGAUGACAUCACUAUUAAUAACAAUUUUAUUGGUGAUAGGAUUAUAUAAUUUAUAAGCUUUUGAUUUAUCAUUAACACUAAGGUGGUGUUUGUUUUUUUUGUUUUUUGCUGAAAGUAAUUUGUUUUCAGAAUUUAGGUUGUUUGUUUUUCUACUUUUCAUGACUUAUUAUAAACUUUUUACUAAAUAGAAAAAGCCAAAAUGUGUAACUUUUUUUAAAUAAAAAAAAUAAUAUAUUGAUUUUUCUUUACUUUUUAAUACUUAAUAUAAAUAAAAUACUACAAAAACAAACAACCUACUAUUUAACACUAUUAAGCAUUAAGGUUUUAUUUAGAAUUAAGUAAAAAAACAAACACCACCUAAGAGAAAUGCAUUUUUCUCCUUUAUCAUCAAGCUUUCUCCUUUUCUCAUGUAGAAUACAGACAUGUGCAAUACACCAAAAAAUUAUGAAAUGAUCAAACAGUUGGUCUUCACCCAUUCCAUGCUUUCUUGGGUAUCAUAUUUUGAACAAUAGAUGUGGAACUUUUGUUUAAUAUAUGAAUGCUCCAAUUGAUUGCUUCAAGCCAUAAACUUUUUGGAACACCACUCCUUGCCAAUAGACUUUGCACCAUGUUCAAGAUUGUGUGAUUUUUCCUCUCUAAUACUCUAUUGUGUUGCAGUGUAAAGGUUGUUGUCACUUGUUUUUUUAUUCCAUACAUCUUACAUAAAUUUACAAAUUUAUGUGAGUUACAUUCGCCAUUAGAUCAUUGUGAAGAAUUUUUAUUGGCAUGUUUGUUUCUUUCUCAACAAGCAUUUUAAAGCUUUUUAUGGUUUCUCCUGUAGAAAGUAGAUCCAAGUUUUUCAACUAUAAUAAUUAAUAAAUUUUAUGAAAUACCAUUUACCUCCAUUUGAUAUCGAUUUAAUGGACCCACAAAUAUUUAAAUGAACCAACUCUAACAUUUGUGUUUUGUCCUCCAUGAUUUUUCUUUUUGAAAAGGAGUUCAGUGUUGUUUGCCAACAAUGUGUUCUUCGUAGACUUGAGAAAGACAUGAAAUUUGAGAAAGUCUAUGAUUACUACUCAAAACAUGCUAUUUUGUAGCUUGUAAUUAGCUCUUUUAAACACCCUUGAGUAGUAAUUAUUACCUUUUAACCCGAUUAACAUGUUAGGGACCCUUGCAAUCAGAUUUCUAACAAUUGUGUUAAGUUUUGGUGCUUUUUGAUAGCUUUAUACUCACCAAAGCAAUUUAAGAAUGAGGGAGAGCUAUAUAUAGUUCUUGGCAAAGCUUUUGAAAGCUUAGAUUUACGAAGAAAUCAAGCUAUGGAGCCUCAUAAUCCUUUGCCUUAGUCGUUCCAAGAAUACAAGGAAAGAACAAUGAAGAAGAAGAAAACAGGGGAUGAAAACAGGGGACACAGCUGCAGUCUUUUAGUGCACUUUUGGAGCACUUUCCGAAGUCCAUUCUUUACAUUCUAUAUACCAUUUCGAAGCUCAGAAAGUCAAUAUUCCAAUGGUUCAAACCACGUAUGAUUUGGAGCUGAAAUGAGGAAGAUAUGGACUUCGGAAGACAACUACAUCAAGUUGAGGGACAAUUUCGCACACCACUGUUUAAGGUGCGAAAUCCUCAGUCCACUGUGCGAAAAUUUCGCACACCUCAAACCAACAUGCGAAAUUGGAACUCAGCGUGCGAAAAUUGGAUAUUUUUGCCGACUCUUUUUUCUUCUGAUAUUUUUGUGUUUAAAUUUCCAUUUUCUCCUUGUAUUCAACCAACCAUGUAAUUCCUUAGCUAGGAAGUAUCCAAGGAAGGGUAAAACUACCUUCCUAUAUAAAUUCUCUUGUAAUCACUGAAAAUCUAUCUUUUGGGGAGCUUUCUCCAGGAGACCAAUGUAAAUUAGUUACUUAGUGAAAUACAGAGAUCUCUUUUGCUUUCUUUUUCUCUCUUCUAUUUUCUCAUUUUCUUAGUAGCCAAACAUCCUUGGAGGAUGAAAUCCCCAAGGAUGAGAGGCUAAAACCUUUCAGUUUCUUGAAGUAAUGGAUGCCAUGUGAAGCUCCCGUGUCAGGAUGGAGAUUUCCAAGCCAUGAAUGUAAGUAGCUGAGCACCAUAAAUGUUUUCAUUCAAAGUAAAGUUUUUAAUCCCUCCGACUUGCUUUGAAUGGCCAAUACUUGAUAAGCUUUUGGUCUCAGUGGAUUCUUAUUGUUAGAUCCACUGACGUUCGUUAGUUAUCUCCUACGAGCCAUUGUAUUGCAAGUAGAGGAGAUGACCUAUAUCAUUAAAAGGGCAUUUAUGAGGUUCAGCUACCCUUUUUGUAAGUUUUCAAGGACUAAAACUCAGUUGUUAAACUCAUACCGGUUCGGGAAGUAAGCAUCACCUUAGUUGCUUCCCCAACGCGAGGUGAAAAGUCCCAAAAUCUCCAUUUUUACAUGGUGAGUUAAGCAUGGCUAUCCAAAGCUUUGAGAAACUUCUUUUUCCAUCUUUUAUCCUAUUUUCAUCUUAGUUUAGUUUACAACACCUUCAUCUUUUUAUGUUUUCAUCUUAACCUAAUUUUUAUUAAGAAAAGUUCACUCCAUCCUCUGAACUUCACUAGUUAAAGUAAAAACCCUUCCCAGUGUUCGAUCCUAGAGCCACUAUACUAUAGUAGCUUUGCUACUUUAGUGUAAGGACCUUAGGUAUAAAUUUUGUUGAUACCCUUACAUGCCAAGCUACCAAGAGUCGGGUUAUCAGUCUAAUUACCAUAUUAUUCUGUUGCAACAUCUUCAAUCCACCAACAUUUAAAUGCCCAAAGCGAAAAUGUCAUAGCCAUGCAAUAUCUUUUUUUUUUUUUUUUUUUUUUGUAAGGAAAUAAGAAUGAGUAUUAUUACUCAAAUAUAAAGGAAACAUAUGAUUUGUUAUCAUAUUGACUUAAGCAAUCAAGCCUCUUUUUGGAUCUUGAAUACGACAUGUUCCAUCUUUAAUGGUGAUCUCAUACCCCUUCUCUUGAAGCUGACCAACACUAACCAAGUUUAUUUUCAAAAUUGGAAUAAAGAAAACAUUAUAGAUAAUUUGAUUAAAACCUUUAUUGGUUUUAAUUUUGACAUUUCCUUUCUUCAUAAUAGAUAUUGUAGAAUUGUCUCCAAACUUUACUAUAUUCCAAAAAGAUUCAUCGAAGUUAAAAACACAUAGACUUGUCUUCACAUAUAUGGUUGUUGUAGCCAAUAUAUAAAUACCACAACUUCUGGUGAGUUUCUUCCUUUGCAUGACACACCAUUAAAAACGACACGUCUUGAUCUUCUUCUUUCUCUAUAAAGUUUGAUUUUUCACCAUAUUCUUUACUGAAAUUUGUAUGAUACUCAAAAUGAUAAUACUCAUACUUGUGGCAUUAAAACAUUCAAUAUUUGAUUUGUCUACAUAAUUUGACUUGUUUGUUAAACGAUGAUUAUCACGAGCUCUCCAUUUUCUUUGGUUAUCAACAACUUGAUUUUCUUCUUAUUUAUGGUGACUAUACUUGCCUUUCCAUUUUCCUUUGCCAUGACCAACUCCUUUAGGAUUUGUUGUUGCUUGAAAUGCAUGCUCCUCUUUGUCUUGUUUGUUAAAUCUCUACUCACGAACCAACAAAGAACCUUGUAAACUAUCAAUUGAAAGUUCACCAAGGUUUUUUUGUAUUAUUCAAUAGUACAAACAACAUAAUUAAAUAUUGUCAUCAUUAAUAAAAAAAUUUCUCAAUUGUAGUGAUAUCCUUUAGCUUCUUUUUAUGAAUCUGCAUCUUGUUUGCAAUUACCAUUGUUUUAGAGAAGUGAUAUGUACUCAACUCUCCCAAUUUUAUGUGUAAUGUUUCAAAUUCACCCCAAAGUGUUUAAAGUUGUUGUCGUUUCACUUUUGUCAUCCCCUUAUAUUUCUUCUCCAUAAAGUCCCAAAUUUGCUUGGAGGUUUCUUGGUUAAGAAUUGUCUCUAGGAUUGAGCGACCAAUAUAUUGGAAAGAUAAUUCCUAACCUUGAGAUUUUCAACCUAUAUCUUUCUAGUUAUACUCUUUGUGUUUCUGUUAAUACUACCCUUACUACUAUGUUUGUUAUUCUAGCUUCGAUGACCUACCAAUAUUCUUUAGAUCUUAAGAAGUUUCCAAUCAACAUGCUCCAAUGAUCAUAGUGACCAUUAAAGUGAGGAAUGGUGGGUUGCAUGAAAUUUUCAGAUGCCAUAGUUAACUUUGGCUUCUACAAAACAAAAAGGAAAUAUGUGCAAUAAAUUUUAGAUUGGUUUGAAAUGAAGAAUUUCAAUUCUAUGCAAACUCCAACUAAGGUUGGUUUGAAGCCAAUCAAAGACUAUGAAGGAAUGAAGAUUGACAACGCCUUUUACAAGCAAAUUGUGGGAAGCUUAAUGUAUUUGACUACAACAAGACUUGACAUGAUGCACGUUAUGAGUCUCAUUAGUAGAUACAAGGAAUGCCUAAUUGAAAUUCAUUUUCUUGUUGCAAAAAGAAUUUUUCGUUACUUUCAGGUUAUUGUUGGCUUUAGGCUAUUCUAUAAGAAGGGAGAAAAAUUAGGUUUGAUUGGCUUUACUGAUAGUGAUUAUGUUGGAAAUUUAGACAAUUGAAAAAAACACUUCAUGGUAUGUUUUCAUGCUUGGUUAUGGGUCUGUUUCUUUAUCAUCAAAGAAGCAAUCAAUCAUCACUUCAUCAACUAUUGAAGUUGAAUUAGUCGCUACAACAUCAUGUGCAUGUCAAACUAUUUGGUUGAAGAAAAUUCUUAAAAAGCUACACUUCAAGCAAGAAAAACUUACUACAAUUUUUUGUGACAACAACUCAACAAUCAUGCUCUCUAAAAAUCUUGUUUUAUAUGGCAGAAGCAAACAUAUUGAUGUGAAGUAUCAUUUCUUAAGGGACCUUCAGAAAGAUGAAAAGAUUGAUCUCGUUUACCACAAGAGUGAAAAUCAAAUUGUCGAUAUUUUAACCAAGCCUCUCAAAUUGGUUUCAUUUCUAAAGCUGAGAAGAUUGCUCAGUGUCUACACAUUGAAAUAUCAAGUUCUAUAACUAAACUGAAUGUUUGUAAUACAAUCCAGUUUAAGGAAAUGAAUAUUUAGUUAAGUGGUCACUAUUUGACCAAAUCUUAUAUUUUAUUAUGGUUUGUUGUUUCAUCCAAGACUUUGAUACCAUUGUUACUAGUGUAGCAAAGUAAUGCUUUAACUAUUUGUAUCUUAUUGUUGCCAUUUUUUUUUUUGUUAAACGUGGGUCUAGUUUUGGUGGUCAUUAUCACACCAUGUGCAAUGUAGUUCAAUGCUUAAUUGCCCCAUGGAAAGGACAAGUAUGCAUGGAUUCAACGCGUUGCAAAAACUUUUAUUGUUUACUUUAUUGUAUCCUUUAUAAAAAAAAUAAUUAUAUUCCUAACCACAAAUCUAUAUUGUAAUCAAAAUAUUAACAUCUAAAUUUUAUUAUAAUCCUAGUCAAUAAACAUCAAACAUAAAAUUACUGUGGUUUUGUAGUAUUUUGUGUUUUCGUCUUUAUGUUCAAUUGUUUUUAAAUUAAAAGGAUUAAUCAUUUAUUAAAACUAAUAAAACCCUAAUUUAGAUAAAUAAGAAUAUUAAAAUAUAGAUGCUGAAAUAUUUCACAAAACCUAAACAAAAUAUAUAAAAGAAUUGAUUUUAAAUCCGUCGAGAGAAAGUAAAAUUUUUUCUAGUUGAAAAUUAAAUUCUAUGCAAGACUAAACUGCAUCUUAAUAUCAAUUUAAGUCUUAAUCAUUCAUAAUUAUGUUUCAUUAUUAUCAUUAUCAUACUUCUAAUUUUCUAUAUUUGCUAUUGUUUUUGAAAAAAUUAAAUUUAUUUAAUUAUUUAUUUUCUUACAAUUUUUAAAAUCAUAUUAUUAUAUUUUUGUCCUGGAAGUAGGUAAAAAUCAGAGCAAGCCACUUUAAUUGAGUGAAUAAAGUAUUUACCUUUCUUGUGUGAAAAGUGGAAGAUUUUCAACCGUGGCCACAUCGGUAUCAUCGACUCAUCGUCCAUUUUUCUCCCCCACAUCUCAGUGCUCCACGCUCAUCUUCACUCUCCUCUUCGCCUCUCUCCUCCGACGUCACCACCGCCGUCGCAACCAUGCACGUCCUCCAAUCACCGGCUCUCUGCCCCACGCCGCCCCAUCGCCUUGGUCGGUUCAAUGCCAAACAGCCUCGAAAGAAAGUGUCAUUCAUAUUAUCCGCCGCCUCCCCCACUGUCGCUGCGCCCAAGCGCGAAAAGGAUCCGAAGAAGCGGGUGGUGAUCACCGGAAUGGGGCUCGUCUCCGUCUUUGGAAACGACGUCGACGCCUACUACGAGAAGCUGCUCGCUGGUGAGAGCGGCAUCAGCCCGAUUGAUCGGUUCGAUGCCUCUAAAUUUCCGACACGGUUCGGCGGCCAGAUCCGCGGAUUCGACUCCCAAGGUUACAUUGACGGCAAGAACGAUAGGCGGCUCGAUGACUGCCUUCGCUAUUGCAUUGUCGCUGGAAAGAAAGCUCUCGAAGACGCCGAUCUUGGUGGUGCUGAUAUCUCGAAGGUCGAUAUGCUCAAUGUGCAUUUUAUUCUAGAUUUGUUGAACUUGAUGGAAUGGUGAUCUUGCAUUUUGUUGUGGAUUUGGAUUUAAAGCUGUGUUUGGCUGCAUGGAAUUGGAAUUGGCAGUUGGAGUUGGAGGGAGGCCCCAAUUCUAAAUCCAUGGAAAGAUGAAAUCCAAUUCAAUUCUUCGCAGCUAAACCCAGCCAAGAGCUGUUUUUUUGGUAAAUUGCUUUAAGCAGGCAAUAUGCAUCACCAAAUGAUUGAACUUCGAAUCUCUCUCCAUCAAUGUGUGUGUUUAGUUUCUCACCGUUGAAUUAAAUUGUUCUUUUAUUAUCAAGGGACUUAUUGACUACUUCUGAAAAGGGCUUUCUCGAAACAAAUUCCUUUUAUUUCUUUAAUCCGGUUUAAUCUGUAUUUAUAAACCUGGCGGAAAUUCAAAUUUUAUGUUGAUUGCUAUUUUUUUUUUUUCAUCUAGAAUGUUUGACCCCUUUCUGUCAUUUUGGCGCAUCAGACAUUAGAACAGUAUGUGGGUCUAUCGUGGGUAUGUUUAUAGAAGAUAAAACAACAUGAAUGCCAAGUGAUUUGAGUUUUCGAAGAUGCAAAAUACUUGAAUAAUGGUUUUAGCUUUCAAUGUGUAGCUGAGUUGUUGAAUCAUGAAAACUUGAUAGUGAUAUGAAUAGCUGGAGGUUGUCUGAUACCUGGGUAAGAAAUAAUUAUUGGAUGGCCAAAUUUGUAUCCAUAAGAAUGAGGUACACCCAGCAACUUUGCCAGUAUAAGGGUCAGAGACACCUCAUCUAGGGCCAUGUAGUAUGUCAAAUCUCUCUCUUUUUUUUUUCUUAUCACAAUCUUGAUAUAGUAGUUCCUUGAUUUCUCCUUGUUAUUGCAGGUCAAAUGAUGCGCUGAUCCCAUGAAUUUAUCAUAUUAGGUGCAUAGCUGUGCUUAGCAGCAUGGCUUAAUCAAAGAAACAUGUUGCCUACAGGCUCAUUGCUGUUGCACAUUAGACUAGUUCUGAUUUCUAGGUCCAUGCAUUUGUUAUCCAUCCAUUAAGCAAGUUAUAAAAUUUAGAAUUAAUAUGCAGCUAACCCUCAAUAUAUCCUAGAUAGAGAUGAAUUUAGGAAAAGGUCAGUAUAGUCAAAUUGGUUGGGAUAAGGUUUUCUUAUAAUUGCAAAUUUGAACCGUCAUCGUUGAUUAGAGUUGUUACUUGAAUAAUUCUACUUUGUACUACAUUCUUUAUUUUAUUUAUUUUUAAGUUUGGGCCUUCAAAUCAUGUCUAAGUAAAUAAUGAAAAAAAACUUCCAAAUACUAGGACAAAAUUUAAACUGCUUGAUUAUCUGUUAAGGCUGGUGGCUUGUACUUUGUAAACUUACUCUGCAUCAUUUGACCAGCCUCAUGCCUUGAAGCAAAUAGAAACCACUGGAGGUGAGUGCAAACACUCAGGUUUGCUUUUAUACAUGCGAGCAUGUGUCUUCAUACCAUUAAAGUUUGAAAUGUUUUUCAUUAGCCUUUGCUGUGUCUUCCAUGUCUCUGGUGAUGAACUUGUACCUGCUUCUAGUUCUUUUUGUACUUCGAGGAAGUGUUGGAGCAUUGCCCUUCUUUUGACAGAAUCUCAUAACUAAUCUUAGGAAACCUGUAUGUAGAGAGAGUUUUGUCCUUAAUACUAAUUUGAUCUUCCCCUAAAAUUUUUUUGAAUUGAUAUUGGUUUCUUGGCUCAAGCAUCUGGGCAUUGUCUUCAUUGAAGCUUUUGUUGUUUAUGGACACGUAUUUUCAGGUGUUUGCCCUUUUUAUUCUGCUUAAAGAUGUAUACCUUGUUCACUGAAUUUAUCGAGUCUAUGCUCUUUGCAGAUUGAUAAGGAGCGAGCUGGUGUGCUUGUUGGAACUGGGAUGGGUGGUCUUACAGUGUUCUCUGAUGGUGUUCAGGCUCUAAUAGAGAGGGGUCAUAGAAAAAUAACCCCAUUUUUCAUUCCUUAUGCUAUCACAAACAUGGGGUCUGCCUUGCUUGCAAUCGAUCUUGGUUUUAUGGGUCCAAACUACUCAAUUUCAACUGCUUGUGCUACCUCCAAUUAUUGCUUCUAUGCUGCUGCUAAUCACAUCCGCCGUGGUGAGGCUGAUUUGAUGAUUGCUGGUGGAACUGAGGCUGCCAUUAUUCCCAUUGGCCUAGGUGGUUUUGUUGCUUGUAGAGCUUUAUCUCAGAGAAAUGAUGAUCCUCAAACUGCUUCAAGGCCAUGGGACAAAGAUCGAGAUGGUUUUGUCAUGGGUGAAGGUGCUGGUGUAUUGGUAAGCUUGUCUGUACGCAUGCUAAUAUUAAGGGUUGAAUCUAGGGCCCAAAAUUAUUUAUUUGGGUGGUUUUGUUCAUCAAACACACUCUCAUUUUCUUAAGAGGAAAUUAUAUAUUGAUCAUCUGCAUGAUAAAGAUAAAACACGUUCAUGCCAGAUCACUAGACAGCUUAGUCAUAUGGUGCUGGUAAAUCAAGGUUGACACCUGCACAAUGAAUUGCUUGGUGGACCAACCGCUUUAAACUUGGAGCAUGGUACCAGACAAGGUGCAGCCAUAAUUUAUGCAUUUUAUAUUUUCUAAAGCGAAAUGCUUAUAGGUCCUUUUGUUUGAAUUAGAUGAAAUUGAGCAUCAUGUGGAAAUCUAUUAAGAGAACAUUAUUUAGAAAGAAGCAUUUUUACUCAUUACCUAUCCAAAAAAAAAAAACAAGGAAGAAGCAAAAAUUCUGCUAGCUACAGUAUAUUAGUUGAAUAGUAAGGCUGGAUUCAUUGGCUUGCAAGCAAAAUAGUUUUUGCUUCUUGACUUAUUUACCUUUUUUUUUUUUGAUAGAUAAAGAGAAAAAUAUAUUAAAAAGGGCUGCCAGAAUGGCAGCCCAAGGUAUACAAAAGUAUACAGCUACGACCAACCACAACCACAAUAAACCAAAGUUACAAAAGAAAAGGAACAAAACCAACCCACCCUCACCAAGCCCCAAUCAAUCUAGAUAGCUAAAAAAAGUUAAGAGGAACAUCAUCUAAAUAGCCCUUUGCUUCUGACCAAAUACAAGAAAUGAAAGAACUUUUUAGCCUUUGGAUAGAGAGCUCUUCCCCCUCAAAGGAAAUUCUAUUUCUUACCUUUCACACUAUCCAAAACAAACAUAAUGGUCCCACCUUCCACACCUUCUUGUGCUCCUUGGCCACAAACGACCCAUGCCACCCUAAAAGAGGUUCUCUAACCAACAAUGGAAGCACCCAAGACACCCUAAAAAGGGCAAACAACAACUCCCACAAGACUCUUGUCGUUGCAUAAUGGACAAGGAGAUGGUCUAUGGAUUCUUCCUCAACAUGACACAAAAAACAUCUAUUUGCUAUAGACCACCCCCUUUUCUAGACUUGAUCCAAAGUUAAUGCUCUUCCCCAAGUUGCCUCCCAAGCGAAGAAAUUGACUCUAGGAUGCACCCAUGCCUUCCAUAUGUUGCUCUAAGAAAAAGAAAUUGAAGUCCUUGACGCCAAAGCCAUAUGGAGCGACUUCAUAGUAUACUAGCCAUUCUUAGUCUCUGUCCAAAGCAUCCUAUCUUCCUCGUCCUUGUACACCCUCAUCCUCUCCAAGCUUGAAAGAAACCUCUUUGCACUUCCCACUUCCCAAUCAUUGAGGGGUCUAGAGAAAGACAGACUCCAACCCCCCUCCCUAGGGAUAGAAGAAUCCCACAAAUCCUCCACCCAUGCAUCCUUUGAACUUGCUAAGACAAAUAAUGAUGGAACAAAGUCACACAAUGGACCAUUCCCACACUACUUGUCUAUCCAAAAUUUGACCCUUUGUCCAUUACCUACCACGAAGGAGAUUCUACUACUCACAAGCCCCCACUCCUUCCUUAUAGCUUUCCACACACUACCAAACCCCUCCCUCACUUCCCUAGUUCACCACCCCCCUUUUUUGACCCUUUGUGAUAAUGAAUGUAAGACAUAGCCUCUCUUUCCCACCUUCCAACAUAUAGCACAAACAUGCACGCAAUGAAAUGAAUCUCAUUAGCAAAUAUUUAUGAUUUUUAUUACUUUAGGAGAAAUGCAAACCAGUGGUAUAAGAUAACAGUGCUUAGAUUUGGUAGCUUGAAAGGUAGAUGGGAUGGGCUUUUAAAUGGAGGUAUGAGAAUUAUAAGUUGGAAUAUUUGAGGUUUGGGGUCUAGAAAAAAAAAAGGGUAAUUAAGGAUUUAUUAAGAGUCUUUAUGGAGUUUCACAAUUGUGGGAUAAUAAACCAAAGCACCAAUGCCACUUGCAUAGUGCUUGUGCCAAAAAGAAGUUAUACCAACAAAAUUAAAAAUGUCAAGCCUAUUAGUUUAGUCAAAAGCCUAUAUAAGAUCAUAGCUAAAGUUUUGUUAGGUCAUACCCGAGGAGUCUUUCAUGAAACCAUUCAUAUCUCACAGAGAGCUUUUGCAAAGGGGAGACAAAUCUAGAUGUGGGAUUGAUAAUCAAUGAAAUGGUUGAUGAGAAAAGACGAUCAAGAGAGGAAAGAGUAGUCUCCAAGAUUGAUUUGGAAAUGGCCCACAAUUAUGUGGACUUGGGCUUUUUCUUAGAAAGAAAGGGAUUCAACACAAGAUGGAGGACUUGGAUGAGGAGAUGCAUAUCUUCAACAAAUUUUGUGGUUUUAUUGAAUGGAAGUGUCGAAGGAUGGUUUAAAGUUACUAGAGGUUUACCUCUUGCCCCAUCCCUUUUCACCAUAGCAGUCGAUGUUUUAAGUAGGAUGUUGUUGAGAACAAAGGAGAGUGGUAUCCUAGAAUUAGAAGACUUCCUAGUAGGAAGGAGUAGAACUAGGGUGCCACACUUGUAGUUCAUAGAUGACACCGUUUUUUUUUUUCAGGAGCUUGCAUGGAAGAUUUUUUUUUAUUGGUAAAUUUUUGUCCCUAUUAGGACUUGAACCUGGAACCUCCCACAAACCCUCCCAACCCUUUACCAUUCGAGCCAGGCCUCAAGGGCAGCCUGCAUGGGAGAUUUGCACAACCUUAAUUGCAUCUUGAUGGUUUUUGGGUACCUUUCAAGACUUAAGAUCAAUUUAGAUAAUAACACUUUAUCAGAAAUUAACAUGAGUCAAAAUAAGUCACUACAUUGGCUUUGAUGCUAGAAUAUAAAGAAUUUGAUUGACCAUUGAUCUGCCUAGGUUUCCUAUUAGGGGGAACCUUAAAGCAAGUGUUUUUUGGAAUCCAGUGAUUGAUAGAAUUUCUUGGAGAUUGGAUAAUUGGAAACAAGCUUGUGUCUUUAUGAGAAAGAAUAACUCUAAUUCAGUCAUGUUUGCCUCACACCCCUAAUUACUUUCUCUUUUUACAUACAGUCCUAUCAUUAAUAGCGACUAAGAUUUAGGAAAAUGUAAAGGGAUUUUCUGGUCAGGGUUUUGGGAGGGUAAGAGAGAUCAUCUUAUUAGAAGUAUGUAUGCCAAAGGAGGAAGAAGGUUUGGAUUUCAACAGGAUUCCUUUAAGGAAUAGAGCUCUCUUAGGAAAGUGACUUUAGAGGUUUGCUAGGGAAAGUAUUGCUCUUUAGCACAAGUUCAUAUUGAGCAUCUAUGGUAUACACCUAAAUGGUUGGGACACCAAUAUUAUAGUCAAGCAGUUGCAUUGUUGACCUGGGAAAUCCAUUGUAUAGGUUUUCUAGGAUUUCUCUAGUCAUACUUAGUUUCAAGUCAAGUGGAAGAUGGACAAAUAUUUGUUUUUAGGAAGACUUGUGGUGGUGGGAUUGACCCCUUAGCUCUUUAUUUUCAAAUCUUUUCAAAGUUGUCGUGGUAAGAAAUUCUCUUAUCUUAUCUAUUCGUUGUGUCUUUGACUCAUGUUCUUGGAACUGUAAUUCAUGUCAAAAUCCCACAGAUGUUGAGAUAAAAGAUCUCAAAAGGCUCAUGUUAUCUAUCUCUGUGAACUUUCACCAUCCUUCCCAAAUGUUAGAAUUUGGUCAUUAUUAUCUUCAUGUUUAUUUAAAACAAAAUCUUUCUUCCUAGCCUUAUCCAAACCAACUCCAAAUUCCUUCUCUCUAGCAGAAUUCAUAUGAAGAUUUAAAGCCCCAUCAAAUAAUAAGGCUUUUGCUUGGUUAAUGGUCAACGAGAUGGUUAACACCAAUGACUUGCUUCAGGUAAGAAGAUUUUUCAAAACCUUUAGUCUUGAUCGUUGCACCAUGUGCAUGGGAAGUGGAGAAUUGAUUGAUCGCCUUUUUUUUUUUUUUAAUACUAUCCAAUGAUCUUGGGGCUUUGGCACAAACUAUUCAAACUAGCCAAGUUAGAUUGGGUUCCUCCUAGAAGGAUAAGUCACAUGAUGAUGAUCUUCUUUGAGGGCUUUAGGAGUGCUAUUAGAGGCAAAGUUCUAUGGUAAAUUGUCUGCUUUACGUUGAUUUGGAUGGUGUGAUGGGAAAGAAAGGCAAGAAUUUUUUAUGACUAGUGAAGGACUUAAUUUAUUUCUAUUCCUCCUUCUAAGCCUUUACUACUAACGCUUUAAGGGCACUUCUCUCAAUGUUAUUCAACUCAAUUGGAAAGUGGUAUGUAGAUCUAAGGGUUGGGAAAGCAAAGGGAGGAGAUGCUUUUAUUGUAAAGUUUAUUGUGGUUCUCUAAUGGUAUACACUUCUCCUUAGCAUAUUGUAGGAGGUUUCUCCACCUCUUCUUUUGAUUAGAGUUUUUAAAUUUGGGAAAGAUUCCUUAUCCUUCACUUGCACUUGUAAAUUCAUGUUAACGAAUGUUUGUUUCUGAUAAAAAAAAAAAAGGUAAUGGAGAGCUUGGAACAUGCGAUGAAACGAGGUGCUCCAAUUAUUGCUGAGUACAUGGGAGGUGCAGUUAACUGUGAUGCUUAUCAUAUGACUGAUCCAAGAUCUGAUGGGCUUGGUGUUUCAUCGUGCAUUGAGAGCAGCCUUGAAGACGCUGGUGUGUCACCAGAGGAGGUACUCUUGUUUCCCUUAAUGCAAUCCUCAUAUCAUGAUGAGACGUGUCUUAUUCUUUGAUGCUAGAUAUUGAUGUAUUUUAUUCCAAUAGUUUUAUAUUUAAUUUGUAUUUACCAUUGUGUGUUCAUUGACACAUGCUGGUGCCUGCCUUAUUUAUCUUAAUGGUCUUCUCUUUCUCUCUUUCUCUCUCUUAUUACUAUGAUAUAAAAAUGCUCCUUUUUCCAUAGUUGCAUUUACCAUCUAAUCAUGAAUCUACUCAUAUUUGUACCUACUCACACUGAUGUGGAGAAAAGUGAAGUUUUAUCUUCAACAUUGGGCUUAAGCUUUCUAUUUUCAUCAAUAUGGGGUUCAAGCUGAAAGGCAUCUUUGUAUACAAACUAACCUGUGGUUAACACCUAGAUAAUAUGGUUGUGGCUAGAUAUAUAUAUAUAUAUAUAUAUAUAUUGAAAUUGCCUUUGUUGUGCAAAGUUGUAUGGACUCCCCACUUCUUUGUUUUGUCUUAUUAGCUUUUGUGUUUGUCAACAAUGAAAGCCACUGAACUUAAGACUUGAGUCACUUAUAAGGUACUUGCAGUUAUAUAGCACUUGUUUCUUGUUUUGGUGCAAUAUGCAUGAUUACCAAUUUUUCAUAGAUGAAGCAACUUCUUAAUCAUUAAGUUUGAUUGCAAUCUCAAAAUGAAGGGAAAAUCUAUAGUGUUAAAAGAAGUCAAAUUCACUUUUUAGUUCAUAAAGGAAUGCUUACAAUGACAAUGACUGAUUUUUGUUUUGCAAAAAUUUGAAGAUGCUAUUAUCAUUUAUCUUAUGUUGCUGAGGUAUUGUUGGCAUCCAGCUGGUCCUAAUGUAAUUCUAGUUUGUACUAGUUAGAGGCAGAUGAGAUGCAUUUGGUUGGGGUGUUAAUGUACAGUCUAUUACAGUGAGACAUCAUUUAAUCUUUAUAGAAGGUUCCCUCAAAACUUUGCUGGUAUUCUAGACUUUAUCUACUACAUUUCAAUUGAGGUUUAUCCAUAUGUAAAAUUUAAGCUAGAAGGAAGUGACAUGGAGCAAAUUGCUUGAACUCCUUGUAUUGCACCUCAGAAGCCUUGUGCUAAGAUGAAGGAAAGGUGGCAUUGAAGUGGUCUCUUAUACUCCAAUUAUGAUGCACUCUCUAUUUAAUUUAUUUAUUUAUUUUCCCACUUAGGAUUCAGUGGUGUCAUUGUCAUUCGCUUUGAGUUACAUUCUAUUCUUAGCUAAGGAACAGAAUUGUGUUGAAAUUUCUGAAGGCCAUGGGUUAGUGAAUCAAAAUUGUCUGUUUUUUCAGGUUAACUACAUAAAUGCGCAUGCAACCUCUACUAUUGUUGGUGACUUGGCUGAAGUGAAUGCCAUAAAAAAGGUAUUCAAGAGCACUUCAGAGAUCAAAAUGAAUGCAACCAAGGUUCGCUCUCUCUCUCUCUCCCCCCCCUCACAUUCUUCCAAAUUUAGUGAACUGUAAAAUGAUGUUGUUCUCUUGGCAUUAACUCAUUGAAGUUCAUCCUCUUGUGGGAUUUCAUUUUGUGUCAGUCUAUGAUAGGGCAUUGCCUUGGUGCUGCUGGGGGUUUGGAAGCUAUUGCAACAGUGAAAGCCAUAACUACAGGCUGGCUGCAUCCUACCAUAAAUCAAUUUGUAUGUGCUAUUUUCUUGGUUAUCACUUGCUUUGGGGCAAUUUGUCAGACUUAUAUCUUGAAUUGAAAUAUCAGAGUGAUAGCAUUUUCAUAAUCAUUAUAUAUUGUUAUUAUGUUUAUGCAGAGGUUUCUUUCAAUUUAUGGCGUUUUUUCAACAUUUUAUUGGGAUGUUCUAACCGGACCUUGAAAAAACUAUCUAGAUACCAUUUCAUUUUCCAUCCUAAAAUAACAUUCUCUCGGUUGGUAGUGCAUAUUCAUACGGAUCCUUAUAUCCAAUUUAAUUAGUAUGAAGUUAAAUUAUAAUGCUGGUUUCACAGUUAGGCUGGCAUGUCAAUUGUAAAAUUUGGUUUACUCAUAUAAGAUUUAUUUUUAAAUUAGGUUUCAUUUUGUUGUCAAGGAAAUAGAGAAGAGAAGAAAAUUUGGAAUGUUCAGUUGAGUUUGGGAAAGUUGGGAACAACUGUAAUGAUUUUUUUAUGUGUUCUUUUCCAUAAAAUGCAGAAUCCAGAACCAUCAGUUGAGUUUGACACCGUUGCAAAUAAAAAGCAGCAGCAUGAAGUGAAUGUUGGUAAGUACUGAAUCCCCGAGUUCUGUGACAUCUUCAUUUUUAGUUACAUUAAGCUAGGACCCCGUAUUUACUCAUUGUGAAAUUUUCAUGUUUUGCAGCCAUUUCAAAUUCAUUUGGAUUUGGUGGACACAACUCUGUGGUAGUCUUUUCUGCAUUCAAGCCCUGAUCAUCCAGCUUGUCUGUAUUUCCUGCAAUUCGAGAUUUAAACUCUCGAAUAAGCAUCCAAAAUUGUUCUUUUACAAGAGUGAGGAGUAAACUUGGGGUAGAGGCUGUCAUUUUCUUUCUCUUCGGAGUCAUUUCAUGGACUCUGAGCCAUUUGUAGUUUUUCAUGUUAUAAUUACCUUGAGCUCCGCUUUAACAUUAUUGUUUAGUGAACUUUUGGAAUCUGAUGAGCUAGACAUGAAAUUUUGUAAUGUUUUUUAUCCUCUAGUGGUUAGGAGGAGAUACCUUGAAGGCCCUCUUGCGUUUUGCUGUGAGUUCCCAUUGCUUUUCUGCAUUGAUGUUUGGAGCAUGUUGUGCAUUUUUGGUAAUGCAGAUGUAAACUGUUGGGAUGCAAUAAUGUUGGCUUUAAGUCCUAGGGACAAGUCACCCAAAUGAUGACUUUGAGAACAGGGUCGAGGGGUGUGAUAUUGAAUCCCAUAAAAUGUUUGACCUAUUCUCUCUUGAUAUAUAUUGGUUUUUUUAUAAGAUGGUGGAAUCGUGAUCCAACAUAAACAGUAUAAGGGUUUGUAAAGUGUGGUAAUCAAGGUUUUCAAUAUGCUUACAUUGUGCUGAUGGAGGCUAGAUUAGAUCGGCUGGCCUAGAAUGAGGCCAAUUCAUUUCAAAAUUCUCCUUAGAGCCCUUGAAUGUUCAACAUAUAACAUUGUGAAUCCAAUACUGCUGCUUGGCCAUCGAAUAUUGGAGCAGUCUGAAUCCUUGCCGGACUUGUUUGAUUCAUGUCACGCAAACCCAAAAAAGAAAAAGAAAAAGGGCACAACCAUUUGAUCAAGUUGGUUUUCUCAGCCAAAAGGGAUUUGUAAAUGAAUUUAAUCUGAAUGACACAUAAGUUGAAUUUUAAAUGAAAUUGCAUCUUGGAAAUAUGAAUUUACAAAAUUAGAAAUCAUAUUUUGAAUUAAAAUCGUAUUAUUUCGAUUUUUUAUAUGUGGUUUUAGUACAAAUCGAUAUCCCGACUUAAGACUACAAAAUCAGAAAGUAACAUUUUUAAUGUACAGCAUUGACUUAAGUUGUUUUGUUUUGCUUUUGUGGCUUUUAUUUUAUAAAUUAUUAUUUAAAAAAAAAAAAAAAACCAAACGUGGCUCCUCUCGGUCAGAGUCUCCAAGACUCCCAACUAGAUCAGGUAUAUCGUUUUCCCGCCAAAAGCAAAGGCAACAAAGGCACCAUCCCUGUUUCCCGCCAAAACCCUCGAAGCCCAGAGCCAAAAGCGCCCCCUCAACACAAACCAGAAUCUCUCGUUAUCUCUCUCACUGGGAAGCGGAAGCAGGAGACUGAGACGAAGCAAUGGAGAUCAGCGAGGAAGUGAGAGCAGCUCACAAGCGCGACUUCAUGGAUUUCUUAGAUCAAGAUGUAAUCAUUCCCCCUCUCUAUCUCUCUUCUUCUCUACUAGCUCUCUCUAACCUUUGAUUUUUCUCAUUUUCAUCAGAUUGGAAAGGGUAUUUACAUCGAUGAAAUCAAAGCCAUGAUCAACCACAAGCGCCAUCGCCUCAUCCUUAACAUUUCCGAUCUCCAUGACUACCGCACUGACUUAGCCCACAGGUUUCCUUUUCACUUCUCUUUUCCAUUCUUCUGGGUUUUUUUUGGAUUUAUUUUAUUUGCGUUUCAUUUGGUUCCUCAUAAUCGCGGGAAAAAAAGAAAGAAGAGAAGAAGAUGAAGAAUUGGAAUUUUAGGGCUUGUUUGGUUUUGGUAUUUCGUAAACGGACCGUUUUUAGGGGUUUUCCUUUUCUGCAUUUUUAGGUCAACAAAACAAAAAACUUCCUGAAAUUCUUCUUUGAUGAAAAGAGUAAAGAUCUUUUGGAAUGUGGACUGGUUUGGUACUGAAAAUGAAAAUGACACGGAGACUUGUUUGCCUGGACAUUUUUGCAAUGUGAAUUUUCUUCUUAACGUUCUCGUGCACUGUGAUGGCCAAAUGGUUGUCUUCUCCCCUUUCAUCUCGCUACAUUUUUUUUUUAUUUAAAUAAAGGCCUCCUUAUUAGCAGCGGACUUCCCAAAACAUUAAGUUCAAAAGCAAAUUCAUCAUUUUCAUUUUUGAAAACCAGAACGAUGGCACAACUCUGUUUUUAGAAAAUUUACUCAAAAAACUGUUUACUCCAAAAUGCUUUCCAUCUCACUUUCUGUCCUUUUUUUUGUUUUUUUGUUUUUUGUUUUUCUUUUUCUUCCUUCCUUUAUUUAUACAUUUAUUUAUUUUUUUUGGGGGAAAUGAUACCAAACAGGUUAUUGGAAGUGUUCCUAUAAACUGUCAUUGUUUACAUUUCUUUGGAGAUGCAGAAUUGAAAACCAUAUUCAGAGGCUUUUUGGUGUAAUCAACUUAAAUGUGCUACACAAUUUGUUUGGCUACAUAUUGCUAAUUCUUUAGUUUUCCUAGGAACAAACAUAACAUGUUAAUUUCACAUUUUAUUUUAUUUUUCUUGGAUACCAAAGCUGAUGAUUGGUUUCAUUUUCUCUGAAUUGAUAAGGAUCCUCAAGAAUCCUGGUGAGUACAUGCAACCAUUCUCUGAUGCAGCCACUGACGUCUCACGCAACCUUGAUCCCAAGUACUUAAAGGAAGGAGAGCAAAUUCUUGUUGGCUUUGAAGGUCCUUUUGUUUCCCGACGUGUUACACCGAGAGAUCUUCUCUCUAGCUUCAUUGGAUCCAUGGUCUGUGUUGAGGGCAUUGUCACAAAAUGUACUUUCUCUUUAACAUUCCUUUUUUUUUGGAUAUUCUUAUAUUUAUUUUGAAGAAGUAAUUUUAAUCUUGGUACUUAACUGUCACUGCUUCAAUCAGUUUCUAGUUUCCACUGUCUUAUCUUUUAAGACCCUGAGAAACAAAAGCCCCCAAUUCAAUUAAAUUGAAUUUAAUUAAUUGAUUUUUCAUUAGGAAACUGAAAUUCAAUAAAACAUAGACCUUGGAAUUUUACUUGUGCUUUUUGGUUCCUCCAGUGAGCAAGCAAACAGAGGUAACUGGACAUUAGUCCUUGGUAAUAUGGUUGCUUUGAGUAGGUGAUGCAAGGAUUGUGAAAAUAGAUUAAUCUUAAGUUUUGAAUUUAUACAAUGUAGUUUGAGCUGGAAAACCUCUAAAACCUAAGGGUUCGAAAGCCCAUGUCUGAGAUUUCCAAGGAUUUUGAAACCGAAACUGGCAUAAGUUUCUGACAACAUUCUGUUCUGUUUUGUUUUGUCUUUUAUGCUCAUUUUUCUGAGAAAUGAAAAGGUGGGAAACUGUGACAUUUCCAGAUGAUUGGCUUUUUUCAGGAGAAAUUUUAGAAACAGAAAAUGGUUAUCCAAAUGAGUUUCCAAAUGUUUUCUAUGUCAUUUUCAUUUUUAUUGUUUCUGAAAUGAAACACCAUUUUUGAGCAUAGAAUUAAACAAGCUCUCAUAUGCUUUACUGACCCAAAUUCUCCAAUAGAGAUCUUAGAUAUUUUGAAGGUAUUCUAUUAGAUGGAAUAGUAGCUGAUCCUAUUUAGUGUGGAGAUGGGACAUAUGAACCCCUGGAAGCUUUCUGACCAUUUUCCAUGUAUCCAGCUAGUUCAUUUCAGGCAACUGUAUGAAGUGCUUGAGUAAAUGAAAAUUUAUACAUUUUUAGGAGAAUGAUAACAUCAGGAUUUCUCAACACAAACAUAUGUAGUAGGUUAUUACAUUUUUCUUUGUUGUACCUUUUUUCCAUUUUAAUGGAAGAGGGAUGGAUUCCUCUCAAACCAGAAUGUUUGAAGUAGAAAUCAGUGCUCCAACUUGACAAUAUCUCAUAUUUCAACCAUAAAACAGGUUUAUUCAUAUCUGGCUUCUUUCACAUAUCAAAAGUUGUGUUUGCUUAGUUAUAAACUAAUUCAUUUCCUUGUCAAUUCUUGAUGGUAUAUUGACGUUGGAGCAUAGAUAUCUAACCUGCUCAUUUUUCCUCAUCUCUAGGUUCUCUUGUAAGGCCAAAGGUUGUUAAAAGUGUUCACUUCUGCCCUUCAUCUGGGAAUUUCACUACCCGUGAAUAUCGAGAUAUUACGUCCAAUAUGGGUUUGCCCACAGGGUCUGUGUAUCCUACACGGGUAAUGUCAUGUCAUGUCAUUUUCUACUCAAUUGUUUUUUAUAUAUAUAACAUAAGGGAUAGCCUUUCAAGAGAAACACACUGUUUCAGGAUGAAAAUGGCAACUUAUUGGUGACUGAGUAUGGGUUGUGCAAAUACAAAGACCAUCAAACCUUAUCAAUGCAAGAAGUGCCUGAGAAUUCUGCUCCAGGUCAGCUUCCACGAACUGUGGAUGUUAUAGUUGAGGAUGAUCUGGUGGAUUCAUGCAAGCCUGGAGACCGAGUGGCAAUUGUAGGAAUAUAUAAAGCUAUUCCAGGAAAAAGCAAGGGCAGUGUCAAUGGGGUAUUCAGGUUACUCCCAUCAAAUUUUCUGCACCAUUUUUCUUCUUCCCUUUGGAUCAUAAUGUUUGCUGAUAGCAUGAUUUUGUUAUGUAGGACUGUGCUCAUAGCAAACAAUGUUUCUCUGCUGAACAAGGAGGCAAAUACACCAAUCUACACUCCUGAAGACCUAAAACACAUUAAAAGUAUAGCUGAGAGAGAUGAUACGCUUGACCUACUUGGUAAUUCACUUGCACCAUCUAUAUAUGGGCAUUCAUGGAUAAAGAAAGCUGUGAUUUUAUUAAUGCUUGGUGGAGUGGAAAAGAACCUUAAAAAUGGGACCCACUUACGAGGGUGAGUUAUUCUCUUUGUGUUUUUAUGAUAUGCUUUAAGUGAUCAAUUCCAGUUGAACAAAGUACUGUCCCAAUUAUUGUCCUUUGUCUAUAGAAGCCCUGCAUCCCCUAACAUUCCCCCCUCGCUCCUCCGACUUGUUCUAUUGUGGGUCAUAUCUGAAAGCUCCUGUCAUAAAAUCAAAUUUUUACAUCUUAAUAAAACCGAAUUCUUGUUCCUUAUAGUGACAUAAACAUGAUGAUGGUUGGUGAUCCUUCCGUUGCCAAGUCUCAACUGUUAAGAGCAAUUAUGAAUAUUGCUCCUUUGGCUAUAUCUACCACUGGUCGAGGUUCUUCUGGUGUUGGUUUGACAGCUGCAGUUACUUCUGAUCAAGAAACAGGUAAUUUAUCUCACCAGGCCCAAGCAUGUUAGCGUUAUUUGGCAAUUGCUUCAGACUAGUAUUCUCUUUCCUUGUCAUCAGGAGAAAGAAGGCUAGAAGCUGGUGCCAUGGUUCUUGCUGAUCGAGGUGUUGUUUGUAUUGAUGAGUUUGACAAGAUGAAUGAUCAAGAUCGUGUUGCUAUACAUGAAGUUAUGGAGCAGCAGACAGUUACCAUUGCCAAAGCUGGUAUCCAUGCAUCAUUGAAUGCUCGAUGCAGUGUAGUGGCAGCUGCAAAUCCAAUAUAUGGAACUGUGAGUUUUACAUUUAUUACUAAUAUAAAUCCAGUAAUACUCAUAUUGCAUAAUAACGCAUCAUUGCUGCCUUAAUUUGAUUUUCUGCUGGUUAUUGAAUUGAUGUACAGUAUGACCGGUCAUUAACCCCAACAAAGAAUAUUGGACUUCCAGACUCUUUGCUCUCCCGUUUUGAUUUACUGUUUAUAGUAUUGGACCAAAUGGAUGCUGAUAUUGAUCGUCAAAUCUCAGAGCAUGUCUUACGUAUGCACCGCUUUCGAUCUGCAGCUGGAGGUAGUGACCGGUAUCAUCUUAGUUGGUAGCUUUCUAGCUGUUUCUAUCUAUAUGGAACUGCUCAACUGAUGCAACUUAAUUUUAGGUCUGGGAACACUUGAUGGGGGUUCAAGAUAUGGAAAAGAUGAUGAAGCUGAUACGGGUUCAUCUGUCUUUGUCAAGUACAAUCGCAUGCUACAUGGGAAGAAAACAGAGAGGGGUCGGAAGCGUGAUACCCUCACCAUCAAGUUUCUAAAAAAGUAUAUUCAUUAUGCAAAGCAUAGAAUUCAGCCUGAGCUGACAGAUGAGGUGGUGAUUUUUUCUUUUUUCUUUUUAUCUAUUUAUAUUUUGUACUCUCCUGUGAAUUUUCACUCUGUGCUAUGUCUGCAACUUGACAAUGGAAAAUGUAGGUUUUUCUCAUGAUGUCUUUAUGGAUCUUAGGCAUCUCAGUUUUUAGGUUUAUAUGGCUGUUGCAGAGUAGGUUCUAACAACUUCUAUAUGCAGGCAUCUGAUCAGAUUGCAACGGCAUAUGCAGAGCUCAGAAAUUCCAAUUCUAAUGCAAAGGUUGGUAUUAUAACCUGCUAUAUACAGACAUAGAAAAUGCUUUGGAGAAUUUUCUAUAUUAUUUGACAUGGUUCUUUCUCUUUGUAGACUGGAGGAACACUUCCAAUUACUGCCAGAACCUUAGAAACAAUAAUUCGUCUUUCUACUGCUCAUGCCAAAAUGAAGUUGAGUAGACAGGUACCUGGUUUGUAUUCAAUGGGUAUUCUAUGCUUGUUCUUUUGAGUUGGCGUUGUGGAUGAUUAAUUUGUCUGAGCAGGUUUUGAAGUCUGAUGUUGAAGCUGCUUUGAAAGUUCUAAAUUUUGCUAUAUAUCAUAAAGAAUUGACUGAGAUGGAGGAGCGUGAGGAAGAAAGGGAGAGAGAAUUGGAGAAAAAACGCCAAGUUGAUCGCAAUGCUGGUGAAACUGAUACUGUUGACCAUGAUUCUGCUGAUAGAGAAGGGUAAGCAUGUGAUGAAUCGUAUUUUAUUAGCGGACAUAACAUAUGGGUAUUGCUUUUAAACAUUGUUCUCUUAAUUACCAUGCUGUUGAUAUGCUGAUUUUAGAUCACUCAUUAUUUAUCUUGGGCCUUAUCAUGGACUAAAUUGUGAUCCUCCUUUUAUGGUUUUUGCAUAAUUUUCCAGUUUUUCUCAAUGCCCAUGAUUGGGCCAUGUGGGCUUGCCAUUAUCUUUGUUCUCACACAAAAUAUUCUGUUAUCUGCUCACUGUUCAAAUAUUUCUGGUUUGAUUUGUAUGUUCAAUAAAAACAGAUUUCAAGAAUCAGAAGUUUUGGUUUGCAUUCAAUUCUUAGUUUACUUUUGUGAACCUAAGUAUUCUCAAUGUUUUUUUUUACCUAGCAAAGUUCAGUGCUUUGUUUUGAACAUGUCAUUCUAUUAAAUUCAUUUCUGGGCAUUAUUGCAUUUUCUUUCCUUGAUGUUAGAACUAUUAGUGGAAACCUCUGCAUGUGAAUGAAGAUCCAGGCAGUCAAGGAGAUACAUAAUGCUUGAAGUAGUCAUGCUAAUUUCUUGCCUACAGAGUCCAUUUGUUGCAUUUCUCAUCUAGUAGUUACAUGUGCUUAGGUUAUGUGCUAUUGUCCUUCUGGUUGUUGGAUGGUUCUCUAUAUGCUAUCUGCAUCCUUGUCAUCUUGAACAAUGUUGCAGUUGUAGUCUCUUUCUCUUUCACUCUCUCUCUCUCUCUCUCUCUCUCUCUCACACACACACACACACACACACACACACACACCCAUUUUGAUCACAUCUUUACCUUAUUGGAGGCUCUUUAGUCAGAUAAUGUGGUUGAGAGGCAAAACUUCUGUUCAGUGGAUAAAUUCCCCCUUGCUUACUGUUAUUUGAAUCAUCUUAAAAGGUGUAUAAUAGCAUGCGUAUGGACUUGAUGUGAUGAUACAACCAUCAGGAAAGCUAGAAGAGCAGUAUAUUUUCUAGCCAUCUCUUUUAUUUUUAUUUUUUUGGGAACUUUAACAUCACUUUUCAAAAAUAAAAAAUACAAUGUACAAAAUAAAUCAGGAUGAGAUAAAGUCAGCCUAAUGAGAAAAGGGAGGGGAAGAUAAGCUUACAAGAAAAAGUAGUCGCCCCAUGCUUGCCAUUAAUAAUUAAUGCCCUUAUGAUUGAAAUUACUUGAGAUUUCUAGGACAAAGAAAAAUAAAUCAAGAAUCUUGCAUUGUAUUCUUAAAACCUUGGGAACUGAAUGGAUGGUGGAUCCAAAAUAAUUGGAUGCCCCAGUACUAAACACUUAUUGGUUAUCCAUUGUGAUUUUUCUAGUGGUAAUUUGAUAUUAUCAACAAGUAAACUGAGGAAGUUUUCUUUAUUUUUAGAUUUUUUAUAAAUCAAUUAUUAGUUAUUUUCCCCCUUUUCUCCUCUUUCUUUUCUCUUGAGUAUUGUUUAUGAUGCCUAAUUUACACAAUCACAUGGUUGACAUUUCUCUUUUCUUGAUUUGAUAAGUGCAACAGCGGAUGCCAUGGAAGUAGAUGCCUCUCCUGCUGCCCCAUUCAGUGGCAAUAUUUCUUCAGAAAGGUUUGUAUAGUAGAAACCACUUGGAUCAGCAUAUGCUGUGUUUUACCCCGAGUUAGCAGUUUUACUUCAAUGCUUUUAUUGCAUCAGCAUGGACAUUUCUAAAGAGGAUUUUGGCAAACUGCAUGUCAGUGCCCUGUCCAACAUGGUGGCUGAGCAAGUGUCUUAGCCAUGUCCACAUUCUGUUUGUUUUGAAAAAAUAAGUAAUAAAUGGACAUUCCUAAUGCAAUAAAUACGUGUACUAGUGUGUUCCCAUGUUUUUUUAAGCAGUUUGUGGCCUGGCAUGUCCAUGUGGUAUAAAAUCAAAGAAUCCAUGCCAUGCAUCAGUCUGUUUCUAAUGGUAAUUUCAUUUCUUCUGCUGGCUUGCAGGGUAGAAGCAUUUGAUUCUGUAUUUGGUCAGCAUAUACGGGCAAACCAUGUGGAUCUUAUAUCCAUUGCAGAUGUAGAGAAGGUUGUGAAUUCUGGAGCACCUGUCCAGUAUUCAAGGGCAGAGAUUUUAUUCCUAUUAAAGGUAAAGUCUUUUGGUAGUAAAAGUAAAUAGAACAGUAGUUGCUGUGUUUUAUUAUUCAGAUGUAUGAGGUAAAUUCAAAUCUGCUUACUAGCAGAAGAAUGAUUAAUAACAGAAAAUUGUUCUUAUUUGUUCAGAGACUGGAAGAUGUUAAUAGAUUGAUGAUAGAUGACAAUGAUGUGGUGCAUAUCAUUUGAAGAAUUGCAGGAGUAUUCCAGUGGCAAGUGUAGGAGGGUAAGUGAUUGUUUUGAAUAAUGCCAAUAUUAUCCUGACAUUGCUGAAAUGGAUUGGUUACUGUGCUAUUUAUAGUUCCUCAAAUUUUUUGACUUAUUUCUAUUCCCCUUUGGCUUGUUUCCAUUGAUUUUGUUGACAAGUUUGGGGAAGUAGACCUGCAUGGUCCUUUGGUAGGUUGAUUCCAAUUUACCAGAGUGUUGAUUUGAGUGAGUUUAUAUAUUAUUUAAUAAAAUCUUACCCUUCAGUUACUUUGCUAAUAACAACUUGAUUAUCUAAUUUUUACUAAUCAAUUGAAAGGGAUGGUUUGCAGGGGGAGAGCAUAAUAUGACAAAUCAGAAGUAAACCUCGUUUUCGGAAGGGAGACAAGGGAUGGAACUUUCUAGUUGGCCAAACUCAUUUGUAGAGGCUUGUAGAGAGCUACUUCCACUAAAAGUAAACAAUGGUGAAAACUAGAUGGAGCAUUGCAAUAAUGUAUCUUCACAUUAUGUAUUUUGUGAGAAGUGGAAGAAGUUUUAUGCAACAUGAUGAAACAUUUUGUGAGCAUUUUAAUCAUUGCAACUCCAUGGGAAAUUUGGAGCAGUUCUAUGCUUGGAUUGGCCAGUUUUAUUAGAACUUGCAGAACUUUAUUUUGUAAUUGCCACUGCUGGAGGUAGAGGAGACCAUAUGUUUUUCAUUUGUACCCAUCUUUGCACAUCCCUCAUUUUGUAAGGUUUCUAUUUUUCUUGUUUUGAGCCAAAAUUAUAAAGACAAGCUCUUGUGGUUGAAUAAAGAAGCCCACUAAUAAUUUGAGAAUUUGCAUUUAGAUUUGGAAAAGAUCCAAAGGAGCAUUCCCUUUACUAAGUUGAAUAUCCGCUAAUAUAUGAAAAAAGCAUGAUGUUUAUCAGUGGAUUUGCUUCAAAUUUUUUGGCUGGUACAGUUGAACAAGAAGGGUCAGCUGUCAUUUUCUGGAUUUGUUCCAGAAUCCUGUCAAAGUGUAACUCGUGCUAAACUGGUGGUUUUGAAAAAAAAUCUUUCAAGCUAUCUAUUUAGGAAUAAGAAUUUGAAGUGGUUUAAAUUCAAAAUUAUUAUUUCCUUGGGUUAGGACGUGGCUUAAAAGGAAUGGCUUGUUGUUGAGGGAGGAAUGUGUGGUGAGUGGCGAGGGAAGCGUAAGGAAUAUCAUGGCCAGUCCUCUGCUUCUCUUCAGAAACACUACUCUCUCCACUUUGCACAACCACUACCGUCACCACCGCCCUCCCCUCCCUGCCGUUCUCUUCUCCAUCAAAAGAAGGCGGUCUCAUUCCCUCUAUUCCACUCAGGUAAAACCUCUCGCGUGCUGCCAUUACUAUAAUCCUCUCUUUCCGCCUUCUUUUUUGUUUUCAGAACUCAGCCCAGUUUAAUGGCAUUAGUUGUUUCCAGUGGAGAUUUUUUUUGUUUUCUGGAUGUCGAAAAUUUUACUACUCAAAAUUAUUUAAUUUCUUUUCGUUUUCUUUGCGUCCAAGCAGACCGUCAAUGGAUUAUAUGAAAUCAAUUCAUCCCGUUACUGUAUUAAUUCACGAGCUGUGUUUGUUGAUAGAUGGAAGGAAGUGAAAUCACGGAGGAAGUGGAGGUGACUGUAAAAAAGACAAUUUUUGUCGCCGGAGCUACCGGGAAUACGGGGAAAAGAAUUGUUGAGCAGCUUCUGGCAAAGGGCUUUGCAGUCAAGGCCGGAGUUCGCGACUUGGAUAAGGCCAAAACUACUUUUCCCGGUGGGAAUCCGUCUCUUCAAAUUGUAAGAAAGUGCGGGAAUGAAUUAAACAACUUAAAUUUCAAUUGACCAUUGGGUUUGGUCGAUUCUGGGUACAUUGGGUUAAAUUUAUGUAGUUUUGAAAGCAUAUGUUUAAUAUUAGGUUUUUUCUUGGACAGGUGAAAGCGGAUGUAACCGAGGGUUCAGUGAAACUAGCUGAAGCCAUUGGUGAUGAUUCUGAUGCUGUAAUAUGUGCCACCGGUUUUCAACGAUCCUGGGAUUUACUUGCACCUUGGAAGGUCAGCUUAAGUUUUUAAUCAUUCAGGUGAUCUGUAUCCUCAUUCUAUGAUUAUCUAUCAAUCAACAUUUUUUUUAUUCAAAUUCUGAAAUUUAAGUAUUGCUGAUUUAUGACACUAAGGUACCUACAAUUGAUCAUUCACUAGAAGGCCUCCCUUGUUCUAAACCAAGAAAUGAAGAGGACUACAAUUCUUGGUGUAAUUGAUACAAAUGUCAAGCUGCUAGUAUGGCUUGUUAGAUAUAUAUUGCUAAAAAUUCCACCCAAUAUAUUGUUUGGGUUUUAUUAUUUUUGGAAAUCAUACUUUCUGUUCAUUUUGAUUCAACUACUAAUUAUCUUUCCAACCCUGUGCUGGAAAAAUACUUCUUAUUAGAGAAAAGAGAAAAAUAAAAUGAAAUGAGGGCACACUUGCCAGAAAAUACCUCCAAUUGUUCAAAUUUUGCACAAGGAUGUUAGCCAGGGAGUCAUUUUCAAAGCCUGGAGCUGUCUUAUCUUUUAUCCCAAAACACAAAGGAAAUUGAGUUUUGAAUGAGAUUUCUACCGAGUUGAUUUGUGAAACCACAGAACUUCCAGUUUAAUCAUUAUCGAUUCAACUAGGUUUUGAACUGUGUCAUGCUUUCACCAUUUUUGAGCUUACUGGACAAGGGUGCUUUUUUCUAUCAGAGCAUUAAGUGAUAUGUAUUGGUUUUAUCUGAAAGCAUUUCCAUGAUGGAAAAGUCUGUUUUUGGACAACAAACUGAGUGCCUUUGGUAAAGAGGAGAAUUAUUUCGUAUUGGAAAGAUAUUGUUUGAAUAUGAGAAAUGGGGUGAAGCAUUUGUUUAGUUCUUUUGGUUUCUCUCGCUUCAAUCUAUUCGAGAAUUUCCAAGUCUCCCCUUUUUGGUUUGCAGCAAACUUGCAGUGUUUGUACAUGCAUAAAUAAACAAAUGCUCACAUGAUACUUAAACUGCAAUAAGUAUUCUUAACCCCAAAGGAAAUACUGGGGGUUUUACUAAUCCAAAAUAAAUAUGUACAGCAAUUUUCAAGAUGAAUUAAGGAUAGUCAAACAGUAACAGCCUUCUCAAGGGAAACUUAUGGUCUUCUACUUGAAGCAAUGGUGUAUGCAGGAAAGUUUCAAUGACCAUUUACCUAAUCAGUCUUUGCUCCAGUGCAUUGCUAGUUAUUCCAUGUCAAAUCUUGCUGUUGCAAAAUCCCAUGUGUUGGAAUAGUGGUGAAAAUGUUGAUUAUGCUGAUGUGGAAUAGAAGUCAAGAAUUCGUACUUUGUCUGGGUUGAAUGUUUGGGAAAAUUUUCAUGGUGUUAGUUUCAUAAUUAAAGCAUAUCAUACUGGCUGGCUUUGUUCAGUGGUUUUAAAGUUUGUCUUUUUGACUUCAGGUUGAUAAUUUUGGCACCGUGAACCUUGUUGAAGCAUGUCGGAAACUUGGUGUGAAUCGAUUUAUUCUUAUCAGUUCCAUUCUAGUCAAUGGAGCUGCAAUGGGGCAGAUACUUAAUCCAGCUUACAUCUUCCUCAAUGCAUUUGGGCUCAUCUUAAUAGCGAAGCUUCAGGCAGAGCAGUAUAUAAGGAAAUCUGGUAUAAAUUACACAAUAAUAAGGCCUGGUGGGUUGAGAAAUGACCCCCCCACAGGGAAUAUUGUCAUGGAGCCAGAGGUAGUGGCAUUCAUCUGAGACCUUUUUGAGUUUUGCUUUUGUAUUCUCUCAAAUAAUAAGAGGUCUGUUGUCUUUAUGGUCUCUCUUUGUGUAGGAUACUCUCUCUGAAGGCACCAUAUCCAGAGAUCAUGUUGCAGAGGUUGCUGUUGAGGCAUUAGUCCAUCCUGAAGCUUCUUACAAAGUUGUGGAGAUCGUUUCUCGCACUGAUGCUCCUAAGCGAUCCUUUAAGGAUCUUUUUGCUUCCAUUAAGCAACGGUGAUUUCAAGUUUAGAUUUGGAUCAGAGCAUGAAAUGUAGAGUAAGAACUUUCUCUUAUAGCUUGCUUCUUUCAAUUCAGUUUUGGGUACCUAUGUUAUGCUUAUGUAUAAUUUCCUUUACCUUUUCUUCAUAAAUUUGGUUAAAAAAAAAAAAAAACAAUUUUCUGUGUGAUGAGACUGCAUCCAAAGCAGGAUUGAAAAACACUAUCCCUUGAAUGCAACAAAGAAUACUCACUUCAAUUAAAUUUCAAAUCUCAUAUUCUGUAGAGAGAUUGGCUCAUGGAUAAGACACAAAUAUUAUGAAAAAUUAAGGAGUAUGAAAAACUGAAAAUUAGAAAAAAAAAAACCAGUUCACCCACAACAACAUUUGAUCACAUUCAAAGAAGCCAAGCAACCAAAGAGACCAGUGCUGCAACUCCAGCUGAAGUGCAGAGAGCAACGCCUGCAUUUUCCAUUUGGGGUGAGGGUGCAAUCCCUCCCACAUCUUCACUCGCCGCUGCAACAUUAUACGUUGCAAAAGCCAAGAAGACCAUCAAGCAGAUAGUGAAAGCCAUAGCCAGCCUGCUGCCCUCCAUUUCAGCCUUCUUGACUGGUUAAGAAACUGCAGAAGAAAUGGGUGUUAGUGAGGAUUAUGAGUUUGUGUGGUGGAAGCUAGGGAUUGCAAACGUUUUUAUAGGGGUUUCUAUGGGAUUAAUAAUAAUCUUCCAGCUGUUUGAUGCUGGUUUAACCACAAACACAAUCAUUUGAGGGUGUUGGGCUUCAUAUAAUUUUCAUUACACACAUGUAUUCCCUCUGUACCAGCCUGGACAAACUGUGUAAACCCCACUCAGACCUUACUUAUAUUCAUGUCUUAGGAACUGCUAUUUCCAUGCAGGUUUUUGCUAAUUCAAAUGAAGUUGAUCUUAUAAUAGCAUGUCAUUUGACAAAAUUGUCUUUGGUGGAAUUAGUAAAAUUUCAAAUACAAAUAGACCCACCCCAUAUGAUUACUUAUGAUGAUCAUAACAUUUCUAUGAUCCUUGACUUAAAUUCAAAAAUGUUAAGCUUAAUCAUUGCCCCCCUUUUUUCCCACUAAAAAGCAAACGUAAAACGGGCAUCACGGAUGAUCUAAACUAGACUGCCACCUUUGCAACCUUCAAAAAAUUUAGGCGCAGUCUCAUUUAAAAACAUUUUUUGUUCCUAAAAAAGGAAAUAGGUAAAUACCUUUGAUAACUAAAAAAAAAUAAAAAAUAAUUUUUUUUGUUAUUAAAAAUAGAAAAUAAGGUAUUAUUAGGGGGUAUAUUUUAGCUAUUUUUAUUUGUUUUCUAAAAAUAUUUUAGAUUUCCGAAUACAGUUUUUUUUUUACAAAAUAGUAGAGAAUAGUUUUUAAAGAUUUUAUGAAAAACUAUUUUUGAGAAUUGUUGUCGAAAACACAUUCCGUUAAGCCUUUUAUCUAUUAGGAUUGUGGGAAAUUAAUAUUUGAAUAGAUGUAACAUGGAAGUUUCCAGAUACAUUAACCAAAAUAAUUGAACGCCUGAACUGAAACAAGGAGUGGCUUGUUGUUGAAGUAGAGGCCAAAGUCCAAGAAUGAUGGGUUGAGUUUGUUGGCGUUGGGGCAAGGUCAAAUGUUGUUGAAGAUGGAUGUUGGAACUUUGAACCCUCAAAACACCUUUAUAUUGCCUAGGAAAGUUGGGAUCUGUAAUCAAUACUCUGGGCUGAUUUGUUCCUAAUUGGAAUGUACAAAUCAUUUUUUUCUGGUUCAUUUACAAGUAAAAAGGUUUGGCAUUCUCAAAACAGUGGACCUAAGAUAUAUAUAUAUAUAUAUAUAUAUAUAUAUAUAUAUAUAAAUAAAGUAGAAAGUUUUUAUUAAUAAAAUUGUGAAAUGCCUUGGAAGUUGCAUAAUGAACUGAACACACCCCACCUGAGCCAUUUGGCGUAGAGGUUAAGUUUGUCCUCAACGCAACACAUUACUUAUUCCUCCAUGUUUAUAAAAAUAUAUAUUAAUAUUUGAAUGGCUUUUAAUCCUUAAUGUGCUGACAUUUUUAACAUAUCAAGAAUCAAUAUUUCUAAAGGGGUUUUUUCUUUUUGUAGAAGUGUUUAUCAAACAUGUCUCUUUCUCCCCUUUUCCCCACCUAUAUUAUAAAUUCAGUUUAAUUUUUAAAUCUAAUAUAAGCAGACAAUGCCAUCAAGGACUCCGUGGCCCAAUGGAUAAGGCGCUGGUCUACGGAACCAGAGAUUCUGGGUUCGAUCCCCAGCGGAGUCGUGUGCAAAACUUUCCAUUUUGUUUUUACAAACCCUUGAAAGCAUCCAAGAUGCUGCUCUUUUCUUCUUCCCUGCGUCUUCUAGUCCUGAUGACCAUGCUGUUGUACGAUGCUAGAACUUGGUACAACCCGGUUUGUCUUCAAGUUCAACUCUAUGGCUUUUUAAGGCCCAACCAUUGAAGAGCUGAUUACUUGUACAAGUGUUCCCACAACUACGUCUAUGGCAUUCGAAGCUUUAGGAUUUGAAUGUGGCCUCCUCGUAACAUACAUGAAAGAGCUUUUAUGCAUGGUAUGUGGAAACCUGAUAUAUGAUCAAAUAAGUUAUAACUGAUUUAAAAUAGAUCAAGAUCAUCAUAUAUCUGAAAUGAAAAUCUACAUGUAUGUAGAUAUCUAUAAGGGAUCAUAUGGAUUAUUCCUAAAGGUUCACAUCAGUAUAGUGCAAAUUGCUGAGAGUUAUUUUGGAAACAAAAGGGGUUAAGUAAAAUUCAUUUAGGUAUAUUAUUCAAAUUUGUUAACUUCAUCAUUUGAUUUAUAUCAUUAAAGCAUCUUUUCUCUUCUGUACAAAAAUUUUAAAGGAAAAACAAGAUGGAAGUUUGGGUGGUUUGUUUUUCUUUCACCCAACAGCCACAGCACUCGGUGGAGAAAAAAUGACAGUAAAAUGUUACAUUCUUGAGCUGGACGGCUUAUGGUGACUUAAAAAAACCCCUAAUCAUCUCCUAUUUAUCAAUCAUGUCUGUUCGGUUUUUGAUGCAGCUUUCAGUUUCUCUAGCUGUUUCCGAAGAUAUGCCUGCUUCAGUUUCUCUCGCCGUGCCAUUGCCUGCUCUUGCCUUCGCAAUUUGAGCUCAGAUACCUCUUCUCUUGCUUGAUUUGCUUCUUCAUGCACUUCCCUGCAAGAAAUCAUAACCAAAAUAAUGGUUUGAUGGGCAUGACGACAAUCAGUAAUGGGGAAUAAGAACAAAUUUAGGUAAUAGCAAUCACAAUGAAUUAGCAAUUAAACAGAAUCAAAUAGUGUACUCAAAGGGAAAGAAAAGGUUCUAAGUGAAUCUUAAGCACUGAAUUCUUGGCAUCCAUUAUCAAUCAGUUUGUUCUUGCAGUAUAUAUCAAUUUUUUUAGGCAAAUACAAUAUAUAUAUUAAAAAGCACCUAACAGCAUGUAUCAACUUCAAAGAUUUUUUCAUUUAUAUGCAGGAUUUUGUCUAAAUAUCCAGGUGCUUUUGGCACUUGUCCUCUUUUAUUUUCAUUCUUUCGGCUCCCUUUUUCUUCUUGUUUUUGAUGGGGUAAAAGCCACAGUGCUUGUGUCAUCAAGAUAACUGUGUUAUGAUACUCACAAGAAACUCAACCCAAAGUCUCCUUGAAAAAUUUCAUAAUUAUGUCAGCAGUUAAAAUAAAAGGGAUGAUGCAAUUUUGCAAAAGAAUGAAGAGAAAUGCAAAUGGGCCUACUAAAUUAUUCAAGAAGAAGAAUUAGAGGAAGCCCAAAUGUUUAUCAAACCCUAUAUUUAUUAUAGUCAAUUGUUAAGCUUAAACAAGGAAUAAUAAACCAUGAAAAGAUCUAAAUACCCCUCUCUAAACAACUAAUAUAGGGUAAAUUCGUUCAGCCGCCGAAUAUGUUACAAGACACCCAAGACUAUUAAAAUCCAAACAGCUAGAAAUCAAUUUUAUUUUCGGAUAAGUUAUUGAAGGUCUUAAAUCAAUGACUAACUCCACCCUAAGGGGUGGGGACUUAUGAAACUGGGACAAUCCUAAACAGAGAAGCCUCUAUGGAAAUGGCAGAUCAAUGUAUUGACACGCAGUUUUACCGUGGUGCUGGUUCUAUGUGGGAUCUGGUUGUUAGGUGCUUGGGUAACAGUAGAGAAAGGAAAAGCAAAUUGGCUUCACCUUUCGAGAAUGGGUUCUGUCCUCCUUUUUGGGGGGUAAAACUAAGAAAUGUGAGCUGAAAAAUGACCUUGAAUUCUUUUAGGGGAGGACCUUACUCUAUUCCUUACAACAUAGUGGCCGUUGGGAAGUUGAGUGUGGUUAAGGCCUUAUCCAAUUCCUUAGCCAGGAAUUGCGGCCUUUUGGUAGAACAACUUGUAGUCCUCAUUAACAAUCCCUAUGAAAGCAACAUAUACCUUAAACAGCUUCCAAGACAAAAAGGUGGUUCCCAUUUGUGCCUUUUGUUCCCAAGGGGCACUCACUCCUUAUGAAGAGGAAAGGAAGGAGUGACUUAUUAUCACUUCACUUGACCAAAGGGCAGAUCCUAGGACACCCUUCUGUCUUUACCUCACCUGCUUUCCACUGCCCAAGCUAGGGAUACACUAAGCUCGAUCCUUGUUGAGAGGCCCAUAGACCCCAUACAGGGGCCUAAAACAAGAAGUAGCAGAGAAUCCCCUCAAACAAUCCCCCAGAGGUGAAGCAGACCUGGUAACUCGAAUGUACGUAAAAUAUCUUCAACAUGCAGCACCUCUAAUUAUACAAAGUUCUUAUGAAUACAACUACCCUACAAACCUUUUGCUUGUGUAAAGAGAUGUCAUAAUUCUUGCUCAAUAUGUCUCUCCAAGAUUGGUGCAGCUCCAAUUUUCCUCCAGCAAGAGAAAUGUGACUCCCCUUAAGUAUCCCUCCUCACCAACUCAUCAAUUAAAAAAAUAAAAAAAGAACCUAAGUUUACUGGCCAAUGGUCAAGCAGGAAGUUAAACAAGCUAUGUCCUCCUUAAAUCCCCUUCAUUUCUUCUAUUUGUUUUUCUCAAAAAUUUAGUCUGCUUUCUUACCAAACACUGACAGUGUUAAAAGUCCCCAAUCACUCCUAAUCUAGGUUGACUGACAACAAAUAUGUGUGUGAUAUGUGUCAACACUGCAGCCAGACUGAUGCAAAGAGAUAGAGUCUUUUCAGAUAUAAGAGAGUUAUCAUUAAAUGUUGAAAUUUUUAUUAAAAAAAAAAUCGAAUUGGUAAAUAUUCCUUGGGAUAUAGUAAGUUCCAUUAGAAGCCCUGACAUGGGUGCUUUUUUUUUUUUUAAAUCAAGGUAAGGGUAUAAUUUAAUUCUAUUUUCACAUUCAAUUAAAUUUUAAUUCUAUUUUCAAUCAAGUUUUAAACUUUCUUUUUUUUUUGAUAAGCAAAGUUUUAAUAUUAUUUCAAUAGAGUUUUAAAAUUUUUUUUUUUUUUAUAGGUAAAUGAGAAUUGUAUUAAAGUGCCAAAAGGGGUGCAAUAAAGUAUUCAAUAGAAUUUUAAAACUUAAUACCAAAAAUAUUUUUUAUACAAUAAUAUAAUGCAAAACAGAAGAAAAUAUGAAACAUCAUAUGAUCCUACAAAUGGUAUAGGUUGUUCUACGCAUUGAAAUACAAGUUCCAUAGGCUGACUACAAACAAAAAUCUUUUAUUAAACUAUGUUCUAAAUUGCCUAAGUUCAGCCUAAGUUUUUUUGAUGUUCAGUUAACCUCAUUUAUUGGUUAUUACUACCAAUGCUACAUAAAUCAUAUUACAGAAACCAAAACCCUUACCUUACAAAACGCUUGUGCUCAUCAUUGUCCAUUACUCCUGCUGUCCGCCCAGGUCCAAAAGUUUUUUUGUUAAAAAGCACAGAGGAAUCAUCCUCAGCAUCCUCAGUUUCUGGUGGAACUGUAGCCAAACUAUCAUGACCUUGCACCUGUUGUGACUCAUCCUGCACAAGGCUCUUGCGAAAAAAAUCGACACAAUACUUCUCCUUGUCUUCCUCAUCGGAUAGUUCCCCCCUCACUAGUUUAUCAUAUAAUGCAGCCUUCUUCUCCAAUGCCGCAUAACUGACUGAUCCAUCAUUUACUGCUUUCAGCUCAAGCUUGUCCCUGAAAAUAAAUCAGGGAAGCAUUAUUUAUCUGUGCAACAUGUAAAACCAUUGUCUACAAGCCAAUCAAAAUAUUCUUAUGAAGAAUAAAUAUGAAACUAGCAAAAUAACAUCCGUGAACAGGAAGAAAAGCUAUCCUAUUACUAAACUUGGCAGGUGUAUUAAAUAAGAUGACCUAGAACCAGUCAAUUCUCAGUAUGAUAUCCAUAUUUCCAUGAAUAUGUCUCUCCCAAUCUACAGAACUACAUUAGGUUGUCCAACUCAAUUGACAGUUCCAUGAUUAGAUGAUAAGUUCUUUGAUCAUGUCAAGCCAAUAUCUCACUUCAACCUAAUGCACAUCUUUUUCUCUGAAGAUAAAAAAGAAAAAUAUGCAGAAACAGAACUAAGAUGUGAUGAGCAUUACAUCUAAUAGUGGGCAUGAUGAAAAGCAAUGUGGUGGGUCUUCAAGAUCAAAAACUAGUUACUGUUUUAGCAGUGGGCAUAUAAAUAACAAGCCAUCAAAUUCAUUGACCAGUCCCUGCCCUAGUUUCCAGCCUUCCUCUUAAGUCUUUGGACAGUAGGAUGAUAAGAGGAUAAAAUCUGUCCUAUCAGUUUCUUCGCUGCAUUUCUUUUUAUCACCUAACCCGAUUUUUGCAAGUGACCACAUCACAAAAUUAUCAUCAUUUUUUAUUAGGCAAAUAAGUUACAUGUUGAAAGGGACCAAGCAAAAAUUGGUGUGCAAUCCAGGUGCCAGCAAAGUAUCUAUGGAUUACUGAAAAAUCAAAACAACAAUGCGGAAAGCAUCAGCAAGAGGAAAAUCCCCAACCUCCAACUCAAGCUAUCAAUAAAAUCUGAUGUAGAGAAAUCAUAACCCCAUGGGCUACAGUGGAGAUAUUGAUACACCUCAGCAAUCAAGUCAGGUGUUAAGACUAGCUUCUUCCUUUGAAGAAGAGCAAACUUGAGGAUCAACGUUAGAAUUUAGGGUUUUUUCUUUUCGUGUGUUAGCAGAAGAAUUAGCUACUUCGUGUCAUGUUUCUUUGAGAAUUUCACAAGAACACCUAAAAUAUGAAUUAAAAAAGCGCCCUAACAAAAAAGGAAGUGAAAUAAAAGAAAAGAAAAACCCUACGAAAAUAGAAAGAAAAAUCUGGUGGGAGGACGGGAUAUCACGUACUUAUGAGCACGGGAGUCGACGCCGGAGUUCUUGAGAGAGAAGGUAUCGAGUUUGGAUAUCUUGCUUUUGGCGCGGUGGUAGUUGAGGUCGGUGCCGGAGACUUCCUUAGAUUUCCUGGACUCUUCUUGGGAUCUGUAGAGUUGGGCCUUGAGUUCCAUAAUAGAUGAUGCUCCGACGCCGGCGAUUGCGCGGUGCUUCUUCGGCAUGAUAGAAGAUUCCGUCAGCCAUCCCAGCGAUUCCACCACCACCCUCUUCUUCUCCUUCUUCUCCUCUUCUCCCAUCACGCCUCUCUCUGUCUGUCCCUCUGGCUCUCUCUCCCCCUUGCUUUUUCCCUUCACGACAAUAGUAAUACGAAAAUGCCCACUGCGUUCCCGUAUGUAUACCUGGCCCCUUGAACUGAAUGCUGGGCCAACCCAUUCUCAUGGUAAUGCGCUCAGGCCCAACUUUGGGGUAGCCCAAAGGAGGAGGGGGCCCAAAUUUCCUCUUUCUCUUAUUUUCCACAUAUUUUCCCACAAUUUUUUCAAAAACAUCCCCGGUCACACCAGCGAUGUCUGUUAUCCACAGUCUUCCAUUCUGUUUGUCCAUUUUCUCAUCCCUCUUAGCAACUCAUAUGCAAUGUGCAUUAAUAAACCCUCCCAUAUUUUUGGAUCAAUCCACACCUAAAAAACUUUGGCCUGUUAUUGCUUUGAAUUCCAGAGCCAAUUUUGUUCAUAACAACCAUAAGCCAAAACCAAAUUAAAAAAGUCACAAAAGGAGAGCAGUCACACAACCUAUGAUUUUCUAUGUCAUAUCUGAAUUUGCUUUGAGAGUUUGAGCAUGUUUGGGAAGUCCUUGGUGGGUAACAUCAUCCUACUGACAUUGGGUUGAUUUCAUUUGUUGGGGCACAACGAUGUUACUCUUAAAAUCACAAGUGGAUCAUCCAAAUGAUGACUCUUAGAAUAAGUUUGUGGGGGGUAUUAUCAAAUACCAUAAAAGAUUUGAUUUAUCUUCAUUGGACAUAACCUUCCCGUAUCAUGCGAAGUUCAAUCUAUUUUCAUUAAACACCGAUUAAUUUUUAGAUGAGAUGAUUAAAAUCCAAUCAUAGAAUUGGCAUUAGAGCCAAGAUUCAUAAGGUCGAGUCACGAGAGCUGUAUCAACAAUAUCAUAGUGUUAGUAAUUAAAACACUAAUAUCCAUGGAAUCAUACUGUGCAGUCUACUUGCUUCUCUGUGUCUGCAUUUUUUUUUAGAAUGAGGGAAGUAGAAGAAGAAAGAAGGAGAAGAGGGAAGGAUGAAGGUGGAAAAGGAAUUAGGGUUAUUUCAAAUGUCAAGUUUAAGAAUUGAAAAGUUAAGGAAGAAACAGAUAGAGAUUAAGAUUUGGUGAAGAUGUAUCAACAUGAAUCAAUUAAGAUUAAUUAGUGAUUAAUGUAAGAUUACUUCGAAAUUGAUAGUAGUUGUCUGGAAGAAUAAUAUGUUUGCAUGUAAGGAUAGGAAACAGAGCUUUUACAUAAGGGAAAUAUGGUCAAUACAAAAAAUUGUUUCCAUGACUUAGACCAAAAGCCCACAGCAGCCAGGAGGCAGAGAAAGGCUCAGUUGUUUGACCACCAAAACCUGGAUGGAAAUUACAGGCAGGAGAGGGCCUAAUUAUCUUAGACCAAAAACCUCAAAGGAGAUGAAGAACAAGAAAUCAAAAGUGAGAGGAACUGAAUAAUUUACAGAAUAGAAAAUGGUUUAAGCAUAUGAUUUGAAGGCUAGUCCUAUCAAUUCAUGAGCAAUAUAAAGCAUUAAGCAUUUAGGUUCCAGGAUACCAAUGUAUCUGGAAGGCUAAUAUUUCAUCCAAGUAGUAAGUAGAUAGGUGAUGCAGCUAUGGAAAUUCAAGUUAACAAACAAAUCCAACUGAAGUAAAACACAUAAAAUGGCAACAUUUAGUACUAAAUUAUUAAGAUUCAUUUCAGCAUAAAAGGGUUCACUAACAGAUCCUUGUUUAACAACUUCCACACACUCAAUCCUCACAUAUCCAAGUACAUGACACUAGAGCCAGGUUUAUUGGUGAAUGUGGAUAACAAAGAAAGCAGGACUAGGCUUAGAAAAGCUUCCAAAUUCAAUAGUAACAGAAAAACUAGGUAUCCGACUCCCAGAGGAAGAAUUAGUGCCGCUUCUCCCCAGUUGCCACUUCCCAAGCAUGUAAAACGUGGUCCACGAUAUCCUCUAUGCCAACCCCAUGCCUCACCUGCACAAACAUGUAUGCAUUGUCAUUGUCACAAAAAACAAUCAACAUUCUCAAUGAGAAAAAAAUUAACUUUCAAGAUAAUUAUAGCUCCCGUGAGGGAUUAUAUAUAACUCAAGGUGAUUGUUUCAUUUUUCUGUAAUGGCUCUCAGUAAGUAUAUAUUAUGAAAUUUCAUUUUUCAUAAGAACCUCCAGUUGAGCUUGAUGUCCGUGUUGUUGUCUACACCAAAAUCAUUCUCCAAAUCCUCACAUAAAGCAUAAAAAGCAAUACAGAUUCAGUCAUGUUCAUAUGAAAGAAGAAACUAUAAAUCAUAUUCUUAUACACUUUAUAGUGGUCAGAGUCCUGUGGAAUAUCAUCCUUGGGUUAUCAGAUGUGUAGUGGUUCUUUCCAAAAACUGUAAAGGAGGUCUUAACUAGCUGGAGGAGCCCUUUUGUGGGGAAGAAAAGGAAAAAGAUAUGGAAAUCCAUACCGUUGUGUAUUUUUUGGACGUUUGGAAGGAGAAGAAUAGAUUAGCUUUUAGGAGGGGUGUGUUAGAUAUUCAGAAACUUAAGAAUUUUUUUGUUUGUAAUUUAGGGAGUUGGGCUAGAUUGUAUAUUGGAGAGGAGUCUCUAUCCCUUAUAGGCUUCUUGGAGUGGUUAGCUUCCAAUUAAGGGGUGGUGAGGUUCUGUUGGCUUUCUUUUUUGCUUGAGAGGUGUUAGUUGCCUUGUAUACCCCCUGUAUGCUUUGUGGCUUUUCACCUCUGUUUUAAUACAAUUAUGAUUUACUUAUAAAUAAAAAAUAAAAAGAAGAAGAAGAGUCAACUGAAACAUGGUAAUUAGCAUUAUCAUUAUCUUCCAAAUAGAAGAGGAUUGGUAAAACCUUUUAUUUAUGUCAAUGAUAUGCAAAAUGCUACUGGAAAUUUGCUAUGAAAGAAAAAAAAAGGAUCUAAUCAAUGUACCUGAGCAAAGAUAAAUGGCCCUCCAUCUCGCAUCCGAAGUGAAUCACGCUCCAUCACUGCCAAGUCAGCUCCAACUGCUGGUGCAAGGUCAGUCUUGUUUAUCACCUACAAUUCAAAAUCAAACCCUCGUUACUGUCAAACUUCCUAAUGCUUGGAUCUUCUUUCUGAGUGCCAAAAGUAACUGCAGCAGGUAUAACUGAAGAGAAUUAGAAAACACAUACUAGGAGAUCAGCUUGGGUUAUGCCUGGGCCUCCUUUCCGAGGAAUUUUGUCACCACCAGAUACAUCUAUUAUAUAAAUAAUAUAGUCGGCCAAUUCCCUGCUGAAAUUGGCAGCUAAAUUAUCUGCAGUGACACAAAUUGAAGUAAAUGUUAAACCUUCUUAUCCCAAAUUAUCAAAAACAUUCCUUUAAGUAUCCAUAAACGAGUCAAUGGUAAGUUGUUAAGGAAUGCAUAGAUUAUGAAUAAGUACCAUGAACAUCAUGAUUAAACCCAAAAUUAUUCGUGAAUGUUCUAGAUAUUACCAGAAUGACAACAUGUGCUCCUUUUUUCAUUCAAAAAGUCCAUUUCCAUUUCCCAAAUCAUUUUUUUUUCUGAAUUACUACAACAAAAGAAUAUUUUUAUCACAAAAGGCACUCAAUUUACUUCACAAAAUUUCAAUAAAUUCCACAAUUCAAAUUAUUUCCUGAUUCGUCAUGACUCCAAAAUCCAUCACUAGGUUCAACAUGAUGAUCAUUGCUCAAUUUGUAGCAUUUUAAUAUGCCAACUUAAAUUACCAGUUGUUACCAGUUUGAUGCCAAUGAUAACCACUUAACAUGAGAAAUCAUUUAUAAAAAUGAAAAGUGAGGAAAUGUGUCCACUAACAAAUUACCUCCCCCAGAUUCACAGAGAAGUAUGUCAACUUUGAACAAGUUGGAAAGCUCCUCAAGAGGGCCAAGAUUGAUGCUGAUGUCUUCACGAAUUGCAGCAUGAGGACAACCUCCUGUUUCUACAGCUCGUAUCCUUUCCUCAGGAAGUGCUCCAUGCUUCACCAAGAACUCACCAUCCUCUUUAGUGAAUAUAUCAUUUGUCACCUAAAAUGAUUUCAUACUUACAUUUUUGUUACAAUUGAAAUUUCCAAGAAAUUAGAACAAUAUGAGAUAUGAGAAGUGGAUACUUAUAUACCUAGAUUAACAACACAAAGUGUCAAUUGAUAAGAUUAAUUAUUUUGAUAUUGUUAGCCUCGAAGAAAUAAUUGGCAGCAAGGAUACUCCAACACUAUAAUGCUGAAAAGAAGGGGAUUCAACAUGUCUUUUAAAGAGUGUAAGGUGUAACAAGAAGGGCUGCAGCAAUUAUGAGGAUGAAACACUGCAGGUUCUAGGAAAUUCAAGGUUUUCUAUCAGAUUGGCACACAAGUUACAACAGUUAUGAAGAAACAUUGGCUGGAAAAGCCAUAAAAUUUUAAGCACAGGAUGCUGGAUGUCAGGGUGGACUUCGCAGUAGGGCUACUAGGGUUUGGUGGUGUAUAAAUGGCAAGGCAUAGAAAAUCCCUUGAUUGUAUAUAUAAGAAAAUAAGCAUAUGCUUGAGAGGAAGCUGUUUAGUUCACAUGGAGCACCAGAAAGCUUUGCCUUCCUUGUGGAGGAAAUUUGUCAUAUACCUUUCGCAUCUUUCUGAAACAAAAGUGGUGUGGAACUGUGUCUCAAGAGUCCACAAGUCCAAGAAGAUGGAAAAGACAUGGAGAUUGAUUAAAGCAUGAGUGACUUACUGUUUGGUAAGGUGCGGGAAAGUCAAAAGAAUAUUAUCCUGACAUUAGCAGAAUUAGCACUCACCAGAAUGGGAAGCUACUCAUUUAGCAUAGUUCAUUAACAGUCUCUACUAACAGAAUAUAAAAAACAGCUCUGCAGGUAUAAUGAAUGAAUGGGAUGCUUCAAAACGAUACUCACUGCAGCGAGGCUGUAUUUUUCGCGCAAACAUUGACACAGUGCCAACAUCAGAGCUGUUUUCCUGCACAGUGAAACAGAAUAUGUUGGCACUCAUUCAUUGAGCUUAGUUCAGGCUUGCAAUGUAGAUAACGAAAUAAGAUAAAAAUAGUGUUGAACAAAAGGGGAACAUCCCCUUUUCUUCUUUUUUGAAAAAAUUCAAGUGCUGCAAACAAGGAAGACUAAGCUACCAAAAUAUAAACAAGAAAAAGGCUAAAAAUAAGUAUAAAUACAACAAAAGGACAAAUUAUUGCUCAAUGAAUUCAAAUGUCAUCCAGGUAUCAAGGAACCAUGUCAUACAACAUUAUCAACUAUUCAAGUUAACUGUGGAUCCUGUAUCAUCUCAACAUUUAUAUAAAAUAACCAUGAAAAUUCUCAAGUAUAAAAUUUACAGAGUAGGUCCAAGGUAGAGGCUCUACUUAUACCAGGAACAUGAAAGUAGUGUACUGCAGAAAAAUCCAUUAAACUAAGAAUUCAAUAAGUAGCAGCAUUUGAUUUUUUAUUUUUCCCUUUGAUUUAAGAAACAAUUAUGAGGAAGUAGAGACUCCAUUCAUGGUGUUUGGGGGAAAAAUGGAGGGAAAGAAGAAAUACCCAGUACCAACAGGGCCGCCAAUACCCACUGUGAAAGCCCUUUCAUGGAAAUUCCUGGUGAGAAGUGGUGGAGCUCUUCUGCUGAAGUAGCCAGGUGAGUAUAUGGGCUCAUGGGUGUGUGGUGCCAGUCCAUCAUGGCUAUGGUACAACUUCCCAUCUGGCCCCACCCACGAUUCUGCUUUCAUAUCCCUGGAAUCAAUUUACCAACAAGAAAAUGUCACAAAAAUCAACCAAAGAAAAAACGAAAAAGUAAAUUGAAUGCCAAAAGUUUGAGAGGGAUUACGGAUGGCCAUGGUGGUGGUGCUUAUGGUCAUCGCUGCUCUCAUGAUGAUGAUCAUUACCAGGCUCAUAAUCCUCACCAUGGCUAUCAUUCCCAUCACAAUCGUGGUCAUCAUCGUGACUAUCAGACUCUUUUUGCUUCUGGUCAUCACUGCUAGGAUGAUGCUGAUCAUUGCUAGGCUCCUUAUUAUCAGGGUGGCGGCGGUGAUGGUGGUGGCGGUGGUGGUGGUGGCCAUGGUGGCCAUGGUGGCCGUGCUUGUGGCCGUGGUGAUGAUCGUGGUGAUGGUCGUGGUGGUGGUCAUGAUGAUGCUUGUGAUCAUGGCGAAGGGCCAUCUGAUCUUGGGAUGCCAUUGGCUCACUGUUUUGAGAAUUCUAGCUCUGAAAGUGUGUUCACAGAGAGAGAGUGGGCUGGAAGUGAUCGGUGACCGAUGACUGAUUUGGCUACAUAUAGAUGAUGAUCUAUUUGAUUUUACAAAAAUGCCCAUCCCUAAUACCAAUGGUGAUAAUGUCAGCAUUAUUGGUUUUGGAUUAUUAGGUCAUUUAGUGGGACGAUAGACGAAAGUGGGUCAUGAACCCAUACACCUCACUAAUAAUUAUAACUUAUUUAAAAAAUAAUAACCAAACUUUAUAUUAUUAGUACAUAAUGCAUUAACAGUGUGUGUCUUAGUGAUUUUAUUUUAACUUAUUCUUUCUCUUACUUAGAAGAUUAAAUUUUUUAAUCCUAAAAUCACUGUCAAAUACAUUUUAAAUUUACUAUAUUUUUAUAUUUAUACAAAAUUUAUGGGUAAUAUAUUUAUAAAAUUUACGGGCAAUUCAUAAAAAGGAUAUGAUUGGACGGAAUUUAUCUACCAAAAUCAAUAAUGCUUUUAUAACAGGUAGGAAUUGGCCAGAUUUAUGCUAAAAUGGAAGUUUCCUAAAGAAACCUCCAUAGGACAGGAAGCUUCCCAGAGAAGAGACCCACGUGAAAAAUGAGCCUGCCAAGAAGGGCUCCAUACCCUAUAAAGGCCGCAACAUCCAAUAAGGUUCAGGCUUUGCUUGUGUGGUUUUUUUUUUUUUUUUUGUUUAUUUAUUUAAAUUAUUAUGACUAUUCUUUUUAUUUUUAUUUUAUUUUGUUUUUACUUUAGCUGGGAAAUGAAAUAAAAUUGUAACACUUUUGUUAUUAUAAUAAAUAUUGUGUUACACAAUAUUUCUAAACUAUCUUUUUAUUGCAAAAUGAUUUAAUUAUGUAAAUUACUAAAUUUUAUCUUUUUUAUUAUUAUAAAUAAAUUUUAAUAUUUUAAGAUACUAAAAAAUAUAUCAUAUUACUAAAUUUUUUGUUGUGUUAUUAUGAACCUACAUGAAAUGAUUACGAAUCAAGAGAAAAAUACAGAAAAACACCUAAUAUUAUAUUCUAAGGUGAUAAAAUGGAGCAUCUACUAUUAUAUAUUUUCAAAUAUCUUAUUUUAAUUAUAUAAAAUAAGAAAAACAUAAUAAUUAAUUUUUGACAUGAAAGAGACAUCAAAUUACUUUGUUAUUUUGAUUUAUUUGAAAAUAUGCUAAAAUUUUAUUUUAUUUAUUUAUUUUUUGUCAAAUUAUUGUUAAGAAAAGCAUAAUAAUUAUCUUUUGUAAUUUAAUGUCUUUAACAUGUGAAAACAAACCUUUGUAUUAUUAAGGUCUACACUUGUAGAUUUAUUCAAAUUUAAAUUAAAUUAAAACUUAUUAAGAUUUAAUAGAGAUGAGAGAUUUUUUUUUUAUUUUUUAUUUUAAAGGACCUUACUAACCUACUUGAAUCGAUUUGAGCCCAUCCAAAGCCCAUACAGAUUGGGCCAUUUUGAUGGCGGCAGUUGGCUGUGUGGAGGCCAUCCACCCGUGCCAGGCCAAGACAGGCCAGGCCCAGCAUCAUCUCAAACCAUUUUGGCCCAAUCUUUGCAGCAAAGCUCUAGAAGAAAGGUUAAAAUUUGACAGUAAUUUUAGAAGUAUUUCUAAAGUGCGUUUGGCAUCCCAUCAGUUAGAAGGAACUCAUCCUCUCUUAAUUUUGGGCUCCACCAAGCUAUACAAGAUGGUACACAAUAAGUUUUCUCUUUUCGUGCUUAUUGUUUAAUAAUUUAAGUUAAUUUUAAAUUAAAUUACUUUUAAGUUGUUAGUUAAAAUUUAUUACUUAAUUUUUUUAUUUUAAGUAUUAAAGUAAUCUUUCAUGAGACUUGUUCCCCAAGUUCUAUUCAUUCCUCUUGUUGUAAAGUAUUUCAAAUUCCUAAUUGAUAAAAAUUCUAUAUAUAAAAUAUUUCAUAAGUUAUACAUUAUUGUAAUAUUAGAUUUCUUUAUAAAAUAAAAAAAGUUAUUAAGAAUAUCUUUAUAAAUAUUUUAGAUCAUAAAAGAAAAUGUUAUGAGAUUUAGAUGAGUUUAUACAGAUUAUACGAAGUGAAUAGAGAUGUGACGAAGAAUGGUACCUGAUGGAGCGAACGAGCUCAUGGUUCAAGAUGUGGAUACAAGAAGUGGGGAAACAUGAAAUGUUUUGAGAAUCUAAUAGUUGUAUUUGGUUCUAUCAUUUGUAAUAUCAUAUAUAAUAUAGUAGAAAGUUUCUCCCUCAUCUAUAAACGUGAGCAUGAUUCAUCUAAUCAUGUUAAAACCUUAUGUAUCAUUGUAUCGAUUGUUUUAUUUUUGUGUUCUUAAUAUUUUUUUUGAUAGACAAAGAGAAAAAUAACAUAAAACAUGCCAAAACAGGGGGUGCUCCCUACGUACACAGACAAUAUACAAAGAAAGUCAAAACAAGGCAACAAAAGAAAAAAAAAACCUAGAGAGAAAAAAGCUAACCAACAAGCCAAUCACCCAAAAAAUUCAGAAAAGAAAGAGAGUUCAAGUUCAAAAACUGUUGAGACUACUCAAGAAGAGACUGAAAAAAGAGGUUCCUCAAGCAAGUAUUUGACAUCUUUUCCUCUUGGAACGUUCUUCGGUUUCGCUCUCCCCAAAUACACCAAAAAACACAAAUAUGCGCCAAUCUCCAAAUUGUUCUCCUUUUCUUCCCUAGCCCCUUAACUUUCCAUUCUAGAAGCAGAUUUCUCACUGAAGCCGAGACCACCCAUACCACCCCAAAAGAAGACAACAACAAAGUCCAAAGCUCCCUUGUCUUACCACAAUGAAUUAGGAUGGGGUUCGCCGAUUCCUUAUUCUCUUUACAAAGAUUGCACCUAUUAAUCAUAGACCAGCCCCUCCUCACUAACAUAUCUAUAGUAUAAAUUUUACCCCAAACUGCUUCCUAUGCAAAAAAAACGAGUUCUAAAAGGAACAUACGAACCCCAAACCUCUUUGGCUGGAAAUAAGGGGUUAUUAUCACCCUUAAAGACCUAUAAUAAGAUUUAACAUUAAACUUUCCCCUUUUUUUUAUCUUCCAAAAUAAAGAAUCAUUCCCUUCUUGAACCUUUACUGUAAAAAUAUGAUCCAAAAAACGAGUCACCUCCUCCAAUUCCCAAUCUUGGAAGGAUCUUCUAAAUUGCACCUCUCAACCCUCGCAUCCACCCAUUGUCUCCCCCAAAGAUCAGCCACUACAGCAGAAUUAUGGGUUGCAAUUCUGAACAGUAAAGGGAAAAGAUCCUUCAGCUUAGAAUCUCUUACCCAAAUGUCCCACCAAAAUCUUGUGAGUCUACCAUUUCCAAUACGAAUACUAGUUCUAAAAAGAAACUCCUCCCAACCUUUUCUAAUGUCUUUUCAAAGGCCCAUCCCAUAAGACUCUCUCACCUCUCUAGUGGUCCAACCCCCUUCCUCCUCUCCAAAUUUACCAACAAUGAUUUUCCUCCAAAAACUCUCCAUAUCUAGAGGAAAUCUCCAAAGCCAUUUUCCUAGCAAAGCAUGAUUGAAAACCUUCAAAUGUCUUAACCCCAACCCUCCAUGCCUCUUAUCUUUGCAAAUAACCGCCCAUCUUACCAAGUGAAUCUUCUUUCUCUCCUCCAAAUCUCCCCACAAAAACUCCCUUUGAAUUUCUCCAAUCUAAGUGUCACUUUUCUUGGGAUUACAAAAAGCGACAUAAAAUAGAUGGGAAGAUUUGAGAGAGUGAUCUUAAUGAAGGUAAGUUGACCUCCCUUAGAAAGAUAUUGUUUUUUCCACGUAGCCAAUUUCCUUUUGAAUCUUUCCUCAACAACAUCCCAAACUCUACACAAAUUAUGAGGGCCUCCAAAAGGUAAACCUAGAUAAGUAGUAGGAAGAUUCCUUACUUUACACCCAAAAACCGCAGCUGCUCUAUCCACAUCCUCUACUCCCCCAAUUGGAAUAAUUUCACUUUUCUGCAUGUUUAUUUUUAGGCUUGAUACCACUUCAAAACAAAUAACAACCCACUUCCAAAAUUCCAAUUGGUCCUUGUUAUCCUUGCAAAAAAAAAAAAAGUGACAUCUGCAAACAACAAAUAGGAAACUGAAACCCCUUCUCCACAUCUCCCCAUUACCUUGAAACCCUUAAUGAAACCUUUUUCCUCAGCUCUUGAUAUUAAAUUGCUAAAAGCUUCCAUAAUUAGCACAAACAGAUAAGCUGAGAGUGGGUCUCCCUGCCUUAGGCCUCUAAACGUUGAGAAGAACUAUGUGGGAGUGUCAUUCACUAAAACUGCCAUUCUCACAAUUGAAAUGCAGAAUAAAAUCCAGUUUUGCCACUUGGGUCCAAAACCCAUUUUCUCCAAAACUGAAAGAAGGAACCUCCAGUUUACGUGAUCGUAUUCAAUGUCCAAUUUAUACACUAAACCUGCACCGACACUUCGUUUUCUUAAGUCAAUCGCCUCAUUAGCUACCAAAACUACAUCUAAAAUCUGUCUACCUCCCACAGACGCAUUCUAACUAUUCGAAACCACUUUUCCCAUCACUCUUUUCAGCCUAUUUUCUAGGACUUUGGCAAUAAUUUUAUAAAGACUCCCCACAAGACUAAUGGGCUUAAAAUCCUGCACGUCACUAGCCCCCUCUUUCUUCGGGAUAAGCACUAAAAAGGUUGCAUUAAGGUUUCGAAAAACAACGUUCUGCGAAUAGUGCUCCUCAAACACCUGUAUCGCUUCCUCCCAACUAUAGGCCAACAAAAAUUCCAAAAUGCCAACAUAAAACCGUCCGACCCUGGCGCCUUAUCUCCCUCCAAAUCUGGGAGAGCUUUGGAAACCUCCUCCUCCGAAAAUGGCCCCCCCAAAGUCUCAUUAUCUAAUGAGUCAAGAGUUCUAAAAAGACCUGACUCCACAGCAGGUCUUCUCACUAGAGAUUCUUCAAACAAGGAUUUAAAGUAGGAUCCAAUCUCUUCUUUAAGCUCCUCCUUUUUAUCCAACUGAACACCCCUAACUGUCAGGCUACUGAUAAAAUUUCUCUUUCUCCUUACAUUAGCCAUAUGGUGAAAGAACUUGGUAUUGCUAUCUCCCUCCUUCAACCAAAGAGCCCUUGACUUCUACCUCCAAGAGAUUUCUUCAAGGAUGGCACAAUGACUAAAUUCAUCUCUAGCUAUCCGCUGACUACUCCUAUCUUCCUCAUAUAGAGAUCCAAGCCUUUCUAAACUAUCCAAAUAGUUUAACUUCUCCAAGGCUGCAUCCUUCCUAGUUGACACAUUGCCAAAGGUCCCUUUAUUCCACAUCUUCAAGUUGUAUUUCAAAGCUUGUAGCUUCUUCGCAAGUACAAAACUGGGUUUUCCCCUAAAAUUGUAAGACUACCACCAUUCUUUAAUAUUAUCCAUAAAACACAUGUUUUCAAAUCUAAACAGGCUUUUACUUGUUCUUAUCCCACCGUAGUCUAAUAAAAUCGGGCAAUGGUCAGAAACAGGUCUUGGAAUAAGAAUUUGCAUUGCCCCCGACACAAGGUCCUCCCAAUCUCCUAAAAACAAAAAGCGGUCUAAUUGAGCCUUUAGGGAACCUCCUUCCCCUCCACUCUAAGUGAAUGCUCCACCUCCCAGUGGUGGGUCUACUAAUUCAAACUCGUCAAUAAAGCUUGAAAACUCUCUCAUCAUGGUUGACAUCUAUCUGCCAUUGCUCGUUUCAACUAGAAACUACACCACAUUAAAGUCCCCUGCUAUACACCAAGGUUCAUUCCAAAGCCCCUUAACAACGGCUAGCUUCUCCUACAACUCCUUUCUCUCCCUUCCUUUGAGCGGGCCAUAUAACCUAAAGAAAACCCAAACAAAACCCUCCUCGCAAUUUCUAAAGCGGCAUGAAAUAGAAAAAAAACCCACUUCAACCUCCAAUCCUUCCAAAACUCUCUUAUCCCACAGUACUAGCACCUCACCAGCUGUAUUCCUUACAUAUAAAGAUACCCAACCCACGUUCCUACCAAUCCCCAAACUUCUAACAAUCCUAGCAGACAUUUCCUUCAUUUUUGUCUCCUGAAAACAAACCAAAUAUGGCUUAUGUUUUCUCACCAUCGACUUAAUGACCAUCAUUUUAUCUGGGUUAUGCAUGCCUCUAACAUUCCAGGACAAUAUCCUAAGCUUCAUAAGGGACUACAUCAAUUUACCCUCCCAACUCCCCUUCAUCUGCCACUCUUCCAGCCAAUCCAUCAUAAUUAAUAGUGCUAACGAGCUUCUUCAAAUCUCUAUCAUUCCUUGAACCUGACCAAGUUUGCUCUCAUUAGGCUUAUUGAUAAAACAUCUCGUAUUCUCAAUCUCCUUGAGGAUUCUCAAAAUAUCAUAUUUGAAACCUUCAAUCGAAACCCCCACAAACUUAUAGAACCAAAAGAAUUUCUUGUUCACCUAAGGGGAUUUGUCUUUUUCCACUUCUCCUACUAUAGUGAUAUGAAGUUGUGGCGUCUCCUCCUUUAAAGAAACGGGAAAAUCGUGCAAGUUGGGAACCUCAUUAUCUCAAGACCUAAGGGUUACUGCCUCAUCCCCUCCCUCUAAGCGAUUGGCCCCAUCAUUACCUGGCAAAGUGAAGGAGCAUCCAUCCUUGAGAACCAUACAAAGUGGCAACUCAAGCUCCAAAGGGUCUUCAGACGUCCCCUCAUACUCCCUUGUCUGCGAGUACCCCAUAGAAUUCCCCAACCCCGAAAAAAAAAAGGAGAAGAAAGGUCUGAAGAUUCCCCGAAUACACACCCCCCUCCCACCCCACCCCAAGAGUAGGAGAACAAGAGAUAGGGAAGAUAACUCUUCAAAAGUGAACAACUAAGGCCUUGGUCCAACGAGGAUGCCUCCUGCUCUGAAAUCUCCCCAGUAGAAACUGGCUUCGGGAUCUCCUACUUGAACUCCCCAGAAUUAAAAAAAGGGAGCCUUAGGAAAGAAGCUUGGGCCAACCCCAUUUCAAGCCCUUUUUUUCUAUUAGGCCUAAUAGAAACAGCCCAACACCCCACCUUAUUAGAGAAACCCAACCCCACUUUCUUAAAUGAAAACUUGGCCCAAUGGAGACUGGGCUUUCGAGUUCUAGUAGGCCCUCCCAAUGGGUCCCUAGACACCGGCUCGACCCACUUGGAAAUUUGGCCACCCUGUCCACCCUCAGGACCCCUUCCACAGCCAAAAAACUUCUUUCCAGCCAACCUUACGAAUUCAGACACCCCACUUUUUGUCGCGUCAGAAGUCUCUUUCACCAAACCGGCUUCCUCUUGCAUAGAAACAAGACCUUCAUAGUCUUUUAGCCUAGUUUUUUCCUCAAGAAUCCGUAACUCCAAUCCAUUAACCUAACACAUACGUCUGCAGCAAGAGUUCCUUCUCCACAAAGCUUCCUUUCCUUUCCACGCGCACCAUAGUACGUGACGCACACCCCCCUUCUUCCUGCUUGAAAGGAACCUUACUCACUGGUUCAACUCCCCUUUAAGGCUUUAGAUCAAUCGCCACCCUAAGGGCCGAGAACCACACCGAAUCCUCCCACUACAAUGGGAUAGAGAACGAAGCAAACCCAACUAUCACCUCUAACCUUCAAGGCACCUCCUUCCAUUAUUUUUAACUAUGAUUCUAACCCCUUUCUUAUAACAAGACUCUUUGGUCUCCUCAUCCACAGCUACAAAACCCCCACAAGCAUCCCCCACCUUUUUAAAGAACUCCAUACUCCAGAACUGUAAAGGCAACCCUGGGAUUCUCACUCAGGAUACAUCCCUCUGGAACUCCAUCCUAGAAUACCCCACAGUUGGAACCCACUAGUCUAGGGAUAAUCGAACGCCAUUGAGAAAGCGACUCCCCUCCUCCAACACUUUUUUAGCAACACUUGUAGUAGAAAAUUCAAAUAGAAACAAAGAAUCUCUUAAAGUAGCAACGCUCACUUGACCGCAUAAAAUCUAAUGGGAGUUUGCCCAAAUCGCCACCACCCCUAAGUCAGGCGCUGCCUCGUCCUCAAUAUCCCAUUUGCCCACCAAAAAUCGGCUAAGAUCUUUCAACUUCGAAGUAUAAGCCUCAUUCCCAACUUCAACCCAAACUUCCUCACUCCUCAUUUUUGUCUUGCUCUUGGUUGCAUCUAUAAAGCUUAAGCCUACCAUAGGUAUAAGAGACCUCUACUCUAAUCUUAGAGUCACCUCCAAUUUUAGCUAACUCCCUUAACUUUCGUCUCAUGAAGUCCCAACCCAAAAGGUCAAAACCCUUUGGGAUAAUAAUGAAAUAUCCCUAUCAUCCUCUAAAAGGACAAAAAUCAAAAGGUAACGUCCAACUUCAUUUUGACACAUUUCUAUCCUGAACCUCCUACCUCUAUAUCAUUCACGUCUCCCUUGAACAACUUCUUCCCUCUCCAUUUGCAGCAAACUUCCAGCGACUUCAGAAUCCAACCCAUUACCCCUCUACUCGCUUUGAUCCACCUUUAGAAACCUUUGCCUUUCUCCACUAUUUGCACCUCACCCUUACCCUUUGUCCAAUCAAUCCACAACUUAAAGGAUUUGGAGUCGAUGAGGAAGAAGCAUGAGCUUUCCCCCAUUUGUUUCAACCAGGAAAUGAUAGAAAACCCCUACACUAGACUUCUCUCAGUUUGCCCAUAACUGCCUAGGUGAAUCUUUCAAUCCCCAAGCAGGCAGAAAAUUUUUUCUCCCUCACAAUCCCAUGCUUUAAGCCUCGGCCAAGCAGCCCAUGUGUUCUUAAUAUAACAUUGUUUGUAUUAAAGUUUCCGUUGGUAGAACACCUCGAUUGUUUUAUUUUUAUAUUCUUAGUAUAACUUUGUUUGUAUUUAAGUUUCCGUCAGCACAACACCUCUAACAAGAAUGUGGAGAAUUUUUUUUUUUUCCUUUUAUUUUUUGUUAGAAAAAGCUAAAAGAUCAUAGGCCAUGAGAAGUGUUCUAAGAGAGUAUAGAUUAUUGUGUCUCAACUUGUUGCAAAUGGGAAAGAUAGGUCAGCAUUUAUACAGGUUUCAGUUGCUUGGCAUUUGUAUUCAUAGUCGUGUGAAAUUUAAAGGCAAUGAGAUGCUUCAGUGUUAAUUAAAUGCUCUUGUGGCUAAUGGAACAAAAGGGGGAAGACAAAAAUGGAAACCAGAACUAUUCCUUACAAUGGCAAGUCCAGAAAAUUUCCUCAUUGUAUUUAGAAAGCCAAUUACAAGAGCAUCUACAAGCCUGACAUUGCUGGGCUUAGAAUGCCAUGUCCAGUUAUCACUGAAGUUGGUAUCAGAACCAACAGCAAGAGUAUCUCACAGAAAGGGCCAUUUGAGCGGACUAGGCAGGCCUCCAUGAUGGUCUAACACGACAGGCUCCCCUUAGGCCGAAAUGAUCAGGUCAUGCCGACCUAUCUCACCACAAUAAUUGGGGUGGGCUAGCAUGACCAGAUCUUUUAGCUUUGCCGACCCAACACAUUUAGUCAUUGACAUGAGAGUCUAUGACAAUCGAUGGGUGGGUGAAAUUUACCCUCUAAACCACAAAUAUUCUAAAUUUUGAAACACAAUAUAUCAUUGCCACUAGCAAAAAUGUAAUUUGGAGAGCCCUUUCCUUAUGCUAUAUUAACAUGAUACUAUAAUAAACUGAAUCAGAUUAUCAUACAAAGCACUACACCAAAUCAUUCAUAUGUCUCGUUUCCCAUAAAUUAAAGACAUCCAUUUUUCUAAUGUCAUCACUAUAUCCAAUCUCAAAUUUUCAGUAAACACCCAGAACCCAUACAAAGAAAGAGAUUAAUUGCAGUACGACCACACCACUUUUUAAUGCUUGCAAUCCAACAAUCAUGCACUAACACGGAGUGUAAGCAUAAAAAAGUGAACUGCAAAUAAGGCUAUGUAUACCCAUUACCCAAAAGGUUUAAGGAAAUGGAGAGAGUAGAGAAAGGGUGAAUGAAAUGAAAGAAUCCCAGGCAGCAGUGUUAGUUCAUGAAGUGAUUCAUGAGUGCAUUCUUUUUCCUACAUGGCUCAGUCAAGAUCUCCUUCAGGGAGUUCUCUCUUUGAGUAGGAAUGACUUGAUCAGAGGGUGUGACUGCUUCAUUCCCCAUAAUCACUCCUUGCUUUUGCAUGUACUCCCAUUUGUCUUGGAAGAGGUAGAAGAAGGCCAUCAAACACACCUCUGCUGUGAAGAGUACAGUCCAUAGCCUGAUGCUUCUCGAUGUUUUCUUCUGGUAGGCUUCCAAGCCUGUGUAUAUGUUGAUCAUUCCCACUACAGAAACUGUUGUUCCAAGUAUCCAAUGCACGAAGUACCACACACUUCGCCCUUUACUUCUUCUGCACCCAAAAGAAAAAAAAAAAAAGGAACAGGAAUGAUGGUCUUUUGUUUGCAGACUAAAACCACAAUAAACCAGAGAUGGGUCUUCUUGAAUUUCUGGGAAAACUAUGAAAUGAAAUUAGCUUCAUCAGUUGGGGUAGAAAAAGGGCAGAAUCAUUUUGUUCUGAAAUGUGAGGAAGUCAAAGAAAACUACCUUCCAGGCCUGCAAAAUCCAAUCAAAGCUUGCACCCAAAUGGCACCAUAGAGCGCUAAACCUAUUCUCUGGUGGUAGUUAUUGAAUGAAUUCUCAAAAUUCUUUAUGGACAUGAUUGCUCCAGCUGUGGCUAUAAGUACUGAGAGUACCUGGUAGAUGGAAAAAAUGAAGAAAAAAUAAUAAUAAUGAUCCAAUACAUAGAGAAAAAAUGAAGAAAGAAAGUUUAUGGAAUAUACAUCUUCAAUUCCUCCAUUUCAAUCUUUAAGCCUAAUCUUUACAGUAUGAUAAUUGUGAGGGUGAAGUACAUAUACAAAAUGGAAGGAAACAAACCAAGGAAAAAUUAUGGCAUACAUAAGGUUUGAUCAUCGCUUGCUUAUUCCUUAAUCUUUAAUGCAGAAAUGAUAGAAAAGCACUGCAAACUUAAUUAAGAAGGAAAUUAUUAGGCCUCGACAAGCUUUGGAGAUCAUUAACCAUGGAAAAUGAUACUCUCUCCACAAGGGUUUUCUGCUACUUCUACAAAAAUAGUAACAUUACUUUUGUAAACUUAAGGAGAUUUGUUCAUUUAUCAGAGAAGCUGUUAUUUAACUUGGAAUUUGACAAGGGGGAUCGAUGAUUAUAUGGAUCAUAAGAAUUACAUAAUCACAAGUCUCUUGUCUUGCUAUCCAAGUUUUGGUGAUAAAAAUAUGGUUGAAUUUGCUUUAAUGAACCAUUACCUAACUGUGGGGUAAACCGAAAAAAGAGAAAAUGCAGACACCAUCAUUAAAGUUAAAGUGGGCUGUAAUAAUGCAUAUACAAAAGAUCAAUGGUUGAAUGAUCACUUCUUGCGACUCUGAAGAGUCAUUGUCUCUAUCUAUUGAAAUUAAAUUCAUACUUGCCUUACAAUUUCUUCUUCUUUUUUUUCCGAAAAAAAAAUGGUUGGGAAUUCAUGGAUUGAGUUGCAGAAGUGAAAAGAAAACUUAAGAUUACCUGCAAGGUGGUAUGGACAUAGAAGAUAACUCUGACCUUUCUUCCACAUUCCUCUCUGUUGCACAUUCUGAUUGUAAUUACCCCAAUAGGCAUUAAGAAUCCCGUGGAAGCCCAAAGGAGAACUCCAUGAAGUGUUAUAUCAAAUGUCAUCUGAGGACUCAGCUGAGAAACAACUGAAAAAUAUUAGCUCUUGUGUGUGUGAGUGUGUGUGUAACAUACACAUUCAUAUGCCUACAUAAGAAGAUGAAGAAGUUAUUAUUGGAAUUGGAAAGGAGAGUUGCUGCUAAUAAAAUGAGUUACCUUGUGAACAUUGUUGUUGAUUCUCUUGUGACCUUUGGAUUCAUGGGAUGAGCAACCAACAAAUGACAGAAGAACAAGCAAAACAAAGCAUGCAGGAAUGGUGAAAGACAAUAGCUUCUGAAAAAUAGGCAUCUUUCAGUCUCCAAGCAAAACAACAAUAGCAGAAAGGAACCUGCUCUACCAGUCAAAUCUUCUGGUUUUCAGCUACAAAUAGAAGAGUGUAAUGGGAUCAGGUCUUGACCAUGAAACUAUAUACAGAAAAAAGCUCACCGACCUUUCCUUUCUCUCUCUCCCUCACAAAAUUUUCAAGUCUUCAUCAUUACUUCUCAAGAUACAGAUAGAUCAUAUGGAAUAUUUUAGUUUGGAAGGCUCUACAUGACUCUUUCAGACAGGGGCUUAUAAGGUAAGUUGGAUGAAAAUUAUUUGCAUAUGCUGAUACAGAAACUACAUGUCUUUCUGUAUAAAGAAGCAAAUGUGGGAUGAUUAGUAAAUAUAAAAAGGAGCUACAUGCCUACUAGUUAUGUACUUUUGGGGGUGGUUUGAUGGUGUUUGGUGGUGGCCAUGAGCAUAUUUGAAUAGGAUGAAAAGGGAGUGGAGAUUAUGAAUUGUAAAAAUUAAAGUGGCUUUUUGUUUUAAUGGUAGAAAUAGUAUUGAAUCGCAGAACACAAGAUGGUCAAAAUUCUAAUGGAUGGGAAAGAUGAAAAUGUAAUACCAUUAAAAAGAAAAGGAUAAAAGGAAAGGUGCAGUGGAUGAAAAUUUCCCUUUUUUUUCUCUUUUGAUUUGAUUUUCUUAAUAAAUAAAACCUUUCCAAGAUUGACAAGUUUAUACCUAAAGUCUCAAACUUGACUACCCUGAAAGCAUUGUUGUUAAGUCAUUUGGUUACUUUUACUUCAUGAGUACAACUAAAAGAGUUUUGUCAUGAUCCCCCUUUUCCAUGUUUUAGUCAAAUUUGAUCAAAAUUUCUGCUUUGUUGUGAUAUGCAUAGACGCGUUUUAAAAUCGUGAGGGUCUAUCGGAUCUAGAGUGGAUAAUACUACACACCUAAGAAUGGGUUGUUAUAUUUGUUCCCAAGUUGUGUUAAGUGCCAUCAUCUAAGCACAAGACCAGUGGGUGUUCUAUAAUGGACAUGUAAAAAAGUUUCCAUUCUCAUUACAAUAUGAACUUGUGAUUCUGGGGUCAAUCUAAUGGAACCUAGUGAUUCUGUUUCCCACAUUCUUUCCCUGCUUGUGGCUCACUUUCAUAAAUAUACAAUGUAUCAGUGCAAAAUGGAGAACACAUAUGGAGAAAUAAAGUGCCCCACUUCCUCUAGAUGUAUUCUCACCAACCAUCAACCACCAACCCUACCUUGUACCAUAUAAUAAAAUCUAUGAAGCACUAUAUGACUAUGUAGGGAGAGAAACAAUUCCCAUUACCAUUGUCUUCACUUGAUCUUGUUUGUUUGGAAACUUAAUCUGUUAGAUCAGAGUAUAAUACAACAGGUGGACCAGGACACCAUGCAGUAAGCAACUUUUGAUGCUGGAGAAAUCAAGCAUAGUGGUUGAACAAAACCCACCAAGCUGCCUAUGGCCCCAACUGUAAUUGAAAGCUGCACUUGAUUUCUCCACAUUCAUGAUAGUAACAGUGAGUGUGAGAGAGAAAGAGGGAGUUUAUGAGUGGGUUCUUUUUCUUUUUUUCUGUCAGAUUUGCUCCACACUAUGUCUUCAUUCAUUCUAUAUCUUAUCAUUAUACACAAUUGAAGUGUCUCACAGUUUAUACAUAUGGCAAAAGUGGAAAAAUGUAGGCCUGUCUCCUAUGUAAAAAAAUUUGUAUGACACUACAUAUAUUCUCUCAAGACUCAAGAGUGAUCCAAAUCUAUGUUGGGGAAAAAGGAAAAGGAACUUUUCAAAUGGGUAACAGCUAAAACAUACAACUUUUUGGUAAUCCCCAAUGGGAUCUUUACAAAGAGACAUUAGAUUAGUUAAUUUGUAAUUAUUAUCAUUCCAUUAUUUUCAACAAUCAAGUUAUAAAGAGGGAGAAGAGAUUGGGGGCAACUUUAUAGAGGGAGACUUGGUGGGAAGUCGAAUCCAUAUCUUGUUUUGAUUCCUAGUUCUAAUUAAAGUUGUUGUUAUGUCUUAAUCUAAUGGUCCUUGUUCUUGAUUGCGAAGUUGACAGAAAUUUAUGAUUCAUAUAAUUGCUUAUAUUUCCAUUUCUUUUUGAAUUUGAGAUAUUUCACUAUCUAUUGACCAAAGUCGUGCUUCCAUGCAUCUUAUAAAGCAAACCACUCAUACUUUCACUACCUUUGUCAAUGAUACAUGGCGAUUUAUUGGCAUAACAACUUUUACUACCUUUGGAUUUCUUUGAUUUAUUAGUUAUAGAAUUUAAAAUAUUUCAUUUAUUAGUUUUCCUUUUUAAAAAAAAAUAUUUUAUAUUAAUAAAAAUUAUUGGAAGCCUAACAAAAAUCAUUCUUGGUGUUAUUUUAUUCUUCUUGGUAAUAUUUUAUUGGUAAUUAAACUUUAUAAUUUAUAAUAAACAUAACUCAAAUAAUAUUUAAACAUCAAUUAAUAAUAAUAAAAAAAAACAAUUCUCCAUUUUGGAGAAACGAAUUUUCUCAUAAAUAAGACAAACCUACACAUGAGAAUUUAAAUUGGUAGGUUACACCAAGUAAAGAUUAAGUUUAUCUAACAGUAAUUUUAAACUUGGUUUAUGAUUAACUUGUUCUUAAUCAUGCUAUUUUUCCAAAUAAACAUGCAAAAUUCUUCAUUCUUCUCAAAGAAUGGACAAAAGAGUUCCCCCUAAACCUUCAUUAAAAGAUAGUGAAAAUUAAGGUUAAAACUUUCAUAAAUUGGGCAAGUUGACGACUAACUCCAACCUAACCUGAAUUAAAAAACAAUUCACCUGAGUUCAACCCAACCUAAUCUCUAUUUCUCUAAAUUUGGAUUGUAUUUGGAUUGUUCGAGUUAAAUUUGAGGUUGAUCGAGUUAGACUCGAAUUAAUUAGGUUGAAUUCGGAUUGAAUAAUUCAACAUUUAUCUACAAUAUUUUAUAUAUAUAUUUAUACGAAAACUUAAAUAAUAAAUAAGACAAAAUUUAAAGAUAGAAAAAAAAAUUAUAUAUUUUUCUGAAAUAAUUAAAAAAAAAUAAAUAAUAUAAUAUGAUUUGAUAUUUAAAUAAAUAAAUAAAUAUUAUUAUAUAAAAUAAUAUACAUUAUAUAUAUAAGUUCAAGUUAAACUUAGAUUAUGUAAAUUUUGGUUUGAGCUCAACCCAAAUUAAACCCAAGAAACCGAAUUCAAACUCAAUCUAAAUAUUAAAAUGAUAAUCCAAGGCUGCUAAAACAUUGAGUUGGGUUCAAACUAAGUCAGACCAACCUGUCCAAGUUAUGCCCUAGUGAAAAUGAACGUUGGCCCAUGAUAAUUUGGAUUUAUGUAGCAUUUAUACAUUUAAUAAAGCCAUAACGUAAAAGGAUAAACACAAGCAAAAUCGGUGCCCAUGGGAUCUCAGACAAGAUAACCAUUAAACCUCAAACUUAAUUCCUUACAUCAAUACUAAGAAAUGAUUAAAAACAACUCAAAAAAAAAAAAACCACAAGAAUAUAAAGUUGUCUCAUUUGUUUUAUCAUUAAUGUGUGAAGAACAAUAAAAAAUAUUUAAAAGCAAAAAGUUUUUAUUGUUCAGCAUUUAUAUAACGAAUAAUUAAAGUUGUGGAAAAUGGGUAGAACAAUUUUAUUAUAUUAUUAUUCCUCCUCUUUUGUUGCCAAUCUUUUCUCCUCAUAGCCUAAAGAUUUGGGUAUGAAUGAACGCUAGGCUUCUCCCUUCCAAAGUUCAAAAAGCUUCUUCAAAGCCAUAGGCACCAUCUCCAGUAAGGAAAUGCUAAAAACUCCAAUCUCCGGAACUUUCUAGUUCCUGCAACCCUGAUUCAGCUGCUCCCUUUUUAUUUUUGGAUCCCAAUUCCAGGAAAUAAGCUGGAAUCACAAGCUUCACUCAGCUGGGUAAUUUCUUCUACAGCAUAUAAAUUGAUAGCCUUUGCCUUACCAAUGAUGAGUAUAGUCGGUCCCAUCUAUCAUGACUCCAUAUUUCAUCAGAAUAAUGGAACCUUGCUGAAACUGAAUAUACCAUCAACACACAAAUCUGCAAAGAAAUAUAUGCAUGGAAGAGAUGGUUGUGGAAAAAAGAAUGUAGGAAACAUCCGGAUUAACUCAAACUUUCAAAAAGUAAAUAAAACAGGGAUUUUAAGGCCCUCAUAGAUCACGGUCCUCGACUUUCUGAUAUGCAAAGGUUAUCAAGCCAAAUAAUAUCCAACAAACAAGAUCCAAAACGCAGGAAGGUUUCUACUGAAUAGUAAAACAAAAUUUCAAAAAAAUUAGAUCGACCUUUAUAGCUCAUCCAACAAAUGAUCACCCAGACUUACAUAAACAAGUUGGGUCUUGAUGCCUUGUAGGUGGUCUUGAGCUUCCUGGUUGGUGGCCUGACCUUCCUGAAGGUCAGGGGGAACUUGAUCUUGGAGUUGUGGAAUUGUUUUGAGCUCUCCCUCUUGCAAAGCUUAGCUGGGAUGGUUGCAGUCUUGAUGAUUUGGAUGCAAGGAGACCUAACCCUAUGGCGGGAAGCCAUCUCAGCGUACAUUUGCUCAACAGCACCAUUCAGAGUAGUGUCACGGUAUUCCUUGUACAUGUUGUGAUAACCAGUUCGACUUUGAUACCGCAACCAAAUCCCAUAGUUCUUGAUUGUGGUUGGGUUCUUCUCAAAAAUCUGCAGCGACAUGUAGUAGCUAAACAUAAUGAGGGGAAAUACGACAUUUUUUUUUAAUCAGAAGGUGCAAUACAACAUAUUAAAAUACAAGCUUGACAUUAUAUAACACAUCCCCAAUAUCUUCAUAGUCAAUUUGGUAAUAAAUAUAAAAAUUUGAACACAGUAUUAGAGGUGGUUAUAACCAAAUAAAAAAAAAGGCUAAUUGAAUUUGAGCAUAGCUCAAGAUAUAUAUGAAUAUGUUCAGAAAAAUCAGAUCCUACAUUCUAUUAGCAAAAGGGCUGGUACAAAACAGAGUGGCUGAUAAACAGUUUAGACAACUGAGGUGGAGCAAAAUAUCAAUUGCCUUAUGCACAUACACAGAAAAAUAAGAGGAAAGGAACAAAUUUUGUGAAUAUUCUAUGUAUUUUAAAAAGAAAUUCAUGAGUUUACAUAAAUGUGUAAGAUGUGACUGAACUUUUUCCAUCUAAUUUUAACUAUAUAUUAUUUAUAGACCCAAACCUAAUAAUCAGUUGGACUUCGGAAAACCCAUAAUCCAUUCUAUAAGGAACAGACAUAGAGCUACCAUAUCAUAGCAAAACGAGCGUAUCAAAAUCUACUUCCCAAAAUCUUAUGACAUGAUAAGCAUUUCCAAUAUCUUUCCAAUAAAGUGAACGGAAAUUAGGGAAAGAGCAAGCAUCCGUCAAACCUGAGUAUUGAUCAAUGACACUUAAAAUCUCUCAAUGUAGAUACAGUGAAAGUUAACAUGACAUUUGUUAACUUCUAGUUCCAGAAAGAAAGGGGAAAAAACCUUCUCAAUAAACAAACAACAAAUGCACCUUUCUAGGUAUAGACUCUAGUGUAAUCAUGGAUUGAAAUAUCGGUAAACACGGAUAUAUCGGUACUUGAAUUUUACGGAUAUAUCGGAAAUAUAAGAGAAAUAUUGGUAGAUAUUUUUACACAAAUAUUAGUGAGACAAUAAUUAUCCAAAAUUGAUGGGAAUGUUUAGAAAAAUCCAAAGAAUGAUAAAAUAAACAAGAAUAUAUAUGUUAAAGUUAUUUUAUAAGUGUAAUUGACAUAAAUAUGGUCAAAGAAAAAAAUAUCGGUAAACAGUUUACGAUACUUGGAUUUUAAGAAUAGAAAAUAUGAAUUUUGGAAUUGUACACUUGGAAAGUUAAAAUUGAGUUAAGAAAUAUUUGAUUUUAUUAAAUGAAAACAAUUUACACAUAAAUAUAAUACAUAUGACAUUGCAAUAGUCCUUAAUACCAAAAUGAAGAUCGAUGUGGUUCCAUCAUAUUGAUAGAUGAAGAGAGUCCAUCUUGUUGAAGACAAUAUUCAUACUAGGACAUGGAAUUUCAAUAGAAUUGAUUGUAAGUACGAACAUGUCAUGCAUAAAUGAGAUAAAUAUAAAAAGUAGUUAAAAAUAAAAUGAUAAUAUAGAUUAAAAAUAAAAAAUAAAUAAAAAAAUAAAAAAAAGGAUGAAUAUUUUUUUUUUAAAGUUUUCAAAAAAAUCUCCAAUAUUUCCCCUAUAUAUCGGCGAUAUAUCUGAUAUAUUUGUCAAUAUAUUCGAUAUAUCACUGAUAUAUUUCCGAUAUUUUGACAGACUUUUGAUGGACUUCCUCCACUGCUCCGCACAUCGCUUCACGCUCAAUUUUUUCGCCGAUUUAUCAGUUCCAAACUGAUAUAUUGUCGAUAUUUUGCCGAUAUUCCUCCUGUUCAAUAAUCGGUGUUGAAUUUCAUUUCGAGGCCGCCCGAUAUCCGAUAUAUCGGCGAAAUAUUGCCGAUAAAAUCCAAUUUUUCAAUCCAUGAGUGUAAUAUUCAAUUGACCAUUUGGUGUGAUGCAGGUAUUUAAUUAAAUUUCCUCCACUAUUAUUUACAAUGUCUAUACAGAAAAUUACACUUACCAACCACUUUUGUAUUAGAUUUUUUAUCCUUUAAAUAAAUAAAACAUAUUAGUAAUAUCCAGCAAGAUUAAGAGUCAAUAAACAACAAGCAAUUUCAGCCAUCUAACCAAGUAUACUGCACAAUUAAUUUCUUCUAAACUGAUGCUUAGCCAAACAAUGGAUGCAACUCAUGGACACACCUCAAAGAAUCUCAAUAAUAAUUUCAACAACAAGUAUCGCAUAACAGUGAAAACAACAUGAUAUGGUUACCUCAUUGAUUGCCAGCACUUGACCAUUGCUCUUCUUGACUUUCUUAAGCUUCCUCAGAAAAUACCUAUUUCAGAUCAAACCAAAACUCCAACUCAAAACCUGAACCCAAUUACCAAUCAAACAAUAACUACAAAUCCAGACAUCAUUAUCAUAUCCCACAUACCAGAACUUGGAUUUGGCGCGAACCUCAUUCGUCGCCCAGAGCUUCAUGCGGUAGAUCUUCGGAUGCUCAUCGCUCUCCGACGGGAGAGCUCUCCCCACAACCUGGUACUGGUGAAACUGCACACCCAAACAAACGAACAAACCCCAUUAGAUCAGGUCAAAACCCAAAAAAAAAUAAAAAAAACCCACUUCCAUCCAUAUGUUGGGACAGAAAAAUGAGGAAGAGGAAAUGAAAAUAUUCGUCGCAGCUAAACCCUACAACAGUGGGGGUUUCGCAUAAUGGAAAAAAAAAAAAUUCUUUUCUUUUCUUUUCUUUUCUUUUCCCACGUUUUCUCACAGACCAAACAGGUUACGAUUAAACCCUAAAGAGGAGAAUGAGAUCGACGAAGCGAGAAGAGAAGAUAGACUUACCCUGAAAGUAACCAUUCUGGAGGGGAGAGAGAGAUUGGGAAGAAGCUACUUCUGUGUGUGUGUGUGGUGUGAUAGGAGGAAGAGACGUGCCUAGGGUUGCUUAAGGGGUUGUUUGAUUAAAGGGGUAUUUGGCUAGAAAUUAACUUCAUAUUUCUAAGAUUAACCCUUUCCCUUUCAAAGAUGAAAAAUGACUCUUAGAAUAAAUUACCCCUAAUAAAAAAACUACAAAUAAACCUUAAAAAUUUAAAACAAAAAAUGAAGUGGAAAGGUUUUUCCAACGAAUUAAUCCAUUAAUAAAAAUGAAAUAAUCUUUAAAUUUGUAAAUAUAUCCUCUUUCGUAAUCCAUUUUUAAUAUAAAUGACUUUCAAUAUUUUUAUUUAAAUAUAGAUUUUAAAAAAAUAAGAUUAUUUUUGUAAGAAAAAAUAAAAAUAAAGAUUUAGACUUACAAAUUAGAGAAGUUAUUUCAUCCUUUUUAAUUAAAUAACUCAGACAAAUUGUUUUAUGGAUAUUCAUUCGUUUAUUGAUUUCUUACUAGAGGAUUUAUGGAAUUCAUACAUUUGAUUAAGGUGUGUAUUUUUUUCGUUCAGAUUUAUAAAAAUCACAAGAAAAGGUAACUCACUAAUGAUUUUGAAUUUUGUUAACCAUAAUUUUUAGGGUUAUUCUUGUAUUUCUUGACCCGUUGAUCCUUGAUCAUGAAUGUAAUCAGCCAAUACCUUUAGAUUUUGCUAACCAUAAAUUUUAGGGAAACUUCUGUUUUAGGGCCCUUAUUUAUAAAAAAAAAUAUGAUAUUCAAACCCCAAGUUUUUCAAAUAUAGAAAAUAAUCAUUAAUGGGCAAAAUAAUAUGAGAUUUGUGCACUUUGUGCUGAGUCAAUUUUAUCUUCCAAAAAUGCCCUUAAUGUCUUAUGCAUCAGUAGCCAAAUAGCCUCCAUGUCAUACUUAAAAAAAAAAAAACAAUUGUGAAAAUUGAUAAUUUCUUAAAAAACCACCCGACCCGACAUUUGGAACUAGAAAAAAAAACCAAUUCUCUGUUUGAACUAGAAAAAAUUCCCAAAUCUGAUAGUUCUUCAUCCCUAAUUUGUCUCUCCCAAAUCAGAACAUUUGAUUGUUCCACUCUCUCUCUCUCAUUCUCUCAUUUUAGCCAAAAAAACCUUCAGUCAAAACUGGAAUGGAUAUCUAAGUUUCUUCUGAAAAACUCUCGUAGCCCUAAAUCUGCAUUUUAGUUUAUCAGCAACCAAAUUUGAUAUUUUCCCUAAGCCGGAAUCUCAAAAACUUGACAUUUUAGAAGAUCAUUUGAAAUCUAAAUCGGCCAAAACCUUCAUGUCCAACAAACCCAACUGAUACCGAGAUUGAAAUUUCCCUUUCUUUCGUCCUCUCAAAGUUUGGGAACAUUUCUCUCAUUCGUUUUCAUGUCUGCAGUGAGCUGGAGAGGAGAGCGUGUUUAAAUUAGAAAAUUUUCACAUAUUUCAGUGAAAAAACCGUGAAUGGAAAACCAUGUUUAAAUUUGCAAAAUGUGGUACAUUCCUGAGAAGAAACCUUCAAUCGAAAACCUGAAUCUACAUUUUUCUUUGUUGUGCAGUUUUUUAAGAGGCAAAUGAAGCGCUUCAUGGUAACAACAUCCAGUUAAAAAAAGGGUUUGAGGAAAUAUUGCCUUCGUGAAGAAGAAAUCUCCUCUUCGUCUGAUUGGGUUGCAUAUUGGCCUAAACCCCACCAAAAUCUUAAGGUAAUUAAUUUGUAUUUAGAGUUGGCAUCAUGUUUUGCAAUUUUUGUGAGUUUGUUCACCUUAGAUGUGAGCACUGCUUGACUGAGCCUUAGGUAUUAUCUUAGUAACCCUUAGGUACUAUCGUAAUAAACUUUAGGUACUACCUUAAUAUCCCUUAGGUACUACCUUAAUACCCCUUAGGUACUACCUUAAUGUCCCUUAGGUACUAACUGAUUGUACCACAUUGUCUCCAUAUUUCGGAACCUUAACAAUGCACCCGAUUACAACUUGGGUACUAGCUUCAUAAACACUUUAUGGUUAGUUUGUGAAUUCUAGGUACUACUAUGGUCAAUCAUAGGAUGUAUUUUUGUCAUUCAAUUUCAUCAUAGUUUGAUACAUAACCAAGCCAUUUGGUUGAAAAUGAUAGUUUCUUUAAUUGAGCAUGACAUUGUUAUGUUGUAAUAGGUUAUGCAUCCCGUAGUUCAUACCUUAUUGCACCUGAUUAACUACCUUAAUGUCAUUAAGGCACCACCUUAAAGUGGCAAAGGUACUAGUUUAAUGUGCCUAGGGUACUCCUUUAAUGUGCCUAAGGUACUACCUUAAGGUAGCUUAAGUACUACCUUAGUGGACCUUAGGAGUACUUCUUGACUGCAACUUAUGGACUACCCUAUUGAACCUUAGGAGUACUACCUUACUGCAACUUAGGGACUACCAUUGUCAACCUUAGUUAUUAACUUAAUGAAGCUUAGGUCGUGAGUUCUUGAACCUUGGGUUGUUCAUCAAUCCUAGUUAGCACUUCCCUCAACCAUAGGACCUAAGCUUCACAUUCAAUUUCAUCUUAAUUUGACACUGAAUGGAUAUAUGUCCAACAUCUUCCCUCAGUACACAAUGUCUUGAAUUGUCAUUGGCAUUAGUUAAAAAUAAUUUAUUUUUUAGAAUGUUCUCCUUAGGUACUACCCUAAUGCACUUUACUUACUAUUGUCAUCCACUUUAGGUUCAACUUUAAUGCAUCAUAGGUGGUAUCUCACUACUUUUUAUGUUGUAAGGUCCAAUUGGUUAUUGUCCUUAUUGCACGUUGGAGAAAUGUUGCACUUUCGAACUCAAGACACAUUUCUUUGAUUCCAUUACAGAUUUGAUAAUGGCAUUACUUUGUCUUAAUUGGUUAGUCACUUCGUACAUGAUUUUCAAGUAAUAGUGUGAAGGUACUAUCUUAAUGUACCCUAGGUACUAUCUCAACGUAUCAUAUGUACUACCUAAAUGUCCCUUAGGUACUACCUUACUAUAACACUCUCUCCACAAUUCAGUACCUGAAUUGUGCAAGCAAGCACAACUUUUCUACUAGCUUUGUUUCCCAAUCAGUAGUUAAUUUAUGAAUCCAAUGUACUACCAUGGUCAACCAUAGUAUGUAUGCUUCGAUAUUCAAUUUCCAACUAGUUUAAAAAAAAAACCCAAGCAAUUAAACUGAAUAGACAAUUUCCUUAAUUAAGAAUGACAUUGUUAUGUUGCAAUAGGUUAACCAUUUUUUUCACCUCUGGUAAUACCUUAUGGCAUCUGAGUUACAACCUUGAUGUGGCUAAGGUACUACCUGAAAAUGCCUACGGUACUACCUUAAUGUGCUUAAGUUACUACCUUAAUGUGUCUAAGGUACUACCUUAGUUAACCUUAGAACUACUACCUUACUGCAUCUUAGGGACUACCCUAGUUAACUUUACGACUACUACCUGACUGCAACUUAGGGAGUACCCUAAUGAAUAUUAAUUGUACUACCUUACUGCAACUUAGGGACUACCAUUGUGAACCUUAGUUAUUAACUUAAUGGAGCUUAGGUAGUGAGUUCAUGAACCUUGGGUUGUUUAUCAUUCUUAGGUAGCACAUUCCUUAACCAUAUGUCCUAUGCUUGACAUUCAAUUCCAUCAUAAUUUGACAAUGGCAUUACUUUCUGUUGCACUUUCGAACUGAAGACACAUUUCUUUCAUUCCAUUACAGAUUCAAUAAUGGCAUUACUUUCUGUUAAUUGGUUAGUCACUUCGUACGUUAUAUACUCAUAAUAGUUUGAAGGUACUAUCUUAAUGUACUAUAGGUACUAUCUCAAUGUAUCAUAGGUAUUACUUAAAUGUCCCUUAGGUACUACGUUACUAUAACACUUUCUCUCCAUAGUUCAAUACUUAAAUCGUGCAACUAACCACAACUUUCCUACUAGCUUUGUUUCCCAAGGUGUAGUUAAUUUGUGAUUCCAACGUUCAACCAUGGUAAACCUUAGUAUGUAUGCUUCGGCAUUCAAUUUCCACCUAGUUUAUAAAAAACGAAGCAAUUACACUGAAUAGACAAUUUCCUUCAUUGAGAAUGGCAUUGUUGUGUUGUAAUAGGUUAGCCAUCUUUUCCACCCCUAGUAAUACCUUAUGGCAUCUGAGUUACAACCUUAUUGUGGCUAAGGUACUACCUGAAUGUGCGUAAGGUACUACCUUAAUGUGUCUAAAGUACUACCUUAUUUAACCUUAUGAGUACUAUCUUUCUACAUCUUAGGGACUACCCUAGUUAACCUUACGACUAUUACCUUACAUUUUUUGUUUAUCAAUCCUAGGUAGCACAUUCCUCAUCCAUAAUACCAACACUUGACAUUCAAUUUCAUCAUAAUUUCACACUGACAAAGAUAUAUGUCCAAGCAUUAUGGACUAACCAAUUUUGAUGCCUAGUUGUCCCUGUAUACAAAUUUUCAUCCACAUCUCUGUAUUACUAUAAAGAUAUGUAUAAAAUGAUUUGGUACUAUAAUGAUGACAUAAUUUUGUACGAUAACACAUAUAUGUGGUAUACACCAGUGUGAACAUUUUUUCCAUAUAUGAACAUUUUGGUUUGAACUCCACAUUUGUUAGCUUUCCUUGCUUCAUUUUUUGUCCCUUUGUUGUCUUUGCAACUUUCCUUAACCAAUGUUAAUUGUUUUUUUUAUCAGGUAUGCAGCUGCCAAGUAAUUUGUAGAUCAUCAUUACAAGCCAAAAUGCAAAUUCAUCUUUUCCGUGAACUUUCACAGUUGCUUCCAAUUAUUGUUGCCGCUCUAACAUCUACUCCUGAUAUGCUUGCAUUUUUGCCUGAUUGGCCCACUGUUAAAGCUCAAAAAGUGGAUACUCUAAACGAGUUUUUCAUAUUAUAGUGUUAUAAUUAAAAGUUUUUCGUUUAUCAUACUAUUGUCGUUUUCGUAAUUACAAUUAUAUGUCAUUUGUUGUGAUUUAUUACUAUUAACAGUAUUUGCAUAUUUAUACAACAUAUUUUAUACAACAUUAUUAGAAUCAUUUUCCUAAUUCUCAUAUAAGUGUUAUUCACAUCAACACUGCCUAAUGAAUAUGUGUUAAAAAAAAAAAUACCCUUUCAUUAUAAUAAGUGCGAAGUGGGCUAUAAUUGUAAUUUUAAUACUAAGUGAUAACCAUUUGUUACUUUGAUCGUGUCUGAACAUCGUCCAUCCUCAAUAACCUGUUUGUGCUUUAUGUAUAUUUUGCAUAGGUAAAAAUUCAUGCAUAGGAAUAUUUCCAAUGCAGCAAUUGAACAACUAUAUAAAGCUUUUUAUCACCAUUAACAACUACAUGUCAUGUCCUACUAUUAAAUGCAUGUCCAUCAUAAUUGCAUUACACAUUUCGUGGGGUUUAGAUUACAAACUACUAGAAAAUUUUCAGCAGCACUUUCAAUUGCUACCAUGGAAACAUGCAUCCAAUUAUCCUUGUUAUUCUCCUACUACCUACAUGUACUUCUAUUAGGCUGAAGAGAAGGAAAAAAAAUUAUCAUCAAACACACUGUUAUCUCAUAGAUUAAAUUAUGCUUCUAUGUUCUACAUAGCAUAGUCAUCUCAUUCCAAUAUAAAUGAAAGUACCUGGGCACAAAGCAGCGAUAUCCUACUCAAGUUAAUUAACAAUUCAAUUUCAGUCAAUCUAAUGAAACAAAAGUUUCUGAUUAGCCACAUUGUUAGCAUCUAUGGACUGUAAUUCUUUAAACAAAUGGCUUAUGCAGCGGCCCACAUACCAUUCAUCAAAUACAGACACAAUGAAGUUGAAACAUAUCUGUUUACUACAUAUGGCAUACAAAUGGUCAGAAGCCAAAAUUAAUACUUUCCAAUUGUAUAUUAACCGAAUUUGUCCUGACAUUUUUCUCAUCGUCAUUUCAGUGUAAUUUAAUAUCAUGUCCUCUUGUCAAACACUGCCUGUUGUGCCUUAUUUUUUCAGCACUUUGAGGUUGUGUUUCUCCAGUUUCUGCAUUCAUUUAUCCAUCUCCAUCAUUUUCUACCCCAUCUCCCGAAUUUUCUUCGUUCUCUACCUGGAAAUAGUGUCAAACUCUAGCUUAUUUACUAAAUAUUAUAAGUGUUUCAUUUUCAAUGGAAAUAAAGGAACAACUAUUUAAGAGGGAACUUCAUACUUUAAAGAACUAAGUUGAGAGUUGUGCAAUUGGUAGGUCCUCCAAUGAAGGAACAAUAGGGUAAUAAUUUGACAUAUUUACUAGCUAACAAAAAAAAUCACAAGACACAUCAAUUUUUGAAAAAAAAUACCGUUGUCAUUCAAUACCUUCCAUUUUCUCCAAUUUGUUAAUAUGCAAAUUAUUGUCCAUUCUUGUCUAAAAACAAAACUUACCUUUAUUAACUUUGUAACUUAAAGUCAUGAAUAAAUAGCUUGACAUGGUUGAAAUUCAUCAAAAUGAUCAGAAGAGGAAAUUAAAGGGAUAACACAACUAACUUCACUACUUACAAAUGCAAAACUAGGUGUCAUUCUACGAAAUACCUUAUUUUGACAUUUUCCGGUCCGAUAACCUCUCACAAUCCACAUGCCUGUAUAAUAUUUCCCCUAACAUUGUUGGCUUCAUUAAGGAGCAAUGUCACAACCAUUUGCAACCUCUAAACAUGCAUUUUCUCCUACAAAUAACAUUAAAAAUUAUUUGCAAGUGUAUACAAAAUUGGAAGAUAUGAUUAAAACAUGUUAUAACGCAACACUAACCUCCGCAACUGCUUGUGUUAAGGUAGCCCCAUUCCAAUAUUUCAUGUACUUGAGUGCAAAAAUACCACAAUCAUACCUAGAAGACCAUAACGUUUGGAUUAUCAUACACAUACAUUAAUCGUCUAACGCAUUUUAACUACAACUUUAUUUCAACCAAAACUGUCAUUCACAACAAAAUUUACCCAUUUUUUUGUUGCACUAGAUCUGGCUGUACAUGGACCAAUUUUGAAACCUCCAUAUUCACAUGAAUUCCAUGUGCAUGCAAUGCUCUCUCCAAAGCCAUUGACAAUCGCCUAGUGGAAGCACUAAUUCCCUCUUCGUAGUGGCAGACUAGAAAGUAUCUCGAUACGGCCAGCCAGAAUGUUCAGCACAUGAAGGUGCCAAUGGUUAUUCUCGCAUACGGGAAUGAACAACUACAUUAUCAACAAUUGAAUUGUUAGGGUCUAUGUUGAUAGAUAUAAGUCAUACUAUUAGGUAGCUAUGAAAGGAGUAUGUUAAUGUACCAUUUCACAGGACGCUACAUCGUGUCCCACUAUGUCAGCUUGAAGAAACAUGCAUGAUCUGUCAAGUAUUUCUUCUUUUUUGGCUUUCGGUAAAAGACUAGCAAGAACAACCUGUUCAAGUUGGGGAUUAGUCAAUAAAAACAUAAACGAAUACAAUUUACUUUUCCUUAAUGUAAUAAAUAAGUCUCGAAAAGUGUGUACCGAAAAUGAAGGAUCGAAGUAGUGGCAGCGUCGUGGAUGUGGUUGGUUAGCAUUCAACAUGCGAGACAUAACACCAAUAAUCUGGAAAAAAAAAAAAAUUUGGUACUCAAUUAUUAGCCAAGUUUAAAGCAUCUAUUAUUGGAAAAAAAUAAUGUGAAUUGGGUAUUCAGGAAAUUGGAGGAUUAGUAGCUUACAAUGGUUUUCACCCAUCGACCUCCAUUGAGAGAAGCGAGCUCGACCCUCGUAAUAAACAGUCCGUGCAUAUCACAUACAACAUCGCUGAAAUGUCAUAAAAGAUUAUGUUAAACCAUGCAAUAGAGGCAUAUUUAUGCACAUUAAAUAUGGUUGCAAAUGAAAUUCAAAAACUACCUUGGAUCAGCAUCUUCGUCCAAAGUAAAAUCAGCUACCAACCUAUCCUUAUGUGAUAUUUUCGGGAACAGUUUAAGGCAUUAUGCAACAAAUGGAGAUUUACAAAUGGUAGGCCUUUUCACAAUCCGCCUACCAGUCUGUUUAUAUUUGUGACUUGAGGUUGGUAUGUCUAAAUGGCUGUGAGUAGCUAUUGUGCCAACAUUUUGGACAUCUUCUACACUUUCCAAGUGUGGGUAAGGAUAGGAUUGGUCAUGAGAUUCUUGGUGUAGUGAUGAGGGUCCAUGGUCAAAUGCAGAUUCAUGUCUUUCAGUUGGAGAAUGCGGUGCUAAUGGUAGGAUGGGUUGUUCAACAAAUUCUUCAGCUGAAAGCUGAAUGUUGCCUGUCAUAGGAGCUGGUUCAUCUUAGACUUGGGCUGAAGGCUGGGCUGGAGUAGCUGAACAUCGGUAUUGCGACCCAAACUAACGGGAAAGCAAUUCAGCAACAUCUUCAGCUAAUGAAGAGGCUAAUCUCAACAAUUUUUCUGAGUUUUCUACCAUACGUGCUUGAAUUACCUAAGAUGAGGAGGAAAAAUUUUGAAACAAAAAAUCAAUGACUGGAAUGAGGCGAAAAAAAUUGCAUUACUGUAAUACAACUAUGCAUAUGUGAGCUUGGCUAUCAAUGAAGACAUUUAUAACCUCAGUAGCAUCAUCAGAAGCCGAGGACUGCCUACCUGCUACCUGUGCAUGGGAGUGGGCAGCAAAUUCUGGUAGCUGUUGAGUUUGGAAAGGGUCGUUAAACAAAAAUUAGAAUAUAUUUUUUUAAAUAUGGAGAUAACUUGGAUAAGAAAUUUUUUAUAACGAAAGAAGUGUACAGUUGGACCUUACAUGGACAUGACCAUAACCACCAAAUGUGGCAAUUUCAGCUGAUAACCGUCUUUUGAUUAAGUCAUCACUCCAUGCAGCAAGUAAUGGCAUAGUGACAUCAACCGUGACGGAUGGCAAAUAAAAUUUUGUCAUGUAGAAGAACAGUGAAAUGACAGGAAAAUGUAAUAGUUGAAACACAUUCAACAACAUCUUUGAAUACGGUUUAAAAUAAAUUAUAAUUUAAAUGAAACUACAUUAAAAUGAGAGAAUGUAGUAGACAAAAUUAAAACAAUAGACUCAUUAAGUCUUAACUGUACCUGGAGAAAAAUAAGGCAGCCGCGUAUGUAAGUUGGCUGGUUUUUCUGGUAUUCUCUGAUUCCAUCCUCUAUGUAAUGUAGGACAAAUUUUGACCAAUUCUUUUGGACACCAACGUCACCAUCCCAUAUGGUGUCCCAUAGGUCAUGUAUUCCUUCAAGCUUGGAGUUAGGUGUGAGUAGGGUGGCACAUGCAAAAAUCAAGAAAGUCUUCCUGAAGUCAUCACCAAUGGCCAAGUUCUCUAGAUUUUGCUCCAAUAGACUUAUGGUGUAGGUGUGAUUAGAGGUGCCUCUCCUAGUAUGCACCACAAUCUCCUCACCAUUACAUGGGAUGCCCAUAAUAUUGUCGACAUCUUAUGCUGUUACCGGGACAACAAUGCCGGUAGCCAUAUUCAGUUGAUGGUAGGCAAUGUCAUAAUUAGAAAUUAUCCAAGAACACAACUCGUAGCGUAGUUCUCGACAAGCCAAGUGUAGAAGUCCUCCAAAUACCAUUUAUGUAAUGGCGUCUCGUUUAUCAUCAGGAAGCCUCGCGAUGACUGAAAUGAAUUUUUUGCCAGAACACCAUGAUUUUGGCAGUUUCACCUGCAGUCAGUGGGCAAUUUCUAUCAGUAUCAAAACAUAUCAAUAUAGGGGGAAAUAAAUAAAAAAAUUAAAAAAAUUUCAAUUCAGUUUACAAAGUGUAUUUUGUUGGCAACCUGGCUGCAUGUAGCUGGGAGGUGUUCUUUUCUUUUUCGCCAAACAGUGGCCAUCUAUAUAUUAGUGAGGAAUGUGUUCAAGGUAUUCAAUGUUAGUCGCGGACUGUGCAAAGUACAAAAAGUGAAUAGAAUGAUCAGCAACGGUAGGACCAACAGCAACAACAAAUGCCUAGGAAAAUUUAUUUUGUAAGGAAAUAACAAUUCUGAUGAGAUUGUACACUUCCCAAGAAAAUAAAACAUCUUAAUACCAUGGCAUCCACAAAAAAAAAAAAAAAAAAACCAUGUAUCUCCACUAAGGCAAAUGAUUUUCUUCUGAUAGGUCAGUGUUGUCUGUUCAUUCAAAAUCACAGCAGAUUCUUAUAUUUGAACUUGUAAAUUCACAUAUAAACCAAACCUCCAUCCAAUGAAAAAUGUUAGAAGUGAUUCAACAUUAACAGUUCAAAAGUUUACACUUGACCAUUAGGUUAGCUAUUCAUAACAAAUGAAACUAAACAAAGCAUGCAACAACUAACAAGGGAAAUAGGUCAUGGUGUAAGUAAAGAGUACAUGAAAAACAAUGAAUGGAAACACAUGCAAGGAAAAAUGGUCUCUGAACUUCAACUGGAAUGUUCAAUUCUGAUUACUAUGCUUUAAAAUAUAUUAAUGCAUGCUAAUUCACACACAAAAUGGCUAGUUACAGGAAAAAAAACAUAAGUUAUAAUGUAACCAGUUAAGUAACAAACAUGAUUAAGAUUGCAUACUAGGUAACAACACAUACUCAUGUGUUCCAAAAAAACAUAUGAAAGUACAUUAAUACAAAUGUUUAGUAAUAGAAGUACAUAAAACAACAAUGCACUUAAGACAAAGGAUUCUUGCACGUUUUCCUAUUGUGGCCAGACAUAUGACAACGAGAGCAAUGGACUGUCUAUUUAUCUUGAAAUUGGAACUCGAUGCGCUUCUUCCUUGGUCUUCCGGGAGGACGUUUUGCAUAAGGAGGCUUAAGAGAUAAGAAAACCUGACCCGUUAUGGAUCGUACAACUCCAUGGUCAUCCACAAUUGGCAUGUCAUGGGUCUCAAUACUAGAGAAAAAGCCCGCGUAGAUCAAGUCUUGCAUUGGGAAUUUGUAGCAUUCAUCAACAAAAUCAGCAACAUUGUGGCCAAUGGAGAGAAUAACAGUUGUCGCAUGUUCACAAGGGAUUCCAAACAUUUGCUAACCCCUACAUGUGCAAGUACGUUUCAUAAUAUCCAUAUUCAAGAAUGCCCUACCGAUACAAACCCUAAAAAUGCCAUUCAUGAAAGGAGUAACUGGAUACACUUCACCCUUGACAAUAUUUUGUAGUACAUUUUCUUCAAUUUGUGGCCCUAGAGACCCUUUCCAAUUGUUGGACUGCUCUUUAUGCUUCACAAGCAUAGAACCUAACUUAGCCAUGUGCUCCAUUAAAAAGUUACAAAUGGAGUGAUGUCUUUCAUGUCUUAACCACACAUUAAACGACUCAGCAAGGUUGGUGGUCAUUUUAUCCCAUCUUUGUUUUGGGAAUUUUGACAUGGCCCAAGGUUCGGGUGAAUUAUCUUCUCCCAUGUGGCUAAAGCAUCAUUGUAUUUCCGUAGUUCAUACAUAGAAACAUUAUAAUCAUGCUCUAACUUUGCAUAGGCAAUACUAUCUAGGAAUUGAAGUGCAUUUUCUUUACCCUUGUUUCCUUUUGUAAUUUGCUUACUCACAAAUGUACUGAAAUUCUCCUUUAAGUGACGGUAAAAGUAGGCAUGAUUUUCAAGGCCAAACACCUCGGGAACACUACGAAGUAGGGCUGGAUGUCUAUCGGAGAUGAUAACAACUUCCUUUUCUGCAACAACUUUCUUCAAGUUUUGCAAAAACCAUGACCAAUCCUCAUAAUUUUCUGAGCUCAUUACACCAAAAGCUAACGGGAACAUAGAGUCAUUAGCAUCGUAUGCAGUGGCUGAAAAUAACGCACCCCUAUAUGGCCCACUCAUAUGGGAUGAGUCAAUAGCAAUGACAAGUCGACACCCCAAUGCAAACCCUUGGAUUGACACUGCAUGAGCAACAAAGAGUUGUUGAAAGUGCUCAUCACUCAAAUAACGCAACUGAACAACAGUUCCUGGAUUAGUAGUAACCAUUUUGUCACACAUCCAAGGAAACAAUUUAUAAUAAUAUUUAGGUUGUCCAUAAAUGCGUUCCUUUGCCUUUUCCUUCAUUUUCCACGCUUGAAGAUAAGUCAAUUGCAUCCCAUGUUGCCUUACGAAGUCCUUACAUAUUUGGCUUGGUUGGUAAUUCAGAGUAGACCUUAUGACAUCAUCAAUCACCAAGGAUGCACGAUUGGAUCUAAUUAAAGGUUGGGAGGAGGAGACAUCUUCUAAACUAUGGUUGUGGACAUUACGGAAUGUGUGAACCUGAACGAUUUUAGAAUCCCCUAUUUCACGAGCAGUGACUUUCCAAGGACAUUGGGUUAUUGUGCAAACUACUGUCAUGUGUUUUGGAGUAUUCCUAGUGAACGAAUAUCGGAAUCUACAAGCCAUGGACAUCAAAUAGACCGCAUCAUGAAACUCAGAAGCAUUAGGGAAUGUUUGUCCACUACCCAUAAUGGCAUUUUCGAACCGUCUUGAUUCAAGUUGAACAACAUUUGAUUCUGCACAUCGUUGGGAAAACUCAAAUGACUCAAUCGUAGGGGAGUGAGUAUUAAUUUCCGUAGGUGGAUCCGCAUGGGAGGAAAUUACUUGUGUAGAAUUAAAAGCAACAAUAGGUGUUAGCCCACUGCAAAAAAAAGCCCCAUACAAAUUUGCUAACUAUCUAAGAACAAAUGUUUGGAAAGUGAUUCAACCAAAUUAAUAUGAUGGGGCUAAGGCCAUAUGUACCUAGUUUGUGCAAUCAACCCUUCACCAACUUCUAUAUGUGGGAAGACAUAAACAUGACAAAACAUGUCGUUAAAUCUGAACAUCUUCACAACGACAGUCUCAUCAUGCAACGGUAGUAAACAUGAUGGGUCAAACUUCACCGUAAACUCUAAUUUUAUUAAGUUUGGGUCAAUGUUCAGUUCACCACACACUUUUGAAACCAAUUCUGCAUGUGUGAUAUUUCCAUUAACGACAAUGGAUUCUGUCCGACCACCUUUGUAUUGUACGGACCCAUCAACAGACUUAACAACCUCACCGUCUUCAUGUAUGUAGCAAAAAAUAUCCUCUUCUAUUCCUUUAAUAACAACAAAAUGGGUUACAAACAAUACAAUAAGAAUAAUAAAGUAGUAAGUAGUGCCGAACAAAGUAACUAGAGCUCACAUACAUAUUAAGUGAAAGUGUGAUGAGGUAGUACCUAAACUACACUAAGGUAGUACCUACGGUUCACUAUUGUAGUACCUGAGCUUGAUUAAGGUUGUAUCUAAGCAUGGUUAAGGUAGUAACUAAAGUACAAUAACAACAGCAACACAUGGCAGCAUCAUGACCACACAAUCUAGAACAAACCUUCACUGGUUUAGUAAUGGAGUAAUAAUGUAGAUUUAGAUUUGAGGUAUAACCUUUGACCAAGUAACCUUUGUUUAACAAAAAGAAGUUUGUCAAAUAAAUGAUACUGCAAACUUCCAUAAUUUUUAGAAAACGACGAUAUUAUAUAAGAGGUCGCUUUAUCAUAAGACUUUUCUGUGCAUGUCUCAUAUGAAUAGAAAUAACUAAAGAGAAGUUAUUUCAAACAUGAUGUAGUCUAUAGUGCAAAAGUUCUCUACAUUAUAAUCAAGUUGCAUAACUUGCAACCAUUUGAAAUAUUUUUUCCCAACGGCUCUGCCACUAAGGAAAUUGCAACCAACAUAUAGAAUGAACAACAUGUCUACUUUAAUGUUAUUAUGAGAGUAAGCAUUCACCAUCCAAGAAAUCAUAACAAAGGGAUUUCAACCGUCUAGCACAAUCACAUUCGAAAUCAGAUUUAGUAUUGGAAAUGACGUAUUAGAGAUUGGAAAAGUUAGAAAAACAAUUAAAAGUAAACAUUCAAAUUCAUUGUUCAAAACACAACUUCAUUAGAAUGAUGUAAUUUGUAGUCAUAACAUUCUAAAAACUUAGUUUAUAUUCAUUUAUUAAGUCUUACUUUAGACAAACUUAUGUUGAUGGAAAUAACAUAAAUAAUAAAAUUAGAAGAUUAUUUUUUCGGACCCAUUUCAAUAUUGACCAUUCCUUAUUGCCAUAAUGAACAUAUUGGUUAUCAUAAACAUCAAUAAACCUCAACGAUUCACAAAAGUAACAGCAAGAUUCAACAAACCAUUAAGCACAAAGUAAAACAUUGUUUGUGUUUAAUCUAGAUUUAGUAGGGAUUGAUCAAUUUCCUAUAAGGAGGUCAUUUUUUCUGAUGAUUUUAUUUUAUUUUUUCACAAUCACGUUUAUGACUUUCUUGUUGAUGGUUAUGCACCUUCAGAUACAUUGUUUUCAUAGUGAACCAUUCAAUUUCCAUUCAAAGUCCAACUUGUCUUCAAAUGAUUUUAGUUUCAUUUCCAAUCAUUUUUAGGUUUCCAACGGUUUAUUAAGGUAUAUUAUAACUUCCUCUUUAGAUAGGAUAUUACUUUAGGCCUUGAUUUUAGGCAUAUACUUCCGCUAGCACUUGAAAUGAACUGGUGUACUUGUGAAUUUUAGUUUAAAUAAAAGCUACAGGGGUUUCAUCUUCCAAAAAUAAGGAAAGUAACUAGUAUUUGAGAUGCCUCAAGAGAGGUUUCAUCUUACAAGGGUUGUAUCAGAUAGUUUAGAAAUUGUUUGCCACUUUUUGGAGACCUCCUUGUAUCUCUGGCUAUCAUACCACUACACUAUAUCUUUAACUUAGUAAUUUACCUAAUAAAUUUACAUGCCUUUAGAGGUGUUAUUGAUUUGUCCAGUUUGAUUUCAUUUUCUAACAAAUUGAAAGCUAAAUUUUGUUUGAACUAUUCGUUUUGCUGUACAGACUCUCAUUUGAAGGAUGCCUCAGUUAGUGGUCUCAAUCAUUUUGCCUUCUACAUCUUGCAAGAUAUGUCUGUCCCAAAACCAAGUCUCCAACAUAAUUUUUUUUUCACUGUACAUUAUAGCAACACAUGUGGAAUAUAUUAAAGCCAUAAUUAUGAUCACUGCCCCUAACAAACCAUUUUCAAUUUGUUCAUGUCAUCAACAAUUACUUCCCACAAAGCAAAUAUACUAUUUGGUUAGUGUUUUCGAAAAUAAUUUUAUGGCAUAGAUACAAUACAAUUUUCCACUCAUAAAAAGACAAAUACAAAACUAUACUCAUCUCAAAUUUAAAGACUUAGGAAUGUAAUGUGGUCCCCAAAACAUAACUCAGAAAAAAUGUGUACCAAUUCUUACCUCAACAAUGCAUUAAACGAUUCAAAAAUAAAUAAAAUCUGCAAAUAAAGUAAGGCAUGACCAACACUUCACAAUGUUGUCACUUAUUUUUCAUCCCAAAUUUGUAGUCAACAUUCAUCUUUUACAUGCUUACUGCUAUCAUUUUAUCAUGUCUCAAAUCAAAUUCAUAAAACAAUAACAACAUACAUUCAAUUCUAUCAUGCAAAGACAAAGGACAAAAUAAUAACAACAUACACACAAUGAAAUCGAUAUUCAAAUUUAGUAAAGCAAUAAUAAUGACAAACGACCAAGCAAAUAAUCUGUUUAGGGUUUAGUAGUAACUCUCAUAUAUACCAUUAAAAUUGAAAGAAAAUUUCCAUUGACUAGUAGUAAUACAAAUGAACCAAUUUCCCUAAAAAUCUAAUGACAACAGAAUUCCUGGAAAGCAAAAAAAUAUUUAAAAAUAAAUAAUAAUAAUAAUAAUAAUAAUAAUAAUAAUAAUAAUUUAUUUUCUCUAAAUACGAACAUAUCUUUAAUCAAAAAUAAUUUAUCCUAUAUUUCAUUCUACAGAAAAUGAAGCUAAAUAUAAGAAACUCCAAAAUAAAACACUUCAAACCCUAAGAUAUCUGCACCAUCCAGACAAACCCGUAAAUGAAAACUCGCAUGUGAUUGAUUAAUCGGAAAACACGCACAAGAGGGAAAACUCCAGUUUCAUUUCGAGAAACCUAAACGGAAUUCCAACUUCGAUGAUGCAAAAACAAGAUAUGUCUCCCGUUUGGUUUACUUCAACGUAUUGGGAAGAUGGGUAUCAGUUUCAGCUACUCCAGACGUUUAGAGACAAACACGUUCGACUAAUCGUGAUGUUAAGAGAAAAACAGAGAAGUUUGAGAUUCGGGGAAGAUGUGUAUCAGUUGGGUUUGUUGGACGUGAAGGUUUUGGCUGAUUCAGAUUUGAAAUAACCUUCUGAAAUGGCAAGUUUUUGAGAUUCUGGCUUAGGGAAAAUCUUAGAUUUGGUUGUUGCCAAACUAAAAGGCAGAUUUAGGGCUACUGAGAGCAAAGUUAGAUGUCGUUUGACUUAAGGUUUUUUUUUACUAAAAUGAGAGAAAGAGAGAAAGGGACACCAAAAGUCGGGUCGGGUGGUUUUUUUAAGAAAUUAUCAAUUUUCACAAAUUUUUUUUUUUAAGUAUGACAUGGAGGCUAUUUGGCUGCUGAUGCAUAAGACAUUGAGGGCAUUUUUAGAAGAUAAAAUUGACUCAACACAGAGUGCACAAAUCUCAUAUUAUUUUGCCCAUUAAUAACUGCUUUCCAUAUUUGAAAAACUUGGGGAUUGAAUAUUAUAUUUUUUAUAAAUAAGGGCCCUAAAACACAAGUUUCCCUAAAUUUUAAGGUUGUUCUUGUACUUUUUGGCUCAUGCAUCUUUGAUUCUUUGUGCAUUUUGAGUUGCUUGUGUUCAGUAUUCUUUGGGUUUUGUUGGGAUGUUGAGAAAAGUGAGAACAAGAAGUAGAAAAAAUUCUGACUAAAAGGAUUUUUAUUUUUGCAUUUUCUUUAUAACUAAAAGAUUGGAAAUUGUGAGAUUAUGUUUUCCUUUCCUUUCCAUUUCACUUUCCCUAAUUUCUCAGCAACCAAACAUGAUUCAUUUUUUUUUUUUUUUUUUGACUAUUUUUUCUUUUAAGGAAAUAAAAAUGUGAUAGUAUUUAUAUUAUAGCGAGGUGAGUUAACUUGUUUACAAUUUUAUACUUUGUUUUUAUAUUGUAGAAAAUAUAGUAGAACAAAAAUAAUUGUAUUGACUAUUGAGUAUUGCUUGUCAAAAAUUAAUGAAAAAUUUUAAGGCAUAUUUCUUUGACAAUAGGAUGAAGAUGUAGAUUUGAAAUUAUCCUCACAAUUUAUCGUAGUUUUAGUAGGAUGACAAAUAAUUAACCCAUUCAAAUAAGACAAAAAUUUUGAACUAGUUCCUCCAAGCCUUUAUUAGUGAUCAUCUUGCUAUAUGUUCGAAUUAGUACAGUAUAAUUAGUAUUAAAUAAUUUUAUAAUGUCGAUGUAGAAUCUUUGUUAGCAUAUUUUUCUCAUUGUGUAUUUAACUUUCAAGUUUUUUGUUAUUUAAUAAUUAAACUUGGUUGUGAUUUUCUAAAUAAAGCUUUCAUAUGAGAUUAUCUAAUGAAGCAUCUAAAAACUCCUACUUUUUAUUUAUUUAUAUUUAUAUGAUUUUUAUUUUUAAAUUUUUUUACGUAUAGAACCAUUUCUUAGCAUAAACUAGUGGAUUUUUAAUGACUAGUUUUGUGAUUGUUUUUUGAAUUUUUCUUUUUUAUAUUUAUUUUUAAGGAGAAAGAAAUAAAAGCGUUAGGUUUUCAAUCUUAAACAACUUCGAAGAUAAUUGUCCUACAAAAUAAAGAACUCAUCUUAAUGGAAAUUAUUGAAGAAUCUAAUGAGAAGGUAUGCUUUUUGGUACCAUUCGGGAUUUCAAUUGUUGAUAAUUGUUGUAUAUAUCUUUCAUGUACCACAUGUUUCAAUAUUUUCAUAUAAAUCAUUUUAGUAAAGAUUUUUGUCAUGUUUAUUGUAAAAUUUCAUUGUUUCCCCAACAACCAAAAAGUGCUAAGAAUAGCAAAACUAAUGUAAUUUUUUUCAAAUGGAUUUAUUUACCUUCGUUUGAGUGUGUCAUUUGUCUUCUUAACACUUUUUUGCUUCUCUUAAACGACUUUAAAUGACGGGGUUGCAAUAAAUGAUAUGAAAGAGAACAUAUAACCAUGGUGCUGAUGAGAUAGACGACAAUAAAAGAGAAGUUAGCUGGUACCAAGAGGGCAACAAUAAGGGGUAAGAGUCUUGUCGUCACCAUGAGUUCAAAUCCUGGGGAGGUCACUCUGGUCCUGGCCCAUUCCGGUCCAAUCCCAGUGGUACAGCUGACCAGAGCCAAAAAUACUCCAGUCCAAUCCCGGAUAAAACAAAUAACGUCCCAACAAAAACGUUGGCCUUUUUUGCUCUGGUGCCCAGCCGUACCACCGAACUGUGCUAGUCAGGGGCAUCACAGCUGGAAUGGGCCGGACAGCGCAAAGUCUUAUAGGGCCAUUUGUUUAUUUGGCCCUUGAGGGUGACGUCCCCAUGAUUCGAACUUGGGUGGUGACAAGGCUCUUACGCCAGUGCGUUGCCCUCCUGUUACCAUCUGGGCUAGCCUAGAUGGUACCAAGAGGGCAACGCCCUGGGAUAAGAGCCUUGUUGCCACCCAAGUUCGAAUCCUAGGGAGGUCACUCUGGUCCUGGCUCAUUUCGGUCCAAUCCCGGUGGUACGGCUGGCCAGAGCCAAAAAUACUCCGAUCCAAUCCCGGAUAAAACAAAUGACAUUCCAACAAUAUAGUUGUAUAGUGGCUUUUGGGGGCAUGUGAUGUUUUUGAAGGGAUAUAAAUAAGGUUAGAGGCAUCUAAAUAAUGUCAUGUACCUCGAUACAUUUAUAAGUAAGGUCAUUUUUAUGAUUUUACCUUCUAUUUUAGUCAUCUAUCCAAAUAACCCUAGUUAAAAGGGUCAUUGAAAACCCAAAUUUGAAAUAAUAGUCUUCCUUCUUUGCAAACAUGAAAUAUAAUAUUGAACAAAAAUACCUUUUAACAAUUUAUUAAUUAAGCACCUUUUGAAUAAAAAGUUGUGCAAUAAGGGUAAAAAUGUUAGAGUGUGAUUAUGUGUAAUUUUCAAAACAUUAAAGUUAUUUUUGAAUAUAGGUAUUGCCUUAUCUUUUUAAUCAAAUAUUUAUUUCUUAAACUUCUACAUGGUAUGGAAAUAUGAGAUACAAACCCUAAAUUAUGUACGGAAGAUUUCAUAUCAUGUCACCGAGAAAAGAGAUAGAAAGUACUUACUAUAUAUUACUUAUUAGUACAAUAAUAAUAUAAUUAAUUAAUUAAUUAAUUAAUUAAUUAAUUAAAUGAAUUAAAAUUGGAACAUAUUAAAUAAAUUAAAUGAAUCAAAAGUGAAAUUCAUAUAAGUGAGAAGGAGUUAGUCAAUUUAUAUAUACAUCAUAUUUUAUUAGAGUCAAAUUAUUUUCAAUUUGAGUGAAAAUUUUAAAAAACCUCUAACAAUGUCGUGCUUCUUAAAUUAUACUAUUUUUUUUUCCUCUCUUUUGUAACAUAUAGAAGAUUGCAAAAAUUAUUAUUAUUAUAAAAACUAUAAUUAUUAUUAUAAAAUUAUCAUUAUUAUUAUUAUGAAAAAAAAUGUGUGGUUUUAUACCCACAUGAAAAAAAAUAUUAAAUUUAUUUAAAAACAAUUAAAAAUUUAUGCACUUUUUUUUUUAAGUUAAUAUUUUGAGUGGUUGAAGUACUAUCUUUAUUUUAGAGUACAAAAGACUUGGGAUGACUUUUAAAGGAUUGUAUCUUAUGAAUAUUUUCAAAUGAGCCCAUGAAAUUACAGUUUUCCCUGUUAAAUUACCCCUUUCUUUACUCGUCAAUCUUCUCUCCUCGUAGCCUAAAGAUUAAGGUGUCGACUGUCAAUGAACACUAGGCUUCUCCCUUUCCCAAAAAUGCUUCUAAGCCAUAGCCACUAUCUCGAAAUGCUAAAAACCUCCAAUCCCAGUUCCGGCAAUUUGUUGUGAAGUCCGCUUCGGCUCUUCCCAAUUCCAGGAAAUAAGCUUUCACUCAGCUAAGUAACUUCUUCUACAACCUUUACCACAUCAAUGAUGAGUAGUCAUUCAAUCCCAUCUAUCAUAGACUCCAUAGUUCUUCAUGAUAAUGGAAAUUUGCUGCAAAGAAAUAUAUACACACAUAUAUAUGGAAGAGAUGGUUUAAAUACCUCAAUUUUUUAAAUCAUUAUCAUGUAAACCUCUAAAAAAUGUUGUAUUUUAUAUGAAAGUUACUUCAAAUUGCAUUUUAAAAUAAUUUAAUUUUCCUAAUGGGUAAUUUUUGUCUCAUUUUUUAUUUUAUCUUUAAAAAAAUAACAAUCUUUUUAUAUCUAUAGAAACUUCUAAAAUUUGAAAACAAAAUUUUAACAUUUGCAUUUUAUUAUCAUUUAUUAAAAAUAACAAGUGCAUUAAUCAUGAUUCAAUGGUUUGGUGUGGAACAAUAGCCCAGUUGCUUUCAAAGACGAUUUUUGCAUGAUUAAAACUAUUUCUGUUUCUCACACUUUAUGUCCUUACCAUCAAUUAUGCAAAAUAGUAGGACCUUUAAGCCUAUUAUCAUAUUCAUCCAACUCUAGAGCACAAUUGUCACUUAACUCAAACUUUUAAAACUAAAUAAAAUGGGAUUUUAAGGCCCUCACAGAUCACGUUCCUCGAUUGUCUGAUAUGCUAAAAGAUUAUCAAGCCAAAUAAUAUCCAACAAACAGAAACCAAAUUGCAGGAAAGUUUCUACUGAAUGGUAAAACAAAAUUUCAAAACAUUUAGAUCCGACCUUUAUAGCUCAUUCAACAAAUGAUCACCCAGACUUUUACAUAAACAAGUUGGGCCUUGAUGCCUUGUAGGUGGUCUUGAGCUUCCUGGUAGGUGGCCUGACCUUCCUGAAGGUCAAGGGGAACUUGAUCUUGGAGUUGUGGAAUUGUUUUGAGCUCUCCCUCUUGCAAAGCUUAGCUGGGAUGGUUGCAGUCUUGAUUAUUUGGAUGCAAGGAGACCUAACCCUAUGACGGGAAGCCAUCUCAGCGUACAUUUGCUCAACAGCACCAUUCAGAGUAGUGUCACGGUAUUCCUUGUACAUGUUGUGAUAACCAGUUCGACUUUGAUACCGCAGCCAAAUCCCAUAAUUCUUGAUUGUGGUUGGGUUCUUCUCAAAAAUCUGCAGUGACAUGCAGCUAAACAUAAUGAAGGGCAAUACAAAGUUUUUUCCCCCUUUACAAUCAGAAGGGCCAAUACAGCAUAUUGAAGUAGAAGCUUGAUAUAUAUAUAUAUAACACAUCCCCAUAUCUUUGUAGUCAAUUUGAUGAUAAACAUAAGAAUUUGAACAUGGUAUUAGAGGUGGUUAUAACCAAAUAAAAAAAGGCAAAUCCAAUUCAAGCAUAGCUCAAGUUAUACAUGAAUGUGUCCAGAAAAGUCAGAUUCUACAUUAUAUUAGGACAAGGGCUGCUACAAAACAGAGUGGAUGAUAAACAGUUUAUAAUUAACUUGGUGUAGCAAAAUAUCAAUUGUCUAAAUGCGCAUACAAAGAAAAAUAAGGGAAGAGGAACAAAUUUGUGAAUCUUCUGUGAAAUUUAAAAAAAAAUAAAAUCAUAAGUGUACAUAAAUGAGUAAGAUGUGAGUGAACUUGUUCUAUCUAAUUUCAAGUGGCGAUUAUUUUUAGACCAAACCUGAUUAUCAGUUAGGCUUUAAAAAACCCAUGAACUAUUCUACAAGGAACAGACACAGAACUACCACAAUGCAGCAAACCAACAAAGAACGCAUCAGAAUCUACUUCCCAAAAUGUUUUAACAUGAUAUGCAUUUCCAUAAUCUUCCCAACAAAAUGAGUGGAAGUUAGGAAAAGAACAAGUAUCCAUCAAAACUGAGUAUUGUUCAAUGACGCUUAAAAUGUCUCAAUGUAUCUCUACUGAAACAUGACAUUGUUUACUUCUUGGUGGAGAAAGACAGGGAAAAACUUCUCAAUAAACAAACAGAAAAUGCACUUUUCCUAGCUGUAUGGACUCUAGUGCAAUAUUCAAUUGACCAUUUGGUGUGAUGCAGGUUUUUAAUUAAAUUUUCUCUCAGUGUUAUUUACAAUGUUUACAUGGAAAAUUACACUUACCAAACACCUUUUAUUAGAAUUUUUAUCCUUUAAAUAAAUAGAAGACAAUAGUAAUAUCCAACCAGACUAAGAGUCAAUAAACAAGAAGCAAUAUCAGCCAUCUAACCAAGUAUAUAACACAAUUGAUUUCUUCUAAACUAAUGCUUAGUUAGCCAAACAAUGGAUGCAAGUCAUGGACACACCUCCAAGAAUCAACCCCCAUUUAACCAUACUUCCAAAAUCCCAAUAAUAAUUUCACCAACAAAUACCACAUGACAGUGAAAACAUGAGAUAGUUACCUCAUUGAUUGCCAGCACUUGACCAUUGCUCUUCUUGACUUUCUUAAGCUUCCUCAGAAAAUACCUAUUUCAGAUCAAACCAAAUCCCUAACUCAAAACCCGAACCUUAUUACCAAUUAAACAAUAACCACAAAUCCACAGAUCAUUAUCGUAUCCCACAUACCAGAACUUCGAUUUGGCGCGAACCUCAUUUGUGGCCCAGAGCUUCAUGCGGUAGAUCUUCGGAUGCUCAUCGGUCUCCGACGGGAGAGCUCUCCCCACAACCUGGUACUGGUGAAA
RNAcentral lists this long non-coding RNA (93195 nucleotides) under Vitis vinifera (wine grape). RNAcentral's name for it is "long non-coding RNA (VVIN_LNC003148)". The stretch from base 40724 to 40796 matches the Rfam family "tRNA". The record is from RNAcentral. Lineage: Eukaryota; Viridiplantae; Streptophyta; Magnoliopsida; Vitales; Vitaceae.